UGGUUCAGAGCCUUGGUUUGAUUGCAGCAGGCUUAAUCAUGCAAGCGGCACCCAGUACUCCGCGGCAGCUGUCCAGCGCACGGCAGUAGUGAUCUGUUUCGUGCUUGCCCCGUGUCACCGUACCUGACCUCCUUCCCCUCCCCUUGACCCCUCAGGUCAUCCUGAUGGGCCUGAUUGAGGGCUACCGCGUCAACGGCGGCCCUGCUGGCGAGGGCCUGGACCCCCUGUACCCCGGCGAGUCGUUCGACCCCCUGGGCCUGGCUGACGACCCCGACACCUUCGCUGAGCUGAAGGUGAAGGAGAUCAAGAACGGCCGCCUGGCCAUGUUCUCCAUGUUCGGCUUCUUCGUCCAGGCCAUCGUGACCGGCAAGGGCCCCGUCCAGAACCUGGACGACCACCUGGCCAACCCCACCGUCAACAACGCGUUCGCCUUCGCCACCAAGUUCACCCCCUCCGCGUAAAUGCCUCGAUAGGUGCCUCGAGAGCGAAAGAAUGGCUUACGUAAAGAUUGUGCAUAGUCCUGCAGGAGUGGAGUGGAGCGGUUUGCAGGCUUUUGUUUGCUAUUGAUGGCUCUGUUUUUGUUCCCUGGCAUCAGGGAGUGGGCCUUGACUUCUUACAUGUGAACUGACUCGAAUGUUGCGUGUGGAAUGGACCAAGAUGACCCUUGAGCAUUGAAGAGAAGAAACCCCGCAGAAGUGAAGGCGCAAAUGUGCCACAUGAUGUCCGCAAAUGGCCCUUACCGUGGGGGCAUGUCGCACCCGUGGAGGGCACUGUAAAGGAUGAGUUACGGUGCCAACACCGGCGUCUGGAUGGGAGGGCAUCUCACGAGCAGGGCCAAAAGACACCGCGAGCUGCAUACUAAUGGGGCGGUGCAGCCGUAGGUCAGCAUAUGCUGCGCACAGCAUCAGCAAACUCUUUGACCUUAGGUUUGGCCACAGGUUAGGCCUUUGUGCAGCUGGAAAGCAGGAAAGUCCUUUCAAAGAGUGGCACUUCUUUGCCCCGCAAAGCCCCGGACACAUGACAGUGCUGCCAACAGCAGCUUGGCACAGGGUGUUUGCGCGGGCAGACCUAUCAUGCACGGAGCGUGCGGUGGCCGUUCCUAUCCCGGUGACCCGGCCGCUCCGUUCCAUUCACUUCCUUACUCCGCCCGCCUUAAAGAUCUGUUGCAAGCAAUUUUCAGUGGUAGCCCCAUGUGCGGAUGUGCGGAGGGUUGCGCGCCUGCAAGGUCUGCCCGCGCAAACACCCUGUGCCAAGCUGCUGUUGGCAGCACUGUCAUGUGUCCGGGGCUUUCCACAAAAUACCCUGUGUUGAGCUGCUGUCGGCAGAAGGGCCGUUGCCCCUGCACUGCCAUGUUUCGCGGUCUACACUGGGGCGGAGCUGCGGCUGCUGUGCACCGCAAGGGAGCUGCUGCUUACCACGCACUCACCCCGUCGGGGCCCACCCAGCGCCCUCUGAGCACAGCAAAUCUUGGGCUUCCGAUGACUCGCAAUGCACGUGCGGAAACCAUAGUUUACACGGCCUGUGCACACGCAUCACCCCUGACACGCACCAAAGAGAAAUCGACCACUCAGCCGCCAAUCCUGCAUUCACUAGUGUGCCAUCACAGCCAUCACAUAGAUUUCCGCUGGUCUGAGGCCUUCACGUAAUGCAGGGAAGACGCAAAGCCACGCUACGCAAGCGCGACGGCCCUUACUCUUGUCACCGCUGGGAACUGGGAUCGCACCGGACGUUCCGGGUCUGGUGAAGCGUACAUCUUACUGUACCAUGCAGCACUUGCGCCUCGCUCGCGUGCCACGCAGCUACCACAAUGCCCUACACCCGGCUGCGCUUCCGCUCAUCCCUCGUAGCCAACCUGCAUUGCAACUCUCUGCCUAGGGUCACCGCUGGGGUGUGAUGGUACAAGGCGGCUCGCAGGCUGCGACCGCCCCUAAGGCCUAUUUACGGCGCUUUUGCAACUGCUGCAACUUCCCUCCGCCCUCACUGCAACGCGCCCCAACGCUCUGGGCCAACAAUGAUGCGACCUGCUUCGUCACCAGGGCCAUGGCGGUGCGCACUCCUGAUACUCAUCACCAAUUAUGCGGCCGACCUCCCCAUGCAUCGCACGAUACCACGUAUACCACAGCAUCCGCACACGGAGGGCUCAGUCCCAGUUGCCCCAAUCCUCGUCCACCUCCUCUUCAUCCUUGCCGCCUGUAGGACCGGCCUUCGGCCCAGCCGCGGCUGCUGGUUUGGCCACAGCCGCAGAACUUGCCGUGGCCUCCUUGCCGCUGGCAGCUGCCGCCGCACCCAAGGAAGUGGACGCCGGCUUUGCAGACUCGCCCUCGUCAUCUGAAUCCGCAGUUGCCUUCGCGGCCGGCGCCAAAGCUGCCGGGGCCUGGCGCGCGGGGCUGUCGUCCCACUCCGGGCUCGGGCCCGCUGCGCCCCCACCCGGUAGCUGCGGCGAGUCCGGCGCUCCCCCCACGCUCUUUGCCGGCGUGCCCGACGCCGGCGGCGUACCUGCGCCGCCGGUGCUGCUUGGACCUGCCGCCGCGGGCUUGGAUUCAGAGCUGACCACGACGUAGUCACGUGUGCUGCUGUCGCUGGCGGUCUCCGCGUGCGGCUCCGACUCCAGGUGCGCCCCGUCCGCGUCCACGUGCUCCACGGUGCUGCUGCUGGCGCCGCCACCGCUCUGCACCGCGCUGUCGGAGCCGGCGGCCGGCUCCGCCUCGGCCUUGCUGGGGCUGCGCUCCUCCGGCGUCGCGGGCGACUCCGCGGGCGCCAGCGCAGCUGCGGGUGCAGGCACUGCCGGUGCAGUUGCGGGCGCCGCCGCGAGGUCGGCAGCAGGAGAAGCUGACGUGGAAGCCGGGGCCGGCACCGCCGGCUCGGCUGACGGCGGCAGGGGCACAGGCACCUCCGAAGAGGCAGCUUUCUUCGCCCUGCUGCUGCUGGCCGGAUUAGCCUCCUUGGCCGAAGCGGCCACCGCCGCUGGGGCAGCGGCAGCAGCGGCGCCGCCCUGCUCUGCGGCCGCGUCAGCGGCUGCUGGUGCGGGCGCGGCGGGCGCCUCGUCCUCGUCGCCCCAGCCCAGAGGCACAUCGUCCUCCUGCAGGGUCUUGGCACGCGCCGCCAGCUGCUGCCGCUGCUCCUCCUUCUGCUGCAGUUUGUGCAGCCUGCGCCAAGAAGCCCAUGCCGGCAUCAGUCGACGGACACAGCACAAUACAACACCAUGCUGGUUGCCAAACGCAUCCUCACAAGCGCCCCAAGUCCCAACAGCUACGGCGUGCAGCCCCGACGCCCCCUCUCCCUCCCCAGCCCGCGGCGCCCGCACCUGUAGAAGUAGCGGCUCCAGAAGUCCUCGUGCUCCACAAUGAUGGGCACCAACCGCGACUGCAGCUCCGCCAUGAACGCGUUCUCGCCGGUGAUGCGCGCAAUGUCCGCCGCCACCGCCUCCAGCCGCCAGCCCGCCCGCCAACGGCCGUAGUCCUCGCCGUCCUCCGGCUCGUCGCAGUAGGUGCUGCUGUCGCGCUGCAUGGCCGCCACCUGGCGCGAGUACGGGGGAGGAGCGGUGGAGGCAGGCGAGACGCGGCCAGGCACGAAGGGCAGGGCUGAAGGAGCCACCUAGCGACAGGGCGUAGCGCACGUGCCCCGAGCUAACACCCUACAGCCGGCCCUGCUGGUGCAGUUGUUGAGAUCCGCCCAGCCCGCCCACCUCGGCAUCGAAGCGGUUGUAUUUGGCCUGCACGCCCGACAGCUUGGCCGCACUGGUGGCGGCGGCCUUGCUCCGGCCGGCGCGCUUGCCCUCGCGCGAGGCCGCCGCAAUCUCCGUGUCCACACCUUCGCGCAGCUGCAGGGGCGCGUGUAGGUGUGUGAUAGCAAGGGGACAGCACGAGGGGAGAGGGUUAACACUGUGCAUGCCUGAAUGGUCGUGCUUCUGUGUGUUAAAAAACGAAACAAAAGCCCGCCCAGACGCAUCUGUGUGUAUGUGCGCGAGGGUGUGCGUGUGAAGGGCCAGGCAAGCCGGGGAGUCAUGAGAUGGUUGGGCAGGGCCGGACGGGUGCUACGAGGGAACAGGAACAAAUGAGGCAUGCUGGCUGGCCAACACAGACACCGGUAUGCACGGAGUGUCUUUCUCCAGACAGCUUCGUAACCGUGGGAAGGCCGCUACAGUUCAGAGAUUUGCGGAGAGAGCGGGCCACCACUUCCAUCGCCGCUGCCUGUACCACCCAACGCAACCCGCCGGCGCUGCUUAAGCAGUGUCCCCACCUCGUCAAUUAGUUCACGCGUGCCCAUAAGCAGCGUCUUGCCGAACUCCGACAGCGCCGCGCUCACGCCGCCCAGCGUCUGACCCACAUCCUUGGGCAGCUGCACCUGCCCCGUGGCCGACUGAAGCACCUCCUCAGCCUGUACCGGCACGACACAAAAGCGAGGUGGGGACACAACACACCAGCGAGGCGGGGAUACAAGCAGGAGACUUGUUUGCAACGCAAGGAAGGUCCGUGGAACCAUUGGGUGGUGUCGGCGGGAACCGUGCCAUCCGUGCCCUCAUUCCCUUUCCCUAGCCCUUCUCCCCCACGUUUCGAGUCCCACCUUCUCGGGCAGGUGAACCACCUGCUCGGGCAGAUGCUCCACCAGCUCCGCCGUCUUCUCCUUGAGCGUUUUGGACUCCUCGCCGACCUCGCGGCUGAACGUGCUCAACUCGCUCUUCCAGUCCGUGUCCACCACGCUCUUCACCAGCUCAUCCGCGCGAGCUUUCACUGUAUUUGUGACUGCCGUGGCGACGCUCCACAGGUUCCACUGGUUUGCCCUACGAGCAGACCCAAGCAACUGUUUCGAGCAACAGACACGGGGAGCUUCCAACCGCGCUUCGCUUACCCUGUCGAGGUGCUGGCACCAACACCUGCCUCCGCUCCAUCAUCGGUCUGCGACGGUCGCAGGGGUGCGCGCUUGCUCAGCUGCUUUUGACACCGCGACAAUGUCGCACUUGGACCCGCGCCUCGCUCGCCUGCUUCGUACCUUGCUCUCUGGGGCCGCGUGGCCUGCCUCCUCAGCAAAUAGCGCGUUGAACAUGGCGGGCUAGCGACGGCUGCUUCGUGAAGAGCACAGCGGAGCCCUAGCAGAAGCUUCCUCGAAAUUAAAAUUUCAUCAGGUCAGUUACAAUUCGUAAGUAAGUAUAUGGUAUGACUGGAGGUUGUAUUGGCCGUCAGCGCUAGAGCAAUGUGCAGCUGCAAUUGAGGCGGGAUUUGCGCACCAGCCCCACUAGGCCCAAACCUGCCAGUGCUAAGCAGCAUCAUAUUGUACUGAUACAUGCCGACACUGUAUCAACAAAUGCACAUACUGUAAGGCGUUGGACACGCGAUACUCCAGCCAUUUGUUCGCGAAGUGCACUUGUCGUCCGUACUGAAACAAAACUUACAAAGCCAAACCCCAAGCUUAGGCAUACAGAUCAGAGCUUGCUUGGCACACGGCUGUCAAACGUUGAAACUUGCUUUUAUCUUGACUGCUGUGCUUGUUUGCACUGUCUAACAACAUAAACUAGUACUGACGAUAGCCGAGGAGCAGCGCCUGACGGAACUCGGACACGGCGUGGUCGGUGGGCGCGGGGGACCGCCCGAGCGGGCGUAGCAGCCGACACGGCGUGGCAGCUACGCGCGUCCAGCCAUGGACGACGGUACCUUCAUAGACGUAAGAGGGCACGAGUGUGGCCUAGGCCUGGUUGGUGUCUGCAUCAGCCCCCGGCCUCCACGCUAGCGUUGGGCUUGCCUUCACCGCGGCGCCUGGCGCGGGUCACAUGCACAGGAGCAAGGCAGCCGGCGGCUCCGAGACACGGAGCUGGUGGUGCCGGUUGUGGUGGGCACCUGUGCGUGGUGGCUUGGGAAAAAGGUGCGUUUGAGAUGGGCCGGAGUGGCGUGGCUUGGACAUUCCGGGAGGAGCAGCAGGCGCAGCAGGCGCAGCGUGGUCACAGUCCGGAAGCGGCGGGGCGAGCAGGAUUGUGGGAUGGUGGUAUGCGCUGGGCGCUGGCACAGCGGUGGUGCCUGUGUGCUACACGCAGCAUGCUUGAGAGUCUAAAAACGGGUGAUGCGUGUGCGUGAGCGUGAGCGUGCGCGUGCGCGUGUGCGUGCAUGACGGAUGGUGGGGGGGAGGGGCUUGCGCCAGGCGCGGGCCCGUGCGCCGAUUGCUGCCGGCCCGCCGCCCCGCCGCUACUGCUAAGUGCGCGGCCGCUGGUGUCACUGCCGUGUGUCGGGGCGUCGAGUGCAUGUCGCUGCGCCACACGGUAGCUUGCGGCCAUGCCACCCGACUCAUGCUGCACAGCUGGCACAAUCCUCCAGCAUGUCACCCUGCACAUGCUAGCUCCUCACAUGCGCAUACACAAAAACACGGACACAAGCACGGACACACAGGCCAACGCGUAUGUGUGUGUUUUUCCUUUCCCUUGGGCCCGCUAACACAGGCCAACGUGUGUGUGUGUGUGUUUCCUUUCCCUUGGGCCCGCUAACACAGGCCAACGCGUGUGUGUGUUUCCUUUCCCUUGGGCCCGCUAACACAGGCCAACGUGUGUGUGUGUGUGUGUUUCCUUUCCCUUGGGCCCGCCAACACAGGCCAACGCGUGUGUGUUUUUCCUUUCCCUUGGGCCCGCUAACACAGGCCAACGUGUGUGUGUGUGUGUGUGUGUGUGUGUGUGUGUGUGUGUGUGUGUGUGUGUGUGUGUGUGUGUGUGUGUGUGUGUUUCCUUUCCCUUGGGCCCGCCAACACAGGCCAACGCGUGUGUGUGUUUCCUUUCCCUUGGGCCCGCUAACACAGGCCAACGUGUGUGUGUGUGUGUGUGUGUGUGUUUCCUUUCCCUUGGGCCCUCCAACACAGGCCAACGACAGCGUGACGCACAGGUGGACGGUGUAUUUCCGCAGUGCCAACGGGGAGGACCUCAGCCACAUCAUUUCAAAGGUGGGGCAGGGAGCACGCACGCGUGUCUUGGAGCUGGUGGAGGGGAGGGGAGGGGAGGCGGUGCGGUGCGGGUGUGAUGGGGCUGGCGCCGACGCGCCGAAGGCGGGUUGCAUGUCGGGUGUGGACUCUGUAUGGGACCAAGGGCCGGGCAACCAAGUCACCCCGCAGUGGCACAUGUGACUGGGACGUGCGUUUCAAGUGUCGCUGGGCUGCGGGCGUGUCAGCGCUGCCUCGCCCUGUGGCUCCAGUCUUGACGCUACAUGGACACUAUGGCUCGGGCGCGUGGCUAACGGCGGCGCAGGUGACGUUUGAGCUGCACCACACCUUCACCAACCCGCACCGCGUGUGCCUACAAGCGCCGUACGAGGUCACGGAGCAGGGCUGGGGCGAGUUCGACAUCAACAUCACGGUGAGCGGCCGCGCGUAGGCCGUGUGCACGUGUGCUGCGUGGGGCCCGUGUGUGGGUGUGGUGCGCGUAUCGCGUGUGGGUGUGGGUAUACCGGGGGGAUGGCAUCAUGCGCGGCGGGAACCUCACAUGACACACAGUUAAGUGGGGGUCUAAUGCCAGGUUAGCGGCUGGCUGAGCCCUGCCGAAGGCUGGAGCUGAGGAUUAGAUUCGGGCGGGAAAUCGGGCCGCCGCGCCCACUUAGCGGGCGCUGGGGCUCCGGGGGUAAUAACGUAGCGCUGCUCAACAGGGAUCGUUCACCGCCCGUAGCUGCUCCAGCGUAUGCCUGAGUACUGUACCCCGUAUGCCGGCCGCAGCAGCUCCCCACCUGCAAGGCCCUUGCCGACAGCCGCCCCACAACCUGCACCCACACCCCCGGUCCCCCGCACCUCACUCCCGCACGCCACGCCCGCACCCUGUGUCCCCGCCCGCAGCUGACGUUCACUCCGGACGCGCGCGAGAAGGACGUGUCCAUCAUGCACCGCCUCAAGCUGUACGAGAGCGAGAGCACGCCCAACACCACCAAGAAGCCCGUCAUGAGCGAGGUGCGUGUGUGUGUGUGUGUGGGGGGGGGGUAUGUGCCCGAGCCCAACGAAACAGGUCCCAAUAGGGGCGGGGGGGGGAGGCGAGGGGAGACGGGGGAGCGGGCGAGCUGGUGGACGUGGUCGAAGGGAACAAAGCGAAAGUGGUGAUAAAGGUGGUCACGGUGGUGGUGGGCCGUCGGCGGACGGUUUAAGGGUCAGCGGGAGCCGGGGAGUGCAAGGCGGGAACUGGAGACAGGGGAGUUCGGUGGGGCGGCCACUGGCACGACGCGGUUAGACAGGCGCGCACAGGCACUGCGCUCGCCCUGCGACUCACACAAAGCCAGCCCGCAGCUGCGUCUCGCGAGAGGGAAGGCCGAUAUGCGACCAGUCCAGGCUGUGACGCCGGGACUGGGUUCCGUGGCCGGAUACGGAAGCGGGAAUCUUGGGAGGAAGAAGCAGUGUUGCCGGCCUGAGUUCCGCGAAAUCAAGGUGCCAAAUCUCUCGCCCGACUCGAUUUAAAGCCCACGAGGAAAAGGAGGAGGCCCAUUCCGUCAUGUGCGUUAGUAUGGCGCCCGGUGUGGGGCUGGUGUGACAGGGGUGUGGGGGUUGUAAAUACCAGCCCAAACUAAUCCAAACCAAGCUAAAACGAGCGUAGAACAGGGGGGAGGCCCCCGUGUCGAGAAGCUUUCAAGCGCGUAAUGAAGAGCGCAGGCGUGCAUAGCAGGCUGUACGAAGGGCGCCCGCAGAGGCACGACUCGCUUGCCAAACUUCCCGAUUCACUCCGGGGCCUCCUUCCAAAGUUCAUCCACACUCUGUCGCUCCUUCCCGUUGUGGCUCUGCACCUCCGCGUAACAUUACAACCCCGCCCCGGCCCCACAUGUGUCCUCCUCUCUGCCACUUCCUCAACGCGCUCCGCGCGCGGCUCCACCACGUACACGUACAUACCAACCAGCCUGCAGCCUUCGCCCGUCGGCCGCACUUCUGCUACAGCUUCCCACCCCUCCGCAAGCACACAUACACAGACCUCCGUCUCAAGUGCUCUCUUACACACACACGCAUAUACAUACACAAGCCUCCUCCUUGCGAGCUCUCUAACGCACACACGUUCACACACACAUACACACACACGCGCUAUCACACACGCUCUCUCUCACGCGCGCGCGCGCACACACACACGCACGCAUUGUCUUUGCGCAACGUUUUCCUUGUGCUCUUUAACACACACGCACGCACACGCACGCACGCACACACACACACACACACACACACACACACACACACACAGACACACACACACACACACACACAGACACACACACACACGCACACGCACGCAGGUGUACGAGGAGCUGGUGUUCAGUGAGCCGGUGGAGUCCUUCUACCGCCGCGUGGUGGCGGAGCCGCAGCGCCGCGCCACCGAGCUGAGCUGCCAGGCCUGGAUCCUGACCUUUGACGAGCGCGAGGAGGUGGAGAAGCUCAAGGAGUGCCGGGCGCGGGUGGCGGCCAUGGUGGCCGAGGUGCGCAAGGACUUUGAGGGCGCGGCAAGGUGAUGGUUGCGGGUGCUGCGGUGCGGUGGUUACCGAAGAUGCUCAAAGAAACGAAAUGCGCACGGUGGUGGUGUGCGGGCGUGCGGAUGCGGUGCAGCGCGUGUGAUGGCGGGGCGUGUGGCUGGGCGGUAGCUGGAAGGUGCUGCGAGCGCCUGGAGGGAGUCGGGGCCGUCCCGUGGCAGGCUGCCGCUGUCGCCGCGAGUUGCAAUGUACGGGGGACUUGGAACCUUCGAGGGGGUGCUGGAAGCAAUGCCGUGCUGUGCAGCUGGUGCUGCGUCAUGGCUCCGCUGCAUCUGUGAGUAGCCGGGAAAGGCCAAGCAGGGCGCAAAGCUCGGAGCAUGGUGCCGUGGGGUUGGGCCCCGUGAGCGUGCACUUCACAAACGGGCUGACGCACGCGUCUCCUGGGGAAUGUUAGUAUGUUACAGUAUGUUGAGGAUGUGCCUGUUCGAUGUGUAAUUGUGGUAUGGGCCAUGUACCACGUAGGUCACGCACGUAAGUAGAUGCGAUGUAAUCGCCGGCUCGCCUAUUUAGCCAUGAACUUGAUGCUACCGACUGCCGCAAACCGAACUGUUGCCUCAACGGUUUGCAACGACCUGCGCAGUCAACUCAUCCACAACCCUGCCAAACGUGUUUGCUUCAACACUGUCCGCCACAUCCGUGCUUGCUAUCUAGCAUCAUGCUUUUGCUGCUUGCAGCUAAUGCCAUCCCGAUAUUACCACAAUGCCGUCACCACACCAAGACAAACCCAUGCGCGGACAGCCUGAGUAACACAAAUGCCUUCCGCAUGCUAACCCCUGCAUGCCGCUGCCGUGCCUUGACCGUGCAGCAGCAGCAGUAUGUGGUCUAGCAAGCCGCCGCAAAUGCCUUAUUGCAUGGGAAUCCGCUAUGAUGCACUCAAACCGACAGUCCGGCAAGCACAUGGAUUUCCUUGCAUCCCGAUGCCAUACACACGUCACACAUGCGGACUUCUAAUGAUGUGUACGUGCGCCCAAUCCGGUUCCCGACAUUCGUAAUAUUGCUAAUAGCUUGAUUCUUGGUACUCAGGUACCGUCCGUGUGUAAUGCUAUCUAGUCCAUGUGUAACUGAAAGCCUGACUGGUGCAGCCCUGGCACUCGUAAAAUACCGUACAGUGGCCACCCUGCGGUGGCCAACUCAGUACACAGGGCGUGCGCACAAACACAAACAAAAACGCUAGUUACUGCCUGCGACUGCCACCAUCUGUCCGACCACCCACGCGUACGGCGCGGCGGGGAAUUCCUGCUGCCGCCUCAUAUGCGCCGUGCACAAAUCUCUCAGGGACGCCCUAACAACUCCCACUGGCGCUACAAUCCCAGGGCCCAUACGGGCAAGAAUCAGUGCACACGCACACCAUGUGUGUAUUUGUGUGUUCGUGUGUGAACACGCUCUCCCCACGGACUUCUCAGCAGUUUCAACUCCGCCCAGCAGCAGUUGCGCUUCAGCGCUCAUAGAGACACCCACGACCAUGGGUAACCCACCCCGAUCAUAGCCGUGGACGCACUUCCGGACAUCCCCAACGCGGCCCAAGCCACAAGCAGGUCAAUUCACAAUACCGCAAGACAAAGGCGACGCGCUCAUGGCGCGCCUCACUCUGCACGCUCGCUCACGCAAGCCAAGCCGAGCCUCAAGGCACAAACCAUUGCCAGGACUCCCAAGCGUUCCUGGCUUCCGGCUCCGCCUCACUCAUUCAUUCAUCAGUUCACGCAGUCGGCCGCGGAGCCGCUGCCCCCGCCGACUGCAACCGCAGCGUCUUACUUCAUCUCUUUUACUAACGUGUCUUGUCCGCCGAGCACCGAACGAGUCUGCCGCUCUACACGUUGCCGGCGCCGGCCACCAUGGGCUGCACCGGGCGCGCGGCGUUCUCCAUGGCGUGACCGUCCGCGAACAGCGGCGUAUCGAUGGGGGUGGCGGCGGCGGCGUGCAUGCCCAUCACGGGCGCUGAGGAGGCCAUCACGGGCGCGGCCUGCAUGGUCACGGCGAUCUCGCCCACGGAGCGCUGGCCGGUGGCAGGCACGCCUGACACAGCGAUCUCGCGGCCCUCGCGAAUGGGGUUGAGCUGGCCCACUGCGGCAGAACGGGUAAAUCGGAGCAGGCGAGGCAGUUGGUGAGUUGCGUGGGCUGGAGGUCACACUCGGCAACGGAUUGGCCCUGGGUUGCGCAGCCCGCACGUGCACAACCGAAGCCACUUCCGCCACGGCCACUGAUGCCAGCCGCUGCGACGGCCACAGGGAGCGAGACCGAGACUCACCGCUGACGGACUGGUUGUGGUGGCUCUUGCCGUGUGCGCUCAUGUUGCUGAGGUGGAUGGAGGUGGAGAUGGGCAUGGGCUCCACGCGCUGGUGCUCCCACCAGGGCCCAUCGUCGAACAGCUGCAGACAGGCGUGCAGGAAAACGGGCAAAACACAUGUGAGCAACAAGAAGGACGCAAGAAGGUACAGCCGAAGGCGGCGCGUAGGCGGAACAAGCAAGCGAACGGGAGCGCCUCAGGGCCGCCGUUUCUCACCUCGGGCACGGUCAGCGGGUCGUCGCCACGGGGGUUGAACCACGACACCACGAAGCCGCCUAGCAGGCCGCCGGCGAUUGCGAUGCCCAUGGUCACCACGCCCGCAAGCACCUGGUAGCCCAGCUGCUGGCGGCCGGUGUCGUGCUCCAGGUAGUCGGGGUGCUGGCCCAGAGCCGCCAGGCCAGCCACCAGCGUGCCGACGAUGGCGGGGAUGCCGUGCAGGUUGUGCACACCUGGGCGCGGGGACAACGGCGAUGCAGGCAAUGGCAGGGCGCAGCAGUCAGUGAUGGCCGGGCGGGAAAGAGGCGUAGAGUUGUGUGCACACACAAAACUAAUGACAGCCUCACCGCAGGUGUCGCCCAGUCCGAUGGUGCGGUCCAGGAAGGGCAUGAGGUACUGGAAGCCCAGGGUGCUGAUGGCUCCCGCGCCCAGGCCCACAGCCAGCGCGCCACCGGGCGUCAGGCGCAGCGUGCAGGCGGCGCCCAUCGCCACGCCACCGGCCAGGGUGCUGUUCUGGAUGUGCACCAUGUUGAAGCGGCCGCCCACCAGGGCCGAGGUGGCGAACACCGAUAGCCCGGCGCCCAGCAGCGACAGCAGCGUGUUGACGAUGGACAGGAAUUGGGCGGCCUUCUUGGCAUCGGUCGCCUCCUCCAUGUGGCCAGCCGACACGGACGCCAGGGCGCCGUUGAAGCUGGGCCCUGUGGCCGGUGGAAUGAGAAAGAAAGGAUGCAGCAGGGGUCAGAUGGAGAAGGGUAGGGUAAUCCUAGGGCGGGCGCGGGAUCUGGGCACAUCGGCGCUACUGAUGCUGCACAACGGGCACAACAACGCAACCACGCGACGCUCUAUGCAGCAUGCGGACUCACAGUAGAUGAAGAGGAAGAUGGUUCCGAUCAUGGAGAAGAUGUCGUUCAGGUAGGCGCCCGAGUUCUUGGGGUUGUCCAGGCCGUGCAGCGGCUGCCUGUGGGAGCAGCAGCAAGGGCAAAAACACGAGCACUGAGCAAGGGGCAAGGGCACAGGGUCUGUGUGCGCCCCACUCCCUCGGGCCGUGUGUGCCUCCCUCCCUCGUGCGUAUCUCACUUGCGGCUGAUCAUGAGCGAGGCUGCCAAUCCGUAGUAGGCUCCGAACAGGUGGAUGACGAUGGUGCCGCCCAUGUCCAGCGCCUUGAAUGUGUGGAUCACCAGCUGCUGGUUGAGAGCGUACAGCGGAACCUGAAGCGAGGGAGGAGAGAGUCAAGUAGAGGAGAACAAAAAGGAGGGAACGUUAGCAUGGAGAACACCAAGAGAGCAGGAUGGGUGCGGGCGCAGUCACGGUUCCCAGAUAACCAAUGCGGCGGUCUGUCAUGCGGCACGCAGCUUCUAAAACUAGCGAUCGGGAAUCAGCUGACACGCAUGCACCUGCCAAAAGAGCAGCCACAGCAACUGCGUGGGCGUGGCCUUGCCGAUGAUGGCGCCGAAGGCAAUCAUACCAGAGGCUGCGGGGGAGACACACGGGUAGCAUUGAGCCACGUCAAGCGACGCCGCACAGGAAAGGGGACCAGAGCAUGGUACAAUGCGACGUGGGAGUCCGAAACGGCGUGAACAUAGAACAGGGAUGGGAAUGGCACAAGCCCGUGACUUGUUACGCACUGAAUUACUGUACCUAGCUGGCAUGCAUCUCGGCAAGUAACAGCCCAAGCGCAUGCGGCUCACCGGCGCAGAAGGCGCAGUCGAUCAGCAAGGCGAUGUCGAUCUGGAUCUUGGUGCGAUGGUAGUUCCAGAACACUUGCUGUGGGAGGACAGGAAGGAACGGGGCCGCUGGGAUGAAGGCACGAAAUUGGAUGGAGCAGCAGAUCUUCACCAGUCUUUCGAUGUUGUUUGCACGGCCAGGUGCGCCGUGCGCGCCCAUUACAAACUUGCAGUAUGCGGACCCUUAUGUCCCUCUCUUUGUCACGCGCACCUGCGUGGCGCCGAUCAUGAGGAUGGCCUCCAGGAACAUGAGCGCCGAGGCAAAGUAGUUCAGGGCCACAGCGCCGUAGCCGUAGCGGCGCAUGAAGGUCAUCAGGAAGCCGAAACCGAUCCACACCAUGAUGUUGACAUCGACCAGGUCUGUUGGGCAGAGGGCAAUGACAGCGGCAUGUUGCAGGAAGGGGAGAAGCGCGAUAGUGUGUGUAGGGGGGGGGACCAUGCGGAACUCGCGCGAGCCCUACCCUGCAUUUUCAAACGAGCGGCCGACCUAGCGCUUACAUUUGUAAAAGCGAUCGACCUCCUCCUGCGCAUUUGUGCCCAACUCGGUGUACUGGGUCAAGCCGAAAAACAGGCCUGCGACGGAAGGGAAAAGUGCAGGUUGGGCUUGCGGCAUGCUGGAAGGACCUGGACCUAUCCCCAGGGCGGAAGCGGCACAAGAGCUAUAAGCAAUGAAUGUGUUCGGCUCAUGAGGGUUGCGGAAACAGGCGCCACGCUAAAGCGGCCGGUACUAUCGAACGCGCGCGCGCAAGGUUGGUAGUCGCUCGGCUUCUUGCUUACCGACGAAAAUCACAAUCACCACAGCAGCCGAGGGCCUGAAAUGCCACACACAUGAGCCAAUGAAACAGGUGAGAUCAGCAAGGCCUGCGCCGAGCGCGGCCGCCGGACUUGCAUCGGACGCAUUUCUAGGGGGCGCGCGCGGCGGCCACUGGCACGAAGCGGUUAGACAGGCGCGCACAGGCACCGCGCUCGCCCUACGACUCACACAAAGCCAGCCCGCAGCUGCGUCUCGCGAGAGGGAAGGCCAAUAUGCGACCAGUCCAGGCUGUGACGCCGGGACUGGGUUCCGUGGCCCGAUACGGAAGCGGGAAUCUUGGGAGGAAGUGCCUGCAUGGUUGCCGGCCUGAGUUCCGCGAAAUCAAGGUUACCAAAUCUCUCGCCCGACUGAAUUUAAGCCCACGAGGAAAAGGAGGAGGCCCAUUCCGUCAUGUGCGUUAGUACGGCGCCCGGUGUGGGGCUGGUGUGACAGGGGUGUGGGGGGAGGCCCCCGUGUCGAGAGGUUCUCAAACGCAUUAUGGAGAGCAGAGGCGUUCAUAGUAAGUUGUGUGAAUGGCGCCCGCAGAGGCGGGACUUGCUAGCGAGCUUCUGCGUAACCAAACUUCUCGAUUUGCCCUGGGGCCUCCUUCCAAAGUUGUUCCGAUGCCAGUAGUCAUGUAAAUAAACAUAGUAUUGAACCAUGCAAAGCAUGAGGGCAUUUCGGCAACGCCGAGGGGAGUUACGCUAACGAGACCGUCAGUGGGAGAACUUCAGAGAAAACGACAGCGCUUGAGUCUGUGGAAAGCGGUAGUCGAGGCAUUUAAGCAGAUACCACUCAUGACGAUUUCGACGCACCCAGCCGAGGUCGACACGCUAUCCAUGUGCCACACCUUGUGCUCCUUCCCCGACUGACGCGAGGGCUUACGCUUGCUUCUCGGCGCCCCAGCAAGUUACACGCGUAUGGUGUCUGUAGGGGAGGUCCAGCAAAUAGAGGAGGAGCUCUGUCGUGGCGACGCGCAUGGUCGAAGCCCUUCCUUCCACACCUCGAGCCGCGACGGCCAGGCCCGCAGGCACACCUGAAGCAUUGGCUAAAGUCGUGUAUUCGCUCCUGUUCUCAGGCCAGGACAUCGUCCAUGAGGGUGCGGGUCGAGGCAUGUGCGAGGGGCCUGGGCGGUUGUGACGUUGUGUCUUACAAUUGUGGCACCCCCUCGUGGCGCACCCGGGUCGCGCGCAGAGAAGUUCCACAGCGGUGCGUUGGCACUGCGUCCCUGGCUCGCCGGUCCGCCUCAGCUCUCACACACCGGGCGCAGCGAGCGCGCAAACAUCCCCGGGGUCGUUCGCCAUUGUGCCGCCGGCACAGAGCAGAAUGUAACUGCUGGAUUACGGUAUGAUGGGCGGGCUCUCAAGUAGAAUGAAGUGAGCCCGCCCCAGUGCAGGAUGAGCUGUUGCAUGCGCGCGCCGGGCGGCACACGCACAUACCUGUAUGCUAUCACACCAGGCCCCUACAAUGCUAUGGCCUGCCGGCCCGUCACCAUUUCUUCAAAAGUGGGAAUGUGGGAGUACUUGCCAUCGGCAGAGCUUGUGGGCCCGCAUGACGCCACGGGGGGCGUUAUGCAACCACCCUCCUCAGGUGAACAGACCCGCAAUGCCGUCCGGUUUUAGGCGACACCUACCAGUGGGCAACAGCAGAGGCCAGAAGGGUUGGCACGCACCCCAAGUACCUUGUGAGCCUGGAGGCAGAGCUCCUGCGCGGCCCGCCUCGUCCCUUCCGGCUUCCGGCCUUCCCUCACCGCCGGCUAACCCUACCACACCUCCGUCGUCACUAGCCCUGCACGUGCGGCAAUCCGUUACGGCCGUGCAUACCGUACUGUACACCAUUAGAACGUAUGAAUGUGCCCCGGCGUAUGCCUCGCGCAGAUUGCCAACCAGCCUUGCAAAAGCAAACUACACGCAUAAAGAAUUCACAAGUUAUACUAUCUAGCGCAAGCACGCACCGAACGACGCCCCUCGCAGGCUAAUAAGAUUCACCAAUGUCCCAAGCUCCUCACAUACUCUGCUGAUGCGGGGGUGCUUUAAAGCUACAUGGGCACUGCACACCUGUGAAACAGUGCGUGAGGCGCGCUGGCAACUCCAGUCCGCCACUGCCACAAUCCUACCCUAGUACCAGAAGUCUUCCGUGUUAGAAGUCUUUCGUACUAGCACCCACUCAUUGCUUCACACUACUGCCCGCUACAAACAGCCGCAAACAAGCAAGAAGUAUGCUUUGUCCCCCGCUUCAGCAGCCGGUGCUGAAAGACGAGGCCAAACUUGAAUUGCUAUAAAUCGCAGGACAUGCAGUCCCAUAGUAUGAACAUAACAGGGGGUCGAACACACCAUUCCUGAAAGAGAUCAUGACCGUCUUUGGCUUAUUGAAGUACGUCAUACAUCCGAACUGUCCCAGUCCAAACUGCGCGCCAUACAUCGCCGCGCGCGCCGCACAUUGCCGCGCCGUACGUGCAACACCGCACCCCACCUUCGGGCUGUAACCCGCCCCUAUCUACACAUUGUUAGGCCCAGCGGAUGCCUGGCUGUAGGCGGGCUGCUGCAUGGGUUGCACGGGUGCAAGCGCCGUCUCCAUUCCGAUUACGUCAUCACUAAACAAAGGCCUGUCGUUAUUGGCACCGCCGCCUCCGGCCGCGCCGCCCAUCAGCACAGCAGUGCUCAUGAACGGCUGCGGAUACUGGUGAGCCGCCGCGGCCGCCGCCGCCAUUUGCUGUUGCUGCUGUUGGAAGGCGAGGAAGGGCACCGACGCAACGAUCUCGCUGGCAGCGGCUGCCCCGUGGGCUGCGCCCUGCUGGCCGGAUACAGUGAGGCUGUGGUGGGCGACGGCGGCGGGCACGCCCGAAACGGCAAUGGGCGCCGCAGGACAGGCGCUGCCAUGGCGGCGGGGCUCCGCUGGGUUCGGCACCAGGGUAUUGGCCACUGGGUGGAAGCAGCAUGGCACAGGAUGGGUGCAGGUGGAAUUGAUUAUAUGGGGUGGGGCAAGAGGUGCGGGAGACCGAGGGCGCAAACCGGAGACGGCACAGGGAAUUGUGGAGCGCGCGACUCACUGCUGACAGAGGCGUUGGCUGCGUUGCCACGCUGCGUGCUGCCGCCAUCCUUCUGGUGGCGUGAAUUGAGGGUGCUGAGGUGGAUGGAGGUGGAGAUGGGCAUGGGCUCCACGCGCUGGCCCACCCACCAGGGGCCGUCGUCGAACAGCUGCAGGCAGGGCGGAGUCAACAUCGCGGCAUGGUGGGCACAUGCAAACAGCGGCCAGAACGAACCCAGGGAGGAAUUGCCAACACCCGUGGCCGAAAUUCGCUAGGGCCACUCGCGCACAAGAUGCAACUGUAAACGGCGGCAGCAUCACAUGGUCUCCCAAAGCCUCCUCGCGCCUCCCGCAUUGCGCAUUGCGCCAGCCUACUGCGUGCCCAUUCCCGCCAGUCCCUCACCAGCCCCUCUGGUGGCCAAGCCGCGCUCACCUCGGGCAGAGCCAUGGUCUCAUCGCGGCACGGGUUGAACCACGACACCACGAAGCCGCCCAGCAGGCCGCCGGCGAUUGCGAUGCCCAUGGUCACCACGCCCGCAAGCACCUGGUAGCCCAGCUGCUGGCGGCCGGUGUCGUGCUCCAGGUAAUCUGAGUGCUGGCCCAGAGCCGCCAAACCAGCCACCAGCGUGCCGACGAUGGCGGGGAUGCCGUGCAGGUUGUGCACACCUGGGUGCGGGGACAACGUCGAUGCGGGCAAUGGCAGGGCGCAGCAGUCAGUGAUGGCCGGGCGGGAAAGAGGCGUAGAGUUGUGUGCACACACAAAACUAAUGACAGCCUCACCGCAGGUGUCGCCCAGUCCGAUGGUGCGGUCCAGGAAGGGCAUGAGGUACUGGAAGCCCAGGGUGCUGAUGGCUCCCGCGCCCAGGCCCACAGCCAGCGCGCCACCCGGCGUCAGGCGCAGCGUGCAGGCGGCGCCCAUCGCCACGCCACCGGCCAGGGUGCUGUUCUGGAUGUGCACCAUGUUGAAGCGGCCGCCCACCAGGGCCGAGGUGGCGAACACCGAUAGCACCGCCCCCAGCAGAGAGAGGAGGGUGUUGACAAUGGCUAGGAACUGGGCCGAUUUCUGUGCAAGUGGACGAAGCAGGCGGACGGACAGGCGGAUGCCGCAUUCAGAACAUGGAUUGGGGGAGAGGUUUGUAAAUACCAGCCCAAAGUAAACCAAACCCUACGCAAAUCGAGAGGGUGGGUGUACUAGUGCUAGUGCUUCGCCCUCCCCUCCCCACCCCGCCCCGCACCACACCACACUGCACCAAACCGCACCGCCCGCGCACCUCGGCGUAGGUGGCGGACGUUUGGUUCGCAUACGCCACGGAGGCCAGGGCGCCGUUGAAGCUGGGCCCUGCGGCCGGUGUGCGGGUACGUGGUGAGGGACGUGAAGGCUGGGCAAGUGCAGCGGUCGCGAGGGCCGCAAGACUAGGCAGGGAUAGCAGGGGAAAGCAAGGUGCUGAAGCGCAGACAACGAUUGCCAGCACGGCCCAUUGGAACUGAACACGAAAGCCAGCCUGCGCGAGCUAGCUGGCACGCCGCGGACUCACAGUAGAUGAAGAGGAAGAUGGUUCCGAUCAUGGAGAAGAUGUCGUUCAGGUAGGCGCCCGAGUUCUUGGGGUUGUCCAGGCCGUGCAGCGGCUGCCUGUGGGGGCAGCACCAAGGACAAUAACACGAGCACUGAGCUAGGGGCAAGGGCACAGCAUCUGUGUGCGCCCCACUCCCUCGGGCCGUCUUGGGCCGCAUCUGUGUGCGCCCACUCCCUGUGUGCCUCCCUCCCUCCCUCCCUCGUGCGUAUCUCACUUGCGGCUGAUCAUGAGCGAGGCUGCCAAUCCGUAGUAGGCUCCGAACAGGUGGAUGACGAUGGUGCCGCCCAUGUCCAGCGCCUUGAAGGUGUGGAUCACCAGCUGCUGGUUGAGCGCGUACAGCGGAACCUGAAGGGAGGGAGGGAGGGACGGGUGGAGAGAGGCAGGGUUGAGCAUACGGCUGAUACGGUAACCCGGGAGGCGCCUUUGGCAAUGCUUACUGCCCCAGAGUGAGUCAACACGCGGACCUAUGCGGACCUCGCCGGUUCAUUAGUCGCGCGUAGGUGUCAGUAGAGUAUCUAUGGCCGUUGACCCUCGCGGUGGGGGGCGCCUCGGUUCGGUGGCCCUCACCCUCCCCUCCCUCCGUCCGCCCCGCCCCAAUGUAUCCCGUAUUGCCCCGCCCCCCCGUGUAACCCCUACAUACAGCAGAAGACUGACGGGGACAGGCCCGGAGGACGGAGAGGGGGACGAGAUAGCGUGACCUCAGGGAGGGGAAAAGAGAGAUCUACGAGAAACAGGGUGGUAUGAGACAGUGACACGACCUAGCACAUUCUGACACGCACCUGCCAGAAGAGCAGCCACAGGACCUGGGUGGGCGUGGCCUUGCCGAUGAUGGCGCCGAAGGCAAUCAUUCCGGAGCCUGCAACGUCACAGGAGCGGCGUUACCCUGACUUGCUAGUCCGGAGGGGAGGGGAGCGAGCGAGCUUGCUGCUGUGCCCGGCGCCGUGCUCCGGCUGAGUGGCUGACGACCCCGUCAACCCACCAUUCGACCACCAGCCGCCGCCACACGCCCCCGCCCCUGCGCGCUACACGACCACUCGGCAUGCGGCAGCCCAAGCGCAUGCGGCUCACCGGCGCAGAAGGCGCAGUCGAUCAGCAGAGCCAUGUCAAUCUGGAUCUUGGUGCGGUGAUAGUUCCAGAACACUUGCUGCGAGGUGCGUGACGGCAAGCCGGUACACGCUCAGAACAUGGUCUCCCAAAUCCGACUCCUUCCAAAGCAAUGGCGCGGGCUGUGCCGCUUUGCCAUCCCGGCACAGUGGCACACACGCCACCAACAAGUCUGGACAGCGCCACGACAUGCGCGCACCUGCGUGGCGCCGAUCAUGAGGAUGGCCUCCAGGAACAUGAGCGCCGAGGCAAAGUAGUUGAGCGAGACGGCGCCGUAGCUGUAGCGGCGCAUGAAGGUCAUGAGGAAGCCGAAACCAAUGAAUAUCAUGACCUGCACGUCGAUAAAAUACUUGUAGUACCGCUCCACCUGCUCCUGCGCGUUUUCCGCCAGCUCAGUGUACUGCGUCAGACCGAAGAAGAGGCCUGCGGGUGCGUACGUCCGUGCGUGGGGGCGGGCGGCAGGGUCGGACCGUGUCGGACGGGGUAGUGCAUGCACCGGCAGGGUAGGCAGGGGGUGCAUGUCAGGGAAUGAAGUGGAAAGAGAAGUAAUUACAACCUGCCGAGGCAGAUGGUGUAGGUUGAGGGAGCGGGAAUGGUGGUAACACCCCCGCAGGGGCACCCCUGCUGCGCUCCCGCUACCAAGGCAAUCAUGGAAUGUUUGUGUGGCGGUAGUAGCAAGAGUCCCGGUAGGCAAGGGUGCACCAAUGCCGGUACGUGGAGUACAUACGAGACGGCUUACCAACGAUGACCGCCGCGAUCGCAAUGACCGACGGCGCGAAGCCAGUCCGUAGCUGCGGCUCGCGCGGAGGCAAGCCGACAUGACUCCAAUCCAGGGAGUGCCUGCAAGGUUGCAAGGGCGAGCCAUGGCAAGCAAGGAGCUCAUAAUGGGGGCUCAAGUUAUCUGAAGAAAGUGCGGGUAGCAUGCGCGCUAUGGCUUACCGGCGGCUGGCCGCCCCACUGGCCAUCGCGGUGGGGAUUUUGAGCACGGAGGACAUGAUGUGUAUGACACGCAGCCUGUCGAGGCACGAGUGAGUGAAAGUCAAUGAUAGUGUGUUGCAAGGACGCAACAAUGACAAGCUGUCCAUGGGCGGGGCGUUUCCUUAUGCGGACCUGCUAACGGAAAAAAAGCGCAGCCUCGUGCUGACCGAUCGUCGACGUGACAGCAUUCACGUUGAUGAUAUGCUCAAAAGAUACGUAUGGGCAAAACGACUACGAGCGUGACAAGACGCUCCCCGGUAAGACAAUUGCGCCACGAGGGCCGCACGCGACCGCGCCAGGUCUUCCGCGAGCACCCGGGUCCCGCAUUGCCACUUGCCAAGCGCUGAAAGCCCAUCCAAGGCUGGAAACAAACUCGUGGCAAUCGCGCGAAAAAGCUGCCGACGCAUGCGUCUCGGGCAGGACAAACUAAACGAGCACACGACGUGAGGCAGGAAUCCUGAUCGGCGAGACGCACCUGGGAGUCGUGGACUGCUUCGCCACCUGUAGGUGACGUCGAUGUCAGCAGCGCCAAGUCAGCUCGUGAAAUGGCUCCCAAAGUUCAGACAAAAACUCAGCGCUUCAACUACGUGGGGGAACUGUCUACGUGUGUAUAGUCACACCAGUUAUUUAUUGACCUGGGCGAAGCCAAAGCUGGUAAAUUGACGGGAAGAUGAACCGUACCCGUCCACCUGAAAGGAGGAGGGGAGAGGAGGGUGCAUAUGAUCAUGACCGACCGGGUGACCUAGGGCCGAUUGAUUUCCUUUCAAUACAGUAUACCGUUUGCGAGCGCAAGCCGAGUCUCGGUGUAAUCCUGCCUUUGCUUCCGCUGAUAUUGUCGGCCUUCUGACCUUCGCGCUUCCAGCCCUGUAAGUGCCAUUUGUUGUGGAUAUAUUACCACGUGCAUGGCAGGUACUGGCAAGGAGGUGUCGGAACGUCUUGCGACGACCUGAGUGCGCAUUCAUCGGCAUGUCGUCCGUGCCGGAGCAGUCAGCCGUAUGCGGUCGGAACCGGCAUUGGGUACAUAAUGGCGCUUUGAUUCAGCGCCGAGUGCUCGGGUGCUCGGGGAAGUACAGCUAAAGAAAAGACCGUGCACAGGGUGGCGCACCUGGGGGACCUAGCCAGAGCGCCCAUUGCGUUAGCUCCGGCCCCGCCAGUUCCAAGCUCCAAGCCUCGGCGUGCGCGUGUAAAAGCGGCCAGAUACUGGAUAAGGAGUGGUGUAGGAGCGUGGCUGUGAAAGUUUAUCAUAUGGCAUAUGACACGCGCGGGAUGCUGGGAUCCCAUCCUUGGAAACGAUCGACCAGACCCACCCUCCCCCGCCGACUUCACCGCUAAGGUCACCGCUGCUGUGGCUGUAACCGCGCUACUGCCGUUUCGACUGCAUCCCCCUCGGACUUCGGCUUGCCAGGCCUGCUGGCCAGGCCGCGCCAAAUUGACAGAUUGACUUCUACGCCAUGCUUGUGCGGGUAGGUGAAGCAACGCCGUUCGCCCUAUCCCAUCGCACGCACAUGCGGUGUAGUCUAGCCAAGCACACGCACACGCACAGCGUGAGUGUAUACGUGCACGUGCAGUGUCUGCAUGACGUGGUGGAACGAAGCACUGCAACUCCCGCAGCAGACUACGUACGGCACAAUAAUGAAGAUGCUGAGUAUGGCAGGGUCGUGCGCCAUCAAGCGACCUUCGGUGAUGUGCGGUGAAGCCCCGCCUUUUUGUGCCGUUGACUCCAUGACCCCGCUUCCCAUGAACCCAUGCACAGGCAGUGACUAGAAGCGCUGCGUAGCCGGUUACAUAUGGUUCUGGACACAACUGCAGGCUUUGCGGCGAGUCACGAUCGGCAGGUCUGAAGGGAAAGCACCACCAGCUCUCUCACGUUAAUCGAGUAGCACGCAUGGCACACUGUCUUCUGCCCUGCUGUUGUGAACAAAACCCGGUGGCGGCGCCCACCAUUCGCUAACGGUGUCGUACACGGUGGUAUGGAAUACACCGUGGGCCCUAUCCGUGGUACAUCCAGAAGGCCUCACGUAUGAUACAACGCUAGCCCAGCCAAAACAUUCAGGCACAGGCGUGGGCCAACACUUCAAACCCUCAAAACUCAAUGUAGUAUGUACUCUUCUCUCAAGCACCUCGGUUUUGGGCUACGAGCCCCAGCAACAAACCGCAAUCGCUUUACGCCGAGGGAGUGUACUUGGUGGCGAAGGCGAAGGCGUUGUUCACACCAGGGUUGGACAGGUGGUCGUCCAGGUUCUGGAUGGGGCCCUUGCCGGUCACAAUGGCCUGGACGAAGAAGCCGAAGGACGAGAACAUGGCCAGGCGGCCGUUCUUGAUCUCCUUCACCUUCAGCUCAGCGAAGGUGUCGGGGUCGUCAGCCAGGCCCAGGGGGUCGAACGACUCGCCGGGGUACAGGGGGUCCUGCGUGCAUGUGGGAGCAGCGGCGAGCAAAUGCGUCAGCAGGGUACAGCACCUUUCGGCCACGGACAAAGGAUACAGUCUUUACGCAGCAGCCCGUGGCGUAGUUGAUUCAUGGACAUGCCGGCGGUACGCAAGGCACACCCAAGCCCCGCGCAGCUGUCAAGGGAGAGGGUGCAAAGUGCGAGGCGCAUGGGUUGGGGCCGCCUGUGACUUGCAAUCAUCCGUCCCUACCCCACGCCCUAGCCAUCCCAGCUCACCAGGCCCUCGCCAGCGGGGCCGCCGUUAACGCGGUAGCCCUCGACCAGGCCCAGCAGGACGACCUGAGGGGGCAGGAGGGGCACGCAGGGCGGAUGGGAACGUUAAGGUAGGAAAGCGAAAUGCCGGAGAGCAUGGCGGUAUCAUCCCACAGGCAGCCCGUCAAGGGAAGCGCAGUGCGUAGUCGCAACCCUGGCAUGCUUGUUCCCGCAUCCUUGCACAGCCUGGAAGCACUCUUGCACUGCUAGGUGCACGUCUCCCAUGGCCCCACGAUUCUGCGAUAGAACCCCUAUUGCCAAGCAGCUGGUGCACUGUUUCCCGCCACCCGCCGUACCUGCACGGCCAGGGUGGCGACGAUGUUCUGGGCGUGGAUCAGGGAGGGGUUGCCCAGGUAGUUCAGACCGCCCUCCUGAAAGAUCUGGGCGCCGGCCUUGAACCACACGGCCUCGCCGAACUGGACACCGUUCUUCUGCAGCAGCUCGGGAGUAACAAUGCCCAGGGCGCCCAGCAUAGCCCAGCGGGCGUGGAUCAGCUCCAGCUCGCGGUAGCGCUUGAAGGUCUCCGGGUCAGCCGACAGACCGGCAGUGUCCCAGCCGUAGUCGCCGGGGAACUCGCCAGUCAGGUAGGCGGGGGUCGAGUUCUCAGAGUAGGGGCCUGGGAGAGGGGCGGGAAGCGGAAGAGGACAGGGGUCACAUGACUGCAGGCGUAUGCGCUAGAAGUUGGGGUUCAGUCACUAACACAUUCAAGUGGGCACGCUAACGGGCACACGUAGAGUGAGCGAACGGAAAGGGCAUACCGUGUCAGUAGGGAACACGCGUGCGAGGACAACGCUCUAGCUUGUAGCAUAAUCGCAACCUUGGCCUUGCACCCAGGAUUAAGGGCAACGUGCCGACCAACAGGACCUUUCGCGUUCUUUCCGGAGACCUGGCAUCGAGAACCCGAGGCAAUCACACGAACCAGGUUUCCAAGGCCAACGCACUCACCCAGCCACUUGGCGCGGUUGGGGCCAUAGAACUCGAUACCAGCGCCCUUGGGGGCAGCGGCCUGCGCGGCAAAAGCGGACAUGGUCAGUCAGUUGCGCAACCGACCAUCGAGCGCGACAGAAGCAGACCCGGUCAGGGCGCCUAAUUUCCGUUUCGCGCAAGUGAUGAUUGGUACAUGCAUGCAUUUACCUUGGCAGCGGUCUUCUUGCCGGUCGCCUUGCAGGUGACCUGCAGCGCCUUGCGGGAGGAGGCCAGAGCGAAUGCCAUCUUUGCUAGUGGGAGUUGUGAGUGGACCAGAGAUGCGAGAUAACUUGUCCGCUACCUAUUCAGCUUAAAUACACUGGAAUCUCAAGAUCUCUUGCUGCCGGCUUCAAGGACAGCAGGCCAGAGAUGAAGGGCGAGAGGCCACGGUGCCGAGGCCGAGGUCGCCAGACCCCUUCGUCUCCUGCGCCCUGGCCAGCUCCGGCCCCCUCCUACCGUCCCCACUUUUCCACCCGCGGCCCCCUUCCCAUUUAAUUUCGCCUUUAGCAUUAUUGUUAGCUCCCAAUCCCGCUAACUUCCCUUCCCUCCGGCCGCACGCACUGAAUUUGCAACGAUCUACACGCAUGCACACACCCGCGCCUGCUUACGUACCGUACGGUGCCGCAUGCGGCAUGCCAGGUCUCAACCCCACUGCUUCCCGACUACAUUACUAUGGCCUAUGGACCACUGUCACUUUUCCAUUCAAAAUUGUUCCCCAACUAGGUACGGUAACAUCAACCACGUCAAGGUUGCGCACUGCCAAGACCUUCGGCCCCUCCCGCCAACCGCUUGGGCUUUGCGGUGCGUUGUGGCAGGGGUGCCCUCUUGGUUCUGGUUGUUUUCCCUGUGCCAUUACCCUACAAUACCUUUUUCCGUGCACCUUUUUCCGGUGGGGCUGGCAGGGCAUGCGUAGCGGCAAUGACAAGCAGUGCGGCUGUUGACAACUGUGCUGCGUCUGGCUGCGGUUGGCUCUGCUGGGCAUCGCGGUUGCUAGGCACCUGGUUUGGCUAUGUGCCUGUGGAAACCGACCCCGGCUAUGUCCGGGCGAUGAGGUUGUGCGGCCUCAGACUGUGGAAGGGCUCAGCCCCUUUUCCCGUGACCGGGGAACACUUGUCCGUGCACUUGCUUGAGACCAUGUGCUCAGACGGUUUGGUGCGAACGCAUAGGGGGGCGGUCAACCUGGGUUGUUUCACUGCUGGUCGCAGGGGCCGGGGGCACUAGGCUACACAGGAUCUGCUGGCAGCGCUCGUCCGCUAUCUCCCAGUCGACCAACAUCCUUACGGUACGUAUCUGCUAGGAAUCGAAUGGCUGCGUCACAGCGUCAGCUGCCAACUGCUGCCGCGCGCGGGGCAUGUAUGGAUGCCAACGGGGCCAUGGUCUGCAAUCAAGUCACGGCAGAGACGCGGACGAAAGAAAUGGGGAACAAAUUGACCCGGGCCCCUGAUACUUUUGAGUUCUGACAGUAGCGGGUAAGGUGCGUAGUGGCGUGGUUGGGGGCCACGUGGACGUGGCGGGUGCGGGGGCGUGCAGCAGGUUCCGUGGGGCGUCAUGGAAUGCACCUGCUGGGGGGUGGUGCACGCCGGUCCAGUGCGCAGGCGCCUGUGAGCCGCGCCUACGCGCCCCGCUGUGAUGAUGCCCACUAGUCAGCAUGCAUUAGCGGCACUCUGGGUGCCGGAAAUCGACGUGCUCUGGCCACGCGGUGGCCGGGCGAUCGGCUCUGCCAGGAGAGGUGGGACGUGCCGACGUGCCUAGCGCCUGCGUGGCGACUGCACAAAUGGCAUGUACCGGUUGCUUCAUCCACUUGUGCGUACAGGCGUACUUGAAGCAGUCCGGCCGGGCAAAACGCGCGCACCUGGCGCGUGCGCAGGCUUGCCGACAUGUUUGGCGGGUUGGCAUUUCGCUAGGAUUCGGACUACCCCCACCUCAAGGUAGCUUGUUUGUGGUAUUUCACCUGCAUGUAUGUGCUUACAGGGACUUGCAAAGUGAAUGGCCGGUUCUGGGAGCCAUCGCGCGGGGCAAAAGUACACGGUACAGGGUCAAUCGCAUGAUUUUCGGCUUCGCGCCGAAUUGCACACGCGAAAAGUACACGGAAAAUACAGAGCUUGUAAGUGCUUGGAAAAGGCUAAAAUAGCAUCUGCUAAUCGAGGUCUACGCAGCGCAAGUUGGCGCGGGGCCUCGGCGACCUCGCGAACCUGUCUGCACUCCCCCCGGCUCCCCCCCUCGCCCCCUCUCCCACCGCAAACACGCCGCCGCUCCCGCCCCGGGAUAACCAUGGCAUAAUCGGGGACUAAACACUCUGUGGAAGGUCUAGAGGGGGCGAAAGCGGGGCUGUACAAUUCGUUGCACCAUUCGCUGUGCAGUGCUCGCCGGGGGCCCGGAUGAGACCGAUUUCGCCCAAAAGUACAGCCCCCCCGCGCGAAACCUGCGAAGCAAUCCGGCCAUUCACUUUGCAAGUCCCUGUAUGGAGGAAACGACGCCAGGAAAGUGGCGACUUUCAGGCUGACCUUGCGUCGCGCAAGCGAGGGUCGGUCGGGCUGAACUGGGCUGAAAAUGCAAAACAACUUCUGCUGCCCACCCGGAUGCUGCCUGCCCAGUAUGCGACACACGUAGGUCGCAUAAACGUUUUAUAAAUAUACGGUACUUGCAGAGAACCAGACUCACGACGCAGCCCAUGCCGUCGCACGCAGUCCUCGCCUUGCCGCCGCGGGAGAACCAUAGCCUGCCAGGCCCCUCCGACGCGCGCAGCUGCGUGUCCCGGCAUUUCGCACCACUCCUCUAACAAGAGUGACAGCCACCAGCAGCGUACCUCAAGGCAGCGCACAGCAGACAGCACCGCGGUAAGCGAUGCUCGCCCCUGGUGCUCCAGGCACCCAAGGGGUGUGCGUGCUCCUGCGUGCUGCGUGUAGGACGGCCUGGAGCCGUCAGGGGCCGCCAGGGCUGCCAGGUCAAGCGGCCGGUGCGUCGUGAGGCUUUGCUACAUGCCAUGGGCCACACAGCGUAAAUGAACGCGGGCAACCGGGAGUAUGCUACUUGCCCAGACAUCCGCGCAUCCUCUUCCCAUCCCUUGCUGCCGCCCGCAUGCGAUGCGUGAAUGCGAUAGUAACCGUGCAGGUGUGCGACUCCGCUUGCAAUAUAAUACCGGCAAAGGUGCGCCAGGCCGUGCAGUGACACGGGGCCCUGACUGUGCCUCGGCUACCCGAACAGGCCCGCACCUACCCGCGCCAGGCCCGCCACGCCCCCAUGCAGCAUCCUGCUUAGCGCCCAGGCUUCCACACGCCUCGAAACAUGCUUCCAGCAGCCAGCAGGACCAUCUGUCAGCCACGCGAACUGCACAGGGACGCCCCUGCAGGAGUGCGUCCCCGCCUAACACUUGGCCUGGAUCUGGCAGGGGCUACCAGGUCUGGCAACACGCCAACAAGCGCCCGCAUGACGGGGUUGGGUGGUGCAGCUCCUGCGUAGCACACUGCAGGAGAGUCUGGGAAGGACGCGGUAGCGCUAAUACGGUAGCUGACAAUCCAAGCACACCGCCACCUGUCCGUUGCUGAUAAGUGCGCAGUGCUCCAGCGGGGCAUCUGCACCCGUGGGCCGGGCACACGACUUUGCCCUGGUGCGCCAGUGCCCAGACGCGGUCAGGAUACAUAGCGGCGUGGUCCGGGUUGAAAGCGGGCGAGGCCGGGGGGCGGGAGAGUCACAGCAGGUUGGGCCUCUGGGCCAUGCCACCCUGGCUACUUGGACGCUGACGAGAGACACGGGGAACAUCUUGAUGCACGCCUUGCUACCCCUGCUAUCAUCGGGCAGCGCUGCUUUCCUAGUUCAUGCACUGCUGCCCAACCAUGCAGCCAUGCAUGCUCGUCGUUCCCUGCUGCUCAAGCCCCAUGACUACUUUUGCACAAUCACACGAACGGUCAAACCUGGUGUAGGUUCUGGCUUGUGAAUAAUUAGAUGCCCACCCGUGCGCUGGGCAGCCAUGAACAUUGUACGUGAUGGUUACAACAAGACGUGUUAUGCACGCGCUUGCGCUGCACUCCCACAUGGGGGCACUCUUGUGUCUGUGUCCUCUCUUCCGUGCUCCGCACCACUACCUCACCACCGCCUUAAUAACCGCGUUAUGGUACAAAAAGUAACAUGAGUACAAAUCCAGCCAAUGUCAGCUGUAUGUCAAAAUUGAAGGCACAACAUUGUGUGUGUGCAUGUGGCAGUGUAUAGCUCGCAGUACAUCACACAAUAUACUGUGCACCCAGCGUUAGCCACUAGCCUCAAGGGCUAGCGUUGCUCGCUCCGAAUAGACUGCACACACGCGCGAAUGCCCUUAUUAUCCUCAGCAUCCUCGUAGGCUACGAGCCCCAGCAACAAACCGCAAUAGCUUUACGCGGAGGGGGUGAACUUGGUGGCGAAGGCGAAGGCGUUGUUCACACCAGGGUUGGCCAGGUGGUCGUCCAGGUUCUGGACGGGGCCCUUGCCGGUCACGAUGGCCUGGACGAAGAAGCCGAACAUGGAGAACAUGGCCAGGCGGCCGUUCUUGAUCUCCUUCACCUUCAGCUCAGCGAAGGUGUCGGGGUCGUCAGCCAGGCCCAGGGGGUCGAACGACUCGCCGGGGUACAGGGGGUCCAGGCCCUCGCCAGCCGGGCCGCCGUUGACGCGGUAGCCCUCAAUCAGGCCCAUAAGGAUGACCUGAGGGGUGAAGGGGAGGGGAAGGGGGUCAGGUACGGUGACACGGGGCAAGCACGAAAACGAGAAGCACUACUGCCGUGCGCUGGACAGCUGCCGCGGAGUACUGGGUGCCGCUUGCAUGAUUAAGCCUGCUGCAAUCGAACCCAGGCUCUAUCCUGAACCAGUGACACCUGCCCACCCUUGGAAUCCCGCUUCCCACCCGCUCAACGAGUACGACAAAGCAAGGGUCACCUGCACAGCCAGGGUGGCGACGAUGUUCUGGGCGUGCACCAGAGAGGGGUUGCCCAGGUAGUCCAGGCCGCCCUCAGAGAAGAUCUGGGCGCCGGCCUUGAACCACACGGCCUCACCGAACUUGGUGCCGCUCUUGGCCAGCAGCUCGGGGGUCAGGCAGCCCAGGGCGCCCAGCAUAGCCCAGCGGGCGUGGAUCAGCUCCAGCUCGCGGUAGCGCUUGAAGGUCUCCGGGUCAGCCGACAGACCGGCAGUGUCCCAGCCGUAGUCGCCGGGGAACUCGCCAGUCAGGUAGGCGGGGGUCGAGUUCUCAGAGUAGGGGCCUGGGAGAGGGGCGGGAAGCGGAAGAGGGUAAGGGCAGCACACCAUAUCGCAACGGACCCCAGGGCACGUAGCGUAAGCGGAAUGUCCGCCAGGCACUGGAGUCAUUGUAGCGCGGCUGCCCUGGGCAGGUAUGCCGUGAGGUAUGCAUGCCCACUUUCCCCGGACCCCGGGUAUUGGCCCUAACAUGCUCGCGGCGCCAGCACAGAGCGGAAUUGUACUAUGUAUGUGCGUCUGCCCAUGAACAAAUGCGCCCUCCCGCUAGCGUUUACGCGAGCGAAAGCUUUGCACAUGCCCGCCCGGUUCUAUGCCAACAUCAGCACCUCAACCCGCGCACUCACCCAGCCACUUGGCGCGGUUGGGGCCAUAGAACUCAACGCCAGAGCUCUUGGGAGCAGCAGCCUGCAUUUCGCGUUCGGCGAAACGUUUAGAUGCGAACCAAAGACUUGCUGAGUGUGUAUCUUGGCUUGCAAACUAUCUCUAUCUGGUUGUAACUUAUUAUACGCGCCUUGGCAGCGGUCUUCUUGCCGGUCGCCUUGCAGGUGACCUGCAGAGCCUUGCGGGAGGUGGCCAGAGCAAACGCCAUUUCUGCUGAUGUAUGUGCAGCAAGUGAGCGAGUGAGUAUACAUUACCCCUCGUGAAGCUGACUAUAAGUAGGCAGCGCGGGAGAUUGCUCCUGGCGUCGUACGAAAUUUCUUUUUACGCGAGAUGGCCAGAUACGCUGCUCUGUCGUUGAUCUGAGGUUGGUCUAUAAGUAAGCUAAGCAUCAACAGUGGGCGACAUGCUGACCCUUGCAGCGUCUAGUUGCCCCCGACCGGGUUCGCGCGCAAUUGCUCACGCGGCUUGGUUGAAGAACCAAUGGUCGUCAAACGUUCAAGAGAUACACACGUAAAGCUACAUGUGUAGCAGUCAGUGUAUCCUCGUUUGUGGGUGCCCUCUAGAUUUGCACGCGAUGUCGGGGGGCCAUCCCUCCCGCCCCUUCCUGGCUCCGGCAUCUUUGGACGUGAAACUUACACCGAAAGGCCGGAUUGAGCACCAAGCGCAAGCGGCACUGGUUUUGGUUCGCCUUUAGCGUCCCUGUGAGCGUCCUCGGCACUCUCGGGAUAGGGGCGUGUGAUGGGCAGGGUCCCGUUCCCCUUGACGCUCGCCCGGACCUGCGCUCACGACGCCACCCGUGUCGUUGUUGAUUCUUGGCUGUGUGAUCGUGGUGCAGAUCUGGAGGGAAUGAGGGACACAUAGCUGUAUUCGGAUGCUGUGGGUUCCAUGCUAGCGGGCCACUGCGGAAGAGAGCGCCGGCUCACCGACAGUCUUUGCCAUUCCGUAUGUCAACUGAACUCGGCCGUCACCGACUCGCCAUCGGCCAACCGACAACGCCAGUAGUCACUUGUGCAUUACAGCAUUAGUCUAGGCAUCAUGCUCAUGGACGUAUGAACACCACCCUUCCCAGAAAAUGCUCCCUUAGAACUGCACCCCAAAGAAAUGUAGGCGCCAUCACCCUUGAGGCGCCAUUGACUCCUGUCAGUCCUGAGAGCACCCCUGCUCGAGUCCUUGAGACUAUGGCACGUCCAUUCUGAGUAUAGCCCCUCCGUCGCCAUUCGCCUAGGGCAUCUCUUAAUACAGUCGAAUUAUUCCUGGGGUGCACGCGCCACCUCCACAGUCCAUACGUGCCAUAAUAGUCACCGCCUACGGUACUCAUAGCUAGAUGCGCACACCGUCAUCCACGGCGUCACCAUCUCCGCCUUCUCAACCCGCUGCCGCCCGAGCCGCAACCCCUGGGCUCACAGCUGCCCCGCCAUGGGCCCAGCUGGCCCUCCACCCCCACCCGCACCCGCUGCCUGCGACCUGCGCGCCGCCGCUGCCGCCAUGGCCUCCUGCCGCGCCGCCUCCGCCAGAGCCGCACGGCCCGAGGUGCGGCCGCCGUCGGUGCCCGGCAGCGGCGCCUCCGGCACAGCCAGCGCCGCUGCCGCCGAGCGGCGGGCGUACUCCUCCUCCUUGCUCAGCAUUGCCGCCGCCUGCCGCGCCGCAGCCACCGCCGCCGCGCCCACACCCGUGCGGGGCUUGUACUGGUCCACAGUGUCCGGGCGCCGGUUCUCCUGCGGGUGAGGCGGUGUCAGUGGGCGGUAUCAGGGGCCGGGCGGGGUUAAGGCCGACACACAAUAAGAGCACACACACACACACACACACACACACACACACACACACACACACACACACACACACACACACACACACACACACAUACACACACCUACACACACCUGCACACACACGGUAAGACCGGUGGCGGCUCAGCAGCACGUAUGCGUAACUAACUUCAGGUUCCGUAUGCCGUCGCGUUGCUGCAUCGCAUACCGUAUACUGUCUUUGCCCUUUGUUUUCCUUGUGCUCUUUAACACACGCACACACACGCACACACAGGCGCCGUCUGGGCGGGCCUUGUCUUUACACACGGGGUUUGGGCGGAGAGGCGGGCAGUGGGCGGGCGGGCGGGCGAUGACGGUAAGAACGACACGGGAGCCCGCUCCAAUCCCUUCGCCCAGUACAACGCCACGAGGCAGGUCGGGCCCACUCUGGCACGCGCCAUGCACACACCGCCCUCUCACCUGCUCCUCCAGCUCCUGCCACAUGCGGCGCCAGCGCGCGUCCAUGGCCUCCCAGCGCUCCUCGUCCUCCGCCAGAAGCGACUCCUGCACGGCCUGAGGGCGCCAGACAUGCAGCACACACGCACACACACACAUAUACACACGGCGUCGUCUGGGCGGGCUUUCGUUUCGUUUGUUAACAUACACACACACGGAGGGCCGGGCCGGGCAUUCAGGGGGCAGACUGGCAUGACUGUGCGCCAGCCAUCGGACGUGAUCGUGAGGGUGCAGUUGCGUGUAGUCGUUGAGUUGCAUGGCGGCUCGUGUAGUGCACUGCAGCAACACCCUCCUGUUAUACAACUCAGCGCCACAACAAUGCCGAACUACCCCUCUCCCAUUCUAUCCGUUCUUUAACGCGGCGCUGCCCGGUUGCAAACUCCACCGCCUGCCAUCCGCUCCUGCGGCAGACCCCCACGCGCCACACCGCGGCGGCAGCCCCCGCACCGCCCACCUGCGUGUUGAGGCUGCGCAGGUGCGUCCACCACUUGCCCACGCGCGCGUCAGUCAGGCUGAGUGCGUGCGCCUGUGCCGCCCGCUCAGCACGCUCGGUGCCCCGCGGCGGCCGCGGGAAGUCCUGAGGGGCCACGUCUGGAGGCAGCUCCUUCAGGGGCCGCAUCUGCAUGGAUCGCACGUAAAAUGGAGGAACAGUUGCUGGGUUCAGGAGUAGAUCUGCAGUUGCCGCCAAUACAGGCAGGGGCGUCGGGGCCAGGCCGCCCAUGCGAGCCCUCAGCCGUGUGUCGCAUACCAGGCCCCGUAACGCCAUAUCCUGUGCCCUUUCCCGUUCCACCGGUUCCCCAGGAAAGCGCCGACUCCCGUGCGCACACGCCACGAAACGCCUGCGCAGCCCCUCCCCCACCAAGGCCCACACGCACACCUGCUCCAGCUGCACGCACAGCGUGUCCACCACCACCAGGUUGCGCUGCCGCGUGUGCGCGUCCGCCAGCCGCGCCGGCGCCGAGGUGUGGUAGUCGCGCAGCAACUCCGCCAGCCGGGCGUCCGCAAUGCCGGGGUCGGGGCGCUUGGCGGCGCCGCGCGCCUUGGCCAGCGCCACGUGUGCAGCCAGCUUGCCGUCAACCUUGGGGUAUGCGGUAUGCCCAAGUCCAAGGAGUAGGACCCAAUCGUGAGUAUGUGUGUGUGUGGGGGGGGGGGCGGCGGGCAGUCCUGACUAAUGCAAUGCGGCGGUGGUGCGGGCAGUGGUGGCAAGGAGCGCGGGAAGGCGCAUGCGCAAUGUGGCGGUGAGGGUGCAGCGGCGUUGGGUGGUGGUGGCGGCGAGUGCUGCGCGCCCGUCCGCACGGGGUCAAGACGCGUAGCCUCGUGUGCCGGACCGCACAACCUUUCCAACCUCCGCGCGCCCACGCCCCAGUGCAGCCCUCCCACCCCCGCCCGGCCCCCGCCCACCUGCGCCUUGAGCUCUUUGUACCUCCGGGGCCCCAUCACACUGCUGCCGCGGCCCACGGCGCCCUCCGCCGCCGCCGCCGCGGCCAGCCCCGUCACGCCCGCCGCUGCCUGCUGCUGCGGGCUCAGGCCGCCUCCUCCCCGCGCCGACUCGGGGCUGCCCUGCAGGCGGGGGCUGCCCAGCAGCACCGACGCGCCGCUCUGCCGCAUGAGGUACGACUGCCGCUGCGCCGCAGCCGCGGCCGUGGCGGUGGUGAGCGGGUUGCCGGCGGCGGCGACGGCGGAGGCGAGGGCGCCCGAGGCGCGCUUGGAGUGCAGGAUGCGUUUGAAGGCGGCUUGGAUCUUGAGCGCUGCCUGCGCGGGCACACAGGGGCACAGAAGAGGUGCACAGCCGCGUCACAGCGAGUUGCCGUGCGUGGACGUGCGGGAAAUAGCAGGUUUGGCAAUUAUCAUCAUACUGACGGCGGGUGUUAAACCUUGGACUUGCAGUGGUAGUAAGGCAGGUUGCGCACAGACGCCAAGUCCAAUGCACACGCGAGCCCGUGUCCCUCGUAGUCAUUGCCAACCAACCAGACACCCGAUUCCCGCCCCCGUGCCCAUCCAAUACGCGCGCUCCAAUACCAUACAACCCAAGCGCCCACCCAAGCACCCAUGCUCCACCAACCAUCCGACCGCCACAAAGUCCCCUCGCCGAACGCCAGCCCACCUGCUCUCGCCGCGCACGCUCCGGCGACUUGGCCAUCUUCCGCCGCGCCACCAGCCCCCGCCACGCCGCCUGCACGCGCACGGCCGCCAGGAAGCGGCGGCGCUCCCACUCCUCCAGCUCGGCCCCGGGCAGUGCCAGCAGCGCGCGCUUCUCCGCCUCCAGGAUCUGUGAAGGGGCAGAGUGGGGUAGCGCGUUGGAGGGAUGAGAUCCAGGCUGCUUGGGGGCAGAAGUGGAGGAGCAGUAAGGGGUGGUAUUGGGUGGAACGGCGGUUGCGGCAUGCGUGCUGUCAGGCAAGCACCGCUGGGCCCGCAUCAGUUGGCAGGCGCGGGGCAGGCGCGCGCCCGAACCUUCCCCAUUCCGGCCAGCUCUCAACCGCGAGCGGCCCCUGCCACCCUUCCUGGUCCUCACGUCCACAAUACGGUGUCCCACACCUCAAUCACCAAUCGCUUGAGUGCAUGUAGCCAGCACCUCUAUUUCCUUGCAUACGAACGCCCCCUGAAAAUAUACCAUGCAUGUGCGCACGCACGCACACACGCGCACGAAGAGACACACGUACACGCAUCACUCACCCGAAUCUUCUCCCUGUGCUUGUCCAUUACGGUAUGAAAGCGCUGCUCCAUCUCCUGCCGCCCGCGCUGCUCCGCAACCUGUUUGCCCACCAGUACAAGUCAGUGAGCGGGUUGGCACCCAGAGCAGCGACGUCAACAAGCCGGAGUACGCUGUACUGGCCUUCCUGCACGGCGGCCGGCAGGCGCACUGAUAGGCCCAGCUUUGAUAGGCUGACCCACCUUCUUGCGGACAUACCAACCCUUCGCCAUGGUCUGGAUGCGUUGCGCUGCAUUCUGCGUGCAUGACCGCCAUAAGAAACGCAGGCUGUCGUAGGAAGAUGCGACACGGUCGUGGCAGCUGGACGUGGCAGGUAUUGCCGAGUCCUGUCGAUCCGAACGCACUUCAGGCAUCUGUUAUGAUAGUACACGUACCCGUAUCUUCAAGAAGGCCUUGCGCCCUCGGUGCGCGCGCCAUGCAGCCUGCAGCCAAGAGCCGAGUACACGAACAGUCUCAUUGCAUAAGCGCAGCUUGCUCCACCCUGCCUUUUACCGCCCUUGCCUGUAUUCGCCGGGCCGCAGCGUCGCGGCGACGAUACAGAGCAUCGUAGUCCAUUUGGGGUUCAGCUGCUGCUGUUGUCUUCGAGCUGAACGAUAUGUCAGAAGAAAGCACAUACUGCGCACGAAGAGUAUUGGCAAUCCAUAAGCGCAAGGCGCAUUCGUUUUAGUGGGGUGAACAAGCGUGGACGAUUUAAGAAUGUCCUGCCGCUAUAAAGGAUACUAGACCUAAUAAAGUAUAAUUGGCGUGCAGUAUAAAUUCUCAUUCUACGCAUAAUCAUAAAAGCAACAAUGCGUGUUGACUGUCGCUGGGUUCUUUCGGAUCCAAGCGGAAUGUCGAGGACCGCGCCCCGCCUGCGUGUUUCAGAUUUUUAGCAGUGACACGCCGCAUUCAUCAAGGCCAGCCAAGCAUGCGGGCUGACGGGGUCUAACCCUACUCCCGCGCGAGUUUACCCCGACCGAGGGCUGCAGUGGGCUGCCGAGGGCAUGCGAUGGGACAGUGUUUAGGCAGAGUUGGUGGCGUCCCGUAGGGUUCAGCUGACGCCCAGACCCCAGCAGAUAGCAAAGAAUUUGCAACGGCAGGGCAGGAGUGCGCGGCUGGUCGAACGCCAGAGUUACUGUACCGACAAGUUGCUGGCUGGCUGGAAGUUUGACGCACAUUCCUCACGCUCCGGGCGCCCGGCCAGGUGAUAGCACCACAGACACACCGCAACGCCACACUCGCGAUACAGAGCCGCAGCGCACCUGCAGGAAGGUGACCAGCGUCCACGGAUGGGCACCAGACACCAUCAGAGGCCUUAUGAGGUUUCGGCUUUGCUGUUGGCCGAUUGCAGCUAAUGGAGACCACCAUUCACCUAGAAAUGCCAGGCUUUGCCCCCUCUGCAACAAAGGAGUAGAGCCAGGGGUCGUAUCUUGUUUUGGGGGUAAUGUCUAGCUCCAGACAAAAACGGCCGGGUGGCCGCCGUCUUUUGUCUGGGCACAUGGCGGUUUGGGGGCUUCUCCAUAGGAAUUGAGACAAAACCCGCCCCAAACCCGGGCCAACAAAGUCUCGCCCUAGACAUUAGCCCCCGGGAGGAAUGUCUAGAAAACGGCCAAAAUGACCAAUUAAUGUCUGGAGACAGUUCCAGGGGACGAGGGGCCCUUGCGGCUUGGUUAGUCUCGUUGCAGGUAUUAGGAAUGCACACUUCCAAUCCGUGCUUCCAAUCCUGUAAUACACACACCAUAGUGCUGCCGGGGGCGGCAGUGUGGUGCACGCAUGCGAUGGGACAGGUGCCACGCUGCAGUGCAUUCCCUGCCCGUAAGUCCCUGCCCACUGACAUGGAAUGCAAUGGUGCGUAGUUACAGGACUCGCACCUGCCAGUCUGUAAUGUCUGCUAACUAUGUCUACCAGACACCUAACGGUUCCUCACGCUCGGGGCGCCCGGCCAGGCGAUAGCACCACACACACAUGCUCAUGCUCACGCUUUUCUUUUUGCUUGUGCUAGCUCACUGGCCUCGGCUCUACAACGUCAUGUUCGCUUGUGCGUGUUGCGUUUUUUCAAGCACGUCAACAUUUCUCCCGUCGUGUCAUGAAGACACACACACACACACACACACACACACACACACCAGCGCCCGCGCCGGCGCCUUUAUAGUGUGGUGGAGUUUGCAGCGUAUCUGGUCGCCAAACCUGGCUAUUCAUUGCCGAUUCCAGUGACAUCGAGCAAGCACACGUACCCAGUCAGGUCGUGCAGCACAGUUCUUUACAAUCAUGCAACGUAGUCCAAUCAACUAGCAGGCCCCAUGGGGGUUGGUAUUCGGUUUGCGCAAUAGGGUCAUUGCGCCGGUUCGUGAACUUGUUCCAGCACUAGUUGCACCCUCCAACGUACCCUAUGGCAGAGACACAACAGCACAUGAGCCCAUCUCCAACAUGCGCUGGUGGCCGAUUAAUCGCAACUUGUGAGAAACACAAUUGCAAACUCUUUUAACACUGAAGGUAGGAGCGGACAGGCUUGAACACACCAUAAGAAUCGCGUCCGAACUCCAGUCGGGCGGGUCAAAGCUUGCGCACCUCUCCUGUCUCUGUCAGCGGCUCUGCGCAUCCGCACAAAUAAUACCUUGGGUCUCUAUACAAGGCAGUCCUCACCAGUUCCAAGACCAAUCACUCGAAAGAAGGAUGGUAAGCCCGGGCCCCGCCUGGGAAACGCAGCUUGCCACAAAGAAGAUGAGCGCCUCAACACACCCACGCAGACUAAUUUAGGUGCGGCCUGAAAUAUCCUCAGGAAGUCAGAUUCUUCUGUCCGUCUUACAACUAUUCCCAGCUCCACGCCCACCUCCAGCCGCGCGCCUGCUGCAGCAACCCUCGACCCCUUCACAUUCUGCACAGUAGGGCACAUGUAUCCCACCUGCCCACAGGCGAGGCCAAUCUCAACACCGUCGCGUAGCGUAAUAGUUUGCUUCCUGUGUUCAUAGUGUCGCUUUUUCCUGGCCUUCCAAGGAUACAUCCCCUACCUACUGCCGUGCGAAAGUCUCGCUGGUACACCUGCCACACCGCCGAAUCUACAUAGGUACACUUCUGCCUAGGCAACUUGGCCACCGCAAACUCAAUCUGAGCUAUCGCAACAGGCGGCACAGUAUCGCCUGCGCAUGUCCAUCACACAAGACAACACCCGGAACUUUAACUUGCCGACCACCUGAUACUGAAAUGUAUCACCACACGUCUUCAGCAACAAGCGGAGCGCAACCAGUGCAGCCAGGGUGCCGUAAUGUAAGAUUUGUACGCGCACUUUACGUCACUUAGUCUGAAACAGUCAAACGCCCAGACAUGGAACGAUUACUGAAACAGCAGGUCAAUCCCGCAGCAGCUCAAACACGCGCUCGGUUGCGAGACGAUCUACAUUCAUGACUUUUUCUGAAGCUACUCUGCAAGCCGUAGGGGCUCACUGCUCCCGCUGCCUUUGUGGCGCUGCCCAGCGGCCAGGGCUCACGCGCAGGCGUGACCUCGAACCUACACGGAUUAACAAGGCAUUCCCCCGCACAUGUAGCUUCUAAAUUACCCAUGUCGCCGCGCUAUACUCAUUCGUCCUUGCGUCUCCAGCAUGUGCAUGUAUUGGAACCGUAAUGGCAACGGACCGUGCAGGCACCUGCCACACUGUAACCUCAUAUAUUAAUUCACGCAUCCCUGGCCUGGCCCUAGCUCUGGUCCUCCAUCUUCCACCUGAGGAGUAGGCAUCGCCCGUGUCUGUAAUAUCUUUGCCUGUUGCGCGUCAUCGUUAAGACCAGGAGUCUAGUCUAGCCUACCGCGACUGCCUACGGUGCCAAGUUUCCACCCUUCAUUGUCCCACCGCCCCCAGCGCGCAGUGCUCACAUACCGCUCUGGCACGCGGUACAAGUUCAGUCCCGGUCAUGCAAUCCCACCGACGCAUCCCCGUGCUCUGCCUGCCCUUUGCCUAACCGGUCUGCCCAUGCGGGCCCCGCUCGGCAAAAUUGGGCGGCGGAGCGACUCGUAUGCUAUGCUGCAUAAAUGCGGCCAACCACCCACAAAACCACAGCAAAACGUGCUUCUUGCGUGACUGGUGAAAACGGCAUGCGAGCAAAACGUACGAGCGCCAGCUGCUAGAACAGCUCAGAGCUCCCAUCUUAACCUUCAACGACAAGAGCGUGCUCAACAGACUUCAACAUACUAAAUGCAAAGCAGGUGCCGACCUUCGUUGAUACACAACAAGUUCGAAUACAGCCACGUACUAUUUGGCUGGUCCCUUAUUACUGCAAACAGUCCGAGGUUACAACUACUCUUCAGGCGCAAGGUCACAAGUUGUGGCCCGUGUGUGCGGUGCGUGCCACCACGCAAUCAUUGCGACCACCACCGCCAACUAUUACCAGGUGAGCGCUGCCAUCCAACAGCUCGUGCACGGCGCGCAGGCGUACCAUGCAACGUUCCCGAACCUCUUGCGCAAUGUCAGUGGGCUACGCAGCUUGCAGUAGCUGGCCUGUGCUGUAGCCAUCGCAGCCUCACAGGAGGGUAUAGCCGGGCCGGCAGCUGACCCUGCACGUGCGUAACUCCUCAUUGUCGCGCUGUCGCCUGGCGCGAAGCGCCAGCCACACCCGCACGCGUAGCCGUCAAUCUACAUACACCGACAGGCUGUAAGCAGCCACAAACACCGUAGCAUGGCGCCGCCCCGCAGCCUGCUGCUGCUACUGCUGCACCGGCUGCGACUGCUGCGCCACGACGGAUUUGUACAUCUCGUACAGCCGCUCCACGGAUGGCAGGAGGCCCUGCAGCUCGGUCUCGGACAUCACCGUGCGCAGCGAGUUGACCACGCACACGUUGACGCCGGUCUUGAGCUCGCUCUCCGCCACCAGCAGGCACGCAACAGCCAGGCGACUGUAGCUCACGCCCGUCAGCGCGUGGUCCAGUGUGGCCAGCUCCUGCGUACAGACAAGAGCGCGGGAUGAAAUUUUGAUGACAAUUGCUAAACGCCAAAAAUAUGCCUGCAUGUUGUCAAAUGCUGCGUGGCGUGCACGUGGGGUAGCUGGCAAAGCCCGAUAGUCCCGGCUUAGACCCCUGGUAGCGGCCUUUCACGGACACGUCCUCCGCCGCCAGCUGCUGAUAGCACGUGCGCAGCCGUACGAAGGUAUCCGGACGCAAGCACGCACUGGAUCCUCAUGCGGGCACACACUCACCGUCAGUUGCUGGACGGUAGCGCGGAAGGCGGCCUCCUUGCCGGGCGGCACCACCGCGCCGUCCUGCGGCCGGUUGGUCACGCGGUGCACCAGCAUGGUGGCGAAGGUGUAGAGCGUUGGCACCCGCAGGCGCCAGUCCAACGCGGUCAUGAUCUGAUACUCCAUGCGGCGCGCGGCCUCGGGCUGCGGGGCGAGCAGUGGCGGCAACCAGGCGCACAAGCACACACAGUACGUAAGCAGUGAGAUGAAGGUGACCGGGAGAUUGUACGGUACGCACAGGGCAGUGUGAGAGACAGGCGAGGGCGAAUGCACUACAUGUCACGGGAAAACGUCAACGCCGCAUUCUGCUUACCUCAAACGGCUUGCCGCCCUCGUCCUUGGCCAGCUGGAACAAAUUGUCGGCAGAGCAUUGCUGCGGGAGACGCAGUAAGCAUAUGGAGACGGGCAGGGGGAUAAGUGGCGCGUACGUGGGUGCCAGCGGAGAAUUCAUUGAGCGCGGGCUCGAAACACACGCGCCGGGGCCACAACCCUGCACCAUGCACGUCCAGCCCGUCAGCGGGUCCAAAGACCCUACCUGCUCGACCUUCACCGCCAGCGUCAUGCACGUUAGCGCCGCAAGCUGCAACGCUGAGAGCGGGACAUUCCCCUGCAGGCAAACAAAGACGUCGGUUUUAUGUUCCACGAGUAUUCAGGGCAGGAUUUGGCAAUGUUUUCUGCCACCGUGCGCCUAAACAGCUCCUACCUCGCCACUGGCGCGUAGAAAGCGGUCGAGGAUCGACGCCGACGUGAAGAAUGUCGCCGGUGCGAAGCCCUGCAGCACGCAAGACUGCCGCAUCCACUCGACGAGUACUCCACGAUACUCCGGAAGGAUGGGCGGCGAUGUGUGAGGCCCCAGCUCGCGCUCCUUGGCGAACUCCGUUCUGCAAUACAAGAAGCCCUUCGUUUCCGAGCCGUCACGCGCCCAGGCUGCUAACUAGAACGCACCUUAGAGCCUCCUCUGCGUCCUCGUGAUUAUAGGACGUGCUCACGAAGGUCCCGGGCCGGUAAAAGCGAGUUGCGUCCUCGUCGUCGUCUUCCAGCACAUCGUCCUCGCCGCAGAAGAGCCCCGGAGAGCCAGGGCGCAGCGAGAGGUCCUCCUCGCUUUUCAACGUGGAGGAUGAGUUCAUCCAGCAGUAUGACGACUCGUUCUGCGGGCAAAGUUCGGGGGUCAGAAUUUCCACCCCCCAACCCCUUCAGCAACCAGGCCCUGUAUCUUCGCCAGGACCUCACCUCUGAGUCAAAUGAUCCAACAUCACUGCAAGUCUCUGGCGCUGACGAGCAGGACGGCGGGAACGCGAGUGUCUGGCGGUCGCGACUGCACAGACCGAACAGCGACUCCUCUUCCAUUUUCGCGGAGCCUCCUCCGAACAGCUGGCGUUGGCACGGCACUGGCGAGCAUUCUAGCAUGCUGCCGACAGCGACGGCAGCCGCAAAUAAGGGGCUCGAGCACUCCAUUAAUCCCCCCGCCAAACACGACCUCUCUGGCCUGUCCGGCCGGCUGAAAUUUCGUACCUAAUUGUAUGAUGUAGUAUCCACUGUAAACCUAUUCCCUGUAGUCACGGAAAGUGUGCGUUCUGGCGAGCUCAAAGUGAGUCCUGCCAGUUGAAUCCAAGCGCCUCCAUCCGGUCGCUGGGGAGCCAGGGACUGUGUUAUCUCCUGUAGACCUGUGCAUUCCAUGUAUUGCAUUGCAACGUAUUGAUUACAUAGCAUCCGGGGGCGAGCAGGAGGCGGGUGCCGGAGAGCAUGCUUGAACGGGCGCUUGCGCCAGCCAUUCCAAAAGUCUCCAGAUACAAAUCGAUUAUUACAGUUGAUUUUUCUUAUUCACGCAGUCCUGGCUAGGCGAAGUCGGAGCAUCACCUUCGGCCCGCCCCCGUGACGCCGAGGUGUGAGAUAUCGGUUGUGAGGCCCGUUUGGACCUGGGAGCAUCACGAGUAAUGUAUGCAUUAGAGGGCAUGGCCAUUUCACUUAGCAUGAUUGAUGGCCUGAAUAUGACAGUUAAAAAGACGUCAUUCAGGCUGGCCAGGGCCUUGCAGCCCAAUGAACUGGUUAACCCCGGCUUGGGAGACGAAGGGCAACUCAGCAUCAUGCGAGCCCAGCUAUAAGUCGCUAUAGGCGCACGGGGCCGCGAUGAGAUGGGGGUGCAAUGUUAGGGUUUCCCUCUCUAGGAGGGCUUUCACGGAGGGCAUUCCCCACUGGGGUUUCAGUUCCCUCCCGCAGAGCCAUCGAGCCGCGAUGGGAGGGGGAUUGUAGCAGUACCUAGCCCACCUCGGACAUAACUCAUUGUAGAGACUGGCAAGGGGUUGGAGAUGUCCAACGGAUGAGACUUGGGUGACCGCAUAUUCAUUAGAAGACUCGUAAGAGGCAUAAGUUAGGGCCUAGCCCUGUCUCGAACAGGGAUCGUAACAGUAGAUCUAUUACAACUGGCCGGAACACUGGGCGUGGUGAUGGCUUAACGGCCGUGCCUUUCAUCGUGUCUCAUCUUGGCGGGCGUUCCGCCUACAGGGAUGCAUGGGGAAAGGUUACACUGGGUGACUGGAAGAUCACCCAAAAUUAACAUUAGGUCCACGGGUGCCAACACCAACUGCAACAUGAUGGUGCUGCCCGCUUGCAAUGAAUGGACUUUACAAACCGGCCGCCGGCGCGCCCACGCCAUGAGGGGCCAUCUCCGGCCCAGAGAGAGAAACCGCCCUCCCUCUGCUUGGCUACCGACCUUCACUGCACUGCAUUACGCUAGCCUUCACACGAAGCGUGUCUGGGGCACAACGGCAUGCGUUGAAGCCAAGCCUCAGCCCGCCACAGCCUCACAAUGCUGAGCGCCAUGGCCCAACAGCAAGUGGCACUGACGCAGCAACAUGCACUUCAGACCGUUGGUCUGCGGAACGCCCAGCCAAACAAAAGCACCACAUUAGUAACUACGUUCAACUAAGACAACGCACCACAACGCACCACAACUAUGAUUGUGUAUGGGGGAUCGGGAUUGAGUUGGGGGGUUCUGAAAUAACUGAAUUUACGGAGGCGGGGUGGGACUGGGCGGGCAUGAUGGGGCAGGUGGCGAACAUUGUGUCCUGGUCUCAGAGUUGACCGGGGGCCUCAGCCCCCCUCUUUUGCUCGGUUUAGUUUGGGCUGGUAUCUACACACACACACACACACACACGCACACACACACACACACACACACACACACACACACGCACACGCACACGCACACGCACACGCACGCACACACACACACACACACACACAUACACAUACACACACACACACAGGACGCAUACAGGUGCAUCGCGGGGUCAGGCCGAAUGGUCGCCCGUGGGGUUACAGGCUUAUCGCGGGUAAGUAUGACUACCUGGUUGACGGCAACCACGCGACGCUCGGUAAAUUGGUAGGUACGUAUCGGCGGGCGUCGUCUGGGCGGGCUUUCGUUUCGUAUUUUAACACACACACACACACACACACACAGAGAAAUGAAAGCUAGUGUGAAUGCAAAUGCAAGACGCCCACACACACACACACACACACACACACACACACACACACACACACACACACACACACACACACACACACACACACACACACACACACACACGGUAUUUGUUGGUAACUGCGCGCGCGUGUAUGGCGGAAUUUUGUUCCGUUUGAUUCUUUGUUUAACACACACACACACACACACACACACACACACGCGCGCGCACACACACACACACACACACACACACACACACACACACACACACACACACACACACAAGCGCUGCGCGCGCCCAAGGCUGCCCCCCACCCGUAUGGAGCGGCCACCAUCCAGCGACGGGACCGCCUUCAUCAUAUAUACCGUACCUGUGGGAUGAAGGCCUAACGGCGCGUAAGUCACUACCCUAAGGGUAGCCCCGGCCCUGUCUCGAACAGGGAUCGUAACAGUUUUAGGGUUUUUAGGGUAGAUCUAUUACAACUGGCCGGAACACUGGGCGUGGUGAUGGCUUAACUCGGCGCCAUCGGCCGUGCCUCUCAUCGUGUCGAUCCCUGUUCGAGACAGGGCUGGGGCUACCCUUAGGGUAGGGACUUACGCGCCGUUAGGCCUUCCGCCCACAAUAUCCCACACCGGCGGCGCCAGCCGUGCAGGCGGCUGGACGAGCCAUAGAUCAGCACGCGUAAGAAACCCAAUAAAGGCCACCCAUGGUCACAGCCAUGUUCUCCCGCAGAGCCCAUGCCACAACGCAAGAAAUGGUGGCAGCGGUCCCCGUCGUUCAUGCUCAUACCACUUGCACGACAAGGAGGCAAGGCAACUCCAAACGCACGCUCACGAGGAGCCCUCGGCACCGCCCAACAAGCAUUGGUCGCCAGCUCGCCACCCGCCAAAGCGCCUCCGGUGCCAGGUUAACAAUAUUUGCUGGCACGGUGGGCGGUAAGCAGAAUACGGCUGUUUAAUUCGUUGCCAACUGUGCUUGUGCUUGACAGCGGGGCACGGCUGGACAUACCGUAUGGCGGGCGGCGGUGUCUGUGCAAACUAACCCUGGCUAUGUUUGAACGAUGAGGUAGAUGUUUUUUAGAGUUCUGAGGUACGGUAAGCACUUUUAGUGAGAGAAGGAAGGGGAAGGCGCAGCACCACACCGGCACACAAUCUGCAACGCGAGCAAGCAGAACACCAGGGACAACCGCUCAAGCCACCGAAACCCAAGGGCACCCCUCCGGGGCAAAGCAAGGGCAGACCUAAAAAAGGCGAAGUACCCACCAUACUCACAGGACAGAGCAAGAAAAGAAAAAAAAAGAAGGAGAAGCACGGACACCCAGCACCAAGCCCAAACCACCGCGAGAACGGGAAACCACCACAGGCACACACGCACACCAGCGCGCCGGGCCCCCGCACCAAAACACUGCAAACCGGUCCCCGGUCCCAAGCAGGCCAGGGAACACAGGCAGCAGCUACCCGGCGCCACGCACGCACGCUGAACCAAGCGGCCGCGUGAUCUGACCCAGCAACAAAGCAGUCCAAAGCGACUACACGGGAACCACCGCAGGCGCACGACCACGCGUAGUCACACACGCCCCCACCUGCAGCAAAUAGGGGCAGGGGCCCCACGCAAACCGGGGCACACAGGCAGCAGCGAACCAACUUCCACAACAAAGCAGACCAGCUACCGCACCGGAACAACUGCCGGUGCACGAACAAACGCAGGCGCACACACACGAACACGCCACCAAAACAGGACAGCACACUAGAAAGGCCCCGCCCAGAGCGCCCGCACCAACUCCGCGUCCGCGCGCUCCGCAACCUCUAGCAGCUGCGGCACCAGGCCCCGCGGGCACACGGGAGGGCCACGCACCGUCUGCCACCCAUUCCCGCUCCCAGGCGCGGACGUCCCCACGGAGGGACCUCAGGAUUAGAGCGCGCCCAGUGCCACGACAGCACAACGCGAACUGAUCACUCGCAUCCCACAGGGCCUGCUGCAGGACCGCCUCAAAGGUGGUGCCGGGGCUGGGAGCCUCAUCGUGGUCAGCCAGCAAGGCCACGACGUCCGCCGCGGACGGGAGCGAGGUCCCGUAGUCGCACUCGCCACCACCCAUAUCAGGGUCCGGGCCCACCCCCGCUUACUUGCCGCCUCAGACGUGGCAUGGCCGCAUCCCACUUUUCCCUUAAGGUUUGUUGUCCCCAUUGUAAGGCCCACAAGGGUGGACUCGAACCCAUGUAAAUGCUCAUGCUCAAGGGCCAGAGCACCACCAAAGGCGCAGGCAGCCACAGCCGUCAGUCCCCGCCUCCGGUUCCCCAGCAAGAUAUACAUACUGCAGGUGUUUAGCCCGCAGCGCAGAUGGCUGGGGGACCAGCUGCAUAUCCCUCCCUGUCCCCACAUUGUACUCCGUCAACAAAGCUGCGGGCCCACGUCCUGCGCCCAGCCCCGGCCCCGCACCACUUGCGCCACGGUCUAAGCCGCGCCGUUGUGCAGCGCGACGUUCUGGCGCGGCGCAAGGGCGGCAAGACCCCGUGCCAGCCGGACAGUACGCGCGGCUUCCGUGCAUCCAGCAAGGAGAGUAGCCACCGACGCAGCAAAACGCAAAGCCGCCGCCUGCGGCGACACAAGCCCCGGGACCGGCGCAGCGGCGUUGCCGCCCGGUGCCAGGCCCGCAGCCACGCAUCCGCCACCUUCGUCCACGGCGGCACGUAUAAGUCAACAAACCACACGCCCCCAACACGCAGCGGAAAGGCAGGCUUGCGUGGCGUGCCUGCACGUGUGCAGCAGGGGCAGGAGCCCGACGCCAUCACACACAGGCGGGGACUACCGUAGGGGCAUAUUAGACCGGCGACCGGCGCCUAUCAACCACAGCAGCCAGAGCCACGAACGCACGGGCUGACCCAAAAAUCUGCAGAAAGACCAGCAAACUCCAAGUGGUAAAGCACCUUGCUUAUGGUGUAGGCCGAAGCCGCUGUCGCCAUACCAAGCAUCGUAGUAGGCCCCCUCACCAUCGCACCAAGAACACCCACCACCGCCUCAGAAGCCACACUGCCACACGCGGGGUGACUGUCUUCAAAUCUCCAUAGUGAACACCCAGCGACUUGGCGGUUUGGACCACCCGCUAUCCAGGAGGCAAGUACAGGCGGGCCCGCCACACCGGCCGGUAGUAUGGUGCCAACUGCCAGCAGGGCUUGUGCAUCAGCAAGGCACGAUAGGGGCGCCAGGGGACCACCUAUCUAGCCGCACCCCGGCCACCAGGGGGAACCCACCACGACACACGCCCAGUCAUUCACCAACGCAGCGCCACGUGUAUCAGUGAAGAAGUCACGACACCCACGACAAGUAGCCCGCUCCCACCCCAUGCGGUCAAAGCAAUCCAGGAGGAAGGAUCAGGACUUAAUGGGGGUUGUGCAGUGCCGGGAUCUGAGUGGCUUCGUUGUGCGUUGCCGGCCUCCUUGCCCCCACCCCUCUCGCCCACCGCCGGCUCAACUCACUAUCAGCAAAACGUUUUGGCGGGCCCGACUGCCUGCCUGGGUUGGGUUGGCCCAUAGAGCGGGAUAGCCGGACAGGCCGUCCAGCCCGUCCUUAAGCAGCCAGCAUCAGUGGCCGGGGUACCACUUGGGGUACCAUACGCUGGAUGCCCGCGACCCUCCCCUGCCGCGACGGCUGAAUGAGUCUCCAACUCUGAUGCGCUGGAUGCCCCACGCCCCUGCGACAGGUAACCUUCCCGACUUCGGUGGGCCAACCGCGCGUGGCGGUGGAGGGGUGAUGGCACGCGCCGCAUGCUAUCACCGUCAAUCCUGCACAUACGAGCGAGCCCUGCAUUGCGUAACAAGCUGUUUUCAUACACAUGCAGUAAAAUGUUUAAUACAACAACAAAGCUACACAUCUGUCGCGGUGUUUCACUUUCAAUCUGUAACACCUGAACGAGAGCGAGCAUCUGCCAUAUUAAUUUACUGCAAUUAUUGAUAGGUAAUCAUAAACGAAGUCGUUUCAAAACACAGGUCCGAUAAGACGCCUGAAAACCAGCCACUCCGAGCUCAACUGGGCUUAGGACAUGGCAUCGCAGUCAGCUGAAGCCCAGAUCGAGCGUAUUGUUAAGGACAACAAUCGACCAUAUGGCCUGCAACAGCUGGUGGACCUCGCGGCGACCAUGAACUUUAAAAAGGCCCAAGUCACGAAAGCGGUCGACGCGCUUGUUGCUAAAGGCUCUAUUCUGGCCAAGGUGCUGAAAUUGUGGUAGCACCACUUGCUGGCAGCUGUGGUGACUGACUGCUGGGCUGAAUCGCAGGAGUUUGGCAAGACCAAAAUCUACUUGCCGCCGCAAACGGGGCGACCGGUACUGUCGAAGGAGGUGAGACAGAAGCUUGGCGGCCGCGGAUGGAAGGCAGGGUAGAUGAAGGGUGCGGGAAAGGUCGAAAGGACGUGGGUAUGAUGGCGUGUGCUAUGCUACGCUGGCCACUUUCAAUGACGCUCUUUACCUGGUCGCAUUCAUAGGACUACGAGGCGAGCAAGCAGAAGACGCGGGAACUGCAAGAGCAAUGCCAGAAGGAGGCGGUGGAGUGCAAGCAGCUGGAGACAGGUGCGUUGACGUGGGCCACUCUUCAGCGUCCUGGCGUGGUACGAUAGCAGCUGCUCUCGUUGCAUCUGGGUUGCAUCAUUAUCUUCGGCGUUGCUUGUUCCCGAUACACCAAAUUGAGCGCAGAGCUAUCACAGCUGCGAAGUGUGCUGUCGGAGGCUGAGAUAUCGCGGCAGACGGAGGAGCUCAAACGGAAAGUGAGGCAGACGGGCCCAGCGCCGCCCAGCUCCGAGGGUUGUUCCCUUAAAUGCAUUGGGAAUGCAUUUGUUGUGGGUGACUUGGUGGUCUGUGUCGGAUUAGUGACGAGGAAUGCAGGCCAAUUUCAAACCGCUGUUGUUUCAGUUUCAACCCCGUGCACGCAGUGGGCACAGACUGACCCAACCCACUCGACCCACAUCGGCCCCGCCCGCAGCUGGCGGCUGACGAGAAGAAGCUGGCGAUGCUCAAGUCCAACGCGGUGCUCAUCACCGCCGAGGUAAGGAGGAAACAGGGGCAGAGGCAGAGGCGACGUGUCAGAGAGCACAAGGGAAGGAAACACGCAAAAGUUGUGUAUUCGAGGCGGUGCGCAGCGGAGGCGUUGUGUGUGCGGGCGGGCGGGCGGGCAUGGGCGGAAAGAAAGGUAUGCACAAUGCAGGGAGCGGGGGCUGGCAUCGUCUAUAAAUGUAGCCGGUAUAGCUAUCACGGGAUACCGAGUGAUGCGUUACAGGCGCGUGAGCUACUUGCUUCUACCGUAUUUGUACUGUUUAUGUUCACCGCGUGAACGGCAACGGCUCUGGUCCUGGUGCAGGAGCGCGCGGCCGCGGAGAAAGCGCUGGCCAGGACGCUAGAGGCGUGGCGCAAGCGGCGGAGCAUGUUCAAGAACAUAUGGUGAGUGGUGAGGGUGCCGCGGAGCCUCGUGUGGAACAUGAAAGGUGUUGGAUGCAUAGGCGCGGUAUGCAUGAGGCGGCUAUCCAAUCGGUGUGUGCACGGUGGGAGGCUGCAUGGCGCUGAACAUGGCCUGGGGUGUGGUAUCUAGGCGCCUUACCACAUCAACAAAACACCUGCGUCUGCGUGUGCGAGGCGGCCGAGUUACCUAGCUUACACGACCUCAUAAACCCAGCCCGACUCAUCCACGCCUCCCAAGCCAACCAUCUUGAACCCCCGGCCUCGCCCCCCCGCCCCCCGCCCCCCUCCCCAGGGGCGCCAUCAGCGAGAACAUGGACGGCAAGCAGGCGGACCUGUUCGAGGAGAUUGGCGUGGAGACGGACGAGGCGGCGGGCGCAGACAUGGCGGAGGCGGAGCGCCUCAUGCCGGGCAGCAAGCGGAUGCGCCGCUGAGCGGGGAGGGGCGGGUGCAGGACAGGGACGCAGUUGGGGGGGGGGCUGUAUGGGGGGGGGCAGGCGGUGGGGAGUGGGCGGAGUAUAGCCGAAGGACGUGGUCAUGGGCAGGAGCUUGGGCGGGUUGGGCAUGCGCACAGUACUUGUAAGUACUGAGCUAAAGCCGUGGGCUAGCAAUCGCCGUGUGGCGAUGCACGCGGCCAGGGCAGCGGCGGAAGGGACUGCUGGCAUCGCCUUGUGUCUAUGUGGGUGGCAUGCAGGACUUGAGUUUGCCUAAGAACUGGUGGUGGGGAUCCGAGUGUUGUGAGGCAACAGUGACGCAGGAUUGUCCAUGUGUACAUCACCCUGUACGCCGGCUGAGUACGCCGGUAUUCGAGUGUACUUGGCGAGCGGGUUUGUAGCCGCAUAAGGAGGGUGUGUCCUGCGAUCGCGGCCAUCCAGGCAGGGUGCCUGAUUCUUGCAGGAUGCGAUUGGCGAGUGCCUUCGUUGGAGGGUGAUCUCGCCAGUCCUUUCAGAAGAUUGGCUGCGGCGGUUGUGUGUGUCGAGCCCGGGUGAGAGGUAGCCCCACAGCGGCACAGCUGUAAGUGAGGUCCACGCCGGCGGCCCGGCGCGGUGCAUCCACGUGUGUGGUCUACCGUCUACGCCUAGACCAGGGGAUAAACGGUGCCACGGUGUGACUCCAGGUGCUUCAGACCUGACGUUGACCGGGCUUUACAUUGGCGCCCAGUCGGUCGGCCCAGUGGGCAGGCUUCCAGACCCCAUCAUGCACCUCGUGGAAUCCCCGAUUCCCUGGCAUGCACAGUAGCACAUCGUCUCAGUAAGCUUCGGUGUUAACCCAAAAACCCAACAGGCACGCGCAGUCUUGCCCGCCACCACUGCCACCACAAGAAGAAAGCACGAGGCCCCGCCUUGAAUCUUGCUUGCGUGCCCAACCCGCAUGGGCUGUUGUCCAGGCGGGUCUAGGUCACACACCAACCUCUCUAUGAACCGUCACACUCUAUGCAUAUUGCGCCUUUGCAGUCAUCUGUCCUUGCAGUUCAGACUUCGAGUCUAGCACCGAGGCAAGUCGCCCCUGCUGCAGCUGUGGCACUGUGCCGUCUCUUCUUCAGUACAGGCACUUCCAUCGGUGUGACGCAGGCCGUGACUACCCGCCGUACGAGGAAGCGCCUUAUCCUGAUCAUGCCCGCAGUAGUAUGUGUCUUGUCAGGUCACGCCCAACCCCGUACAUCCCAAAAUCCAACCAUGCACACACGCCGUGAUGCAAACAACCGACAUCGACAUCCUCAACAUGUGUUCCCUUAUUACGCUGCGCGUCGAACAAAUGCCUUCGUCGUACAUGCACCGCGUUGCUCAAGUAGUGCCGGUCAGCAUCCUUGAUCGCCAGCCGUCCCGACAACGCGUCACGCGAAGUCGCGCAUUAGCAUGGCCUUGCCUCCCGGCCCGCGAUGCAGCACCCGCCGUCCCAGCUAUCUGGCCCCCGCAAGUCUUCACUGCGGUCAUGCUAGUUCUGUAUCAUACAUUCGUAGAGCUGGCACACGCUCAUUGCAUGGCCCAGUCUCACACAACCCCCCGCACGAUCUGCCUGCCUCGCUGCGCUUUGGCCUUGCGGUAAACUGCAGCGACUGUGCGUAGCGUCUGGCAAAUGCUCAAAACGGCACAUUCCGGCACGGUCCGCAAGUCUGUCCGACGCUUGUCAGGCUGCAACCACCUUUGUGCGGCUCGUCGUGUGCAGUACACAAUGCCUAAGACAACUCGUGCACGGGUUCAGGGGCUAGUAGCGACUACUUCGCCAUCUGCCCUACGGCAUGCCGCAUUUCCUGUAACCACAUUGACUCGUAUCUCACACCAUACGCUUGCUCCUGCUUCAUUCGUUUCAAACACGGUAUUGCGCUCUUCGCUGCCGCCUGGCCGCGUGGCCAUGCACACAAAACAUGAUACACUCAGUGGCUGUAUGCAAUUGUAAAGUGCAGGCGGGGUUACUAAGGAAAUGCCACCAAAGCGCGAGCACCCGGCUUGCAUGUUGCAUGCGUGGAAGCUGGGUAGUUGCGAGCGCGCAACCCCACGCACAUAACACCUGCCAAUCAGCAUGCUGCCUCCUCCUCCGGUCAGACUUAGGUCAGUCAGGUAGUCAAACGCACGUCAAAGUAAGUAGUUCAACACACCCACCGUCCUGUCAUACAAAGAAAGAAAGAAUGCGCCAGCUGGCGGAGCCCGUACGAAGAUGCAGCAACUGCUGCACGGGCUGAUGCCGGGAGUAUGUUGCUGUCGCCGAGCGCUGGAAAUUCCCGUAGCCACUGGAGCCGCUGGGUGCCAUUGCUGUGGUAGUGCGGGCUCUGCGCGGUGCUGCAACUGCUAUACGCAUAGUGCCUAGGCGGCGGCCAGUCGCAAUCGCGGCUAGCAGCCACGUUGCGUCCACGCUGGCUACGGCCCACUAGGCCCACAACCCAGCCCCACCGAGCUGGCAUAUGCCGUUGCUGCUAUUAGAGCCACCCACUCGCGGCCAUCCCCAUGCAUCAGCAGUGACCCCUGACCAGGACAUGUCGGCCAGGUGCCCAACGGUCUGCAGCAUUCCGCUGCCUGCGCGCAUGCGGGGAUGGCCUGGCCUGACGCCCCCGAAGCAAGCAGAAGACAGCUCCCUGCUAAUUGGCAGCUGAUGCGCCACCAGGCCGGAGGCGCCGGCACCAGCAGCAGUCCAGCGGCAGCAGCCGCCGCUGCUGCUGCCGCAUCCACCAUUUUAGCCCCCGAGCUCCCGCAGCCCGAGGUUUGCCCCGAGCACGGUCCGCACGUCGGGCGCGUGCUCCAGCUCGUUGAGCACCGGCAGCAGCUCCAGCAGCUCCUGCGCACCCGCAAAAACGAUGACCAAGAGGUGGUCGGUUCAGCAGCCCCAAUCGCCGCGUCAGCGGACAGGACCGUCAUGGCGCGCUGUGGGUCUCAUGGGCAUCCAAAACCAGUGCCCGCUUGCCUGGCUGUCCAACUCCGAUACUCGCAGCCCGUUCUGUUGCUAGAGCAGCCAAUGCUGACGCUGACGCCAUUCCGCACUCCGCUGUCCCUUGUGCAACCAUUCUAUCUUCCACGGGCCUUACCCCAUUGCAACAAUGCCAAACCCCUUUGCCUUGCCCCGCUUCCCGUCCGCCCCACCUGGUCGUCCAUGUUGUCGAUGAAUGUGCUGAUGGGCACCGCGUUGGCGGGCUGGAACACGUACGAGUGCGGCGAGUUGUCCACUGCGGAGUGGCAGCGCGUACCGGGCGGGUCAGAUUCAGAAAGGUAAGGGUAGGUGGACGCAGCGCGGCUAUGAAACUGUAAAGGCCGGCCUGAGAUAACAAGGGACCGAUGAUCCUGGCGUGGCCGAACAAAGAGAGCCUACUCCGUUGGCGGUGCAUCAAGCGGUGUGUCCCACCCCCACGGAAACCACACCAUAGCACAGCCGGUGGCCCCCUGCCGCCGCAUAGCGCCCCGCCUGCCGCUGCCCCUCUGCACAGAGGCAGCACGCGCCAUGUGUGCUCGCCGCUAACGGCGCUCACCGAUGAUUGUUUGCGACAGGUCUCGCCCCAGGCAGCUCAGGUCCUUGACGUAGUUGCCCUCGUAGGGGAAACACGAUUCCCGGAAUAGCCGCCACCGCACGAGCUGCUGCUUGUCGAGGAGGUCUAAAAGCGGGUCCGCGUACUUAGCGAGGCUGGCCGUGAACACCACCACCUCGAAGCGCGCGCCGACGCUCUCCAUGAAGUGGUCGCACCACGGCCGCUUUAGUACGUACACGUCCACUAGCUUGCCGUCCACCUCCACCGGCAGGAUAUAGUCUGAGGCAGCGCGGACCGCCAGGAAAUGUCAGCGCAUGCGUGACCGAGAUGCUCACUAAAGCGUGCACUGAACAGCAGCCGCGCGCCCGACACAACAAGGAUCUAUGUCCAUGGAUUGCUGGCGACCAUAGCAUUCUUAAGGAUGCAAUUCGGAAGCCCAACCAGCCGGCGACAUGGAGGAGAUGGAGCGAGUGCUCUCUCGUUCCUGCCCGACGAGACCCACCCGGGUUGGGGAUAGGCUUGAAGGAGGAGUGCACCAGCGUCUCGUCGAGGUCCAGCACCAGGGUCUUCUUGCUGUGGUCGUCGGACCGUUUCGGCCCUAUGAGCUGCUCCCGGUGCACCUUGGGGGGCUGUGGCGGAACAAAGCGACCGCCGCUAUACUCUCCGUCUUGUGCAUGCCGGAAGUACCCCUGGCUCUGCGGUGCGAAGCAGCAGAGGAGCGACCGGAACCGCCUUCGCCAGCUUUUGGGCUGUGGUUGCUGGGCUACGCGGAAGGGCGCCACCGGCCUGUGCGCUGUGACGGACGUGACCUGCGUAAUAACGCUGGACACGUCGACGACGCUGGGCUUCUCGGGAGCGCCGGGCUGACUUGAAAGCGUUGUUGUGCCAUCUGAGUCCUCCGCUGGCGGGCCUUCCCCGUUGACCAGAGGCUUCGCUAGUAUGUUCUCGUCAUUUUGAGGGUCGUGGGAGGAGCUUGGGGGUAACAUCCUCCCCCGAAGAGAGAAUUUGAGGCAACGGACUUCAACUCUUCGUUGGUAGAAGCUCUGAAAGGCAAGGGAAAAGUAAUACAGUAUUCGAACAAUUGUUAAUGCCCCCUCCAGCCAGUCCCGCCUCGACAAAGUUUUGCGGGAUGAGUCCCCCCGCCAGCCCAAAGCCGGAGCUGUGUUUCGCCCGUGCAUGCAUUACGCGCUAACAUUACCCCUACUCACUUUAUUCUAUUGCAGACUGGAAGCUUUUGUUACUGUCGAGCAGACUUUCAAGGCAAAAUCCUCUACACUCCUUCAUUUCUUUGGGGUUUCCAGCUCCAUAUAAUUGCUAACAAUAUAAAUACAAAAACGCGAUUCAUUAGUGUUAUUCAAUUCUGCCGGGCCUUGACGCCGUGGCCACAUCGGCGGCAGCCCUGCUCGCCCCCUGACAUAUCCAGCGUCAGCCUUCCGAAAUUCAACACGCUUUACACUCAACGAAGUGGUGACUGAGGCGAACACAUAAGCAGCAUGGAGUUUGUCUCGCCAGAGGGGCUGCGGCUGGACGGCCGGCGGCCGCGUGAGCUGCGGCGAAUAAACUGCCAGCUAGACGUGCUGUCAAACGCGGAUGGCUCGGCCAUAUUCGAGAUGGGCAACACCAAGGUGUGUGUGUGGGGGGGGGGGGAGGGGGUAGAGUUCAAGGGGGGCGGUAGCCCAGGCAGGGGAGGUGCGGGAGCGGGGGCAGGGGGAAGGCUUGGGUGGCAGGCUAGCUGCAGCCACCACAUUCAUGGAUUCACCCACGGCCCAGUCGCUCGAGGCUCAUGUCGCAUACAGCUAUGCCCUCAAGUACGUGGCACCCGGGCUUCAUACAAGCGCUCGCCCGGCCAUGACUGUGUGUCUGUUUCCACACACUGUUCCCACACAAUGCUUCCAGUAUGUGCCUAGGCCCUUUGGGGUAGCCCGGUAAACCAGCCGCCCCGUGUCGGCUCCAACCCCACCUGACCACACGCCCUCACGACCCCGGGGCCGCUCCAGGUGCUGGCAGCCGUGUUUGGGCCGCACGCGGUGACCCGGCGCUCCGAGCUGCGGGAGGAGGGCGCGCUGGUGGUGUGCGAGUACUCCAUGGCGGCCUUCAGCACGGGUGAGGGCGCGACAGGGCUGGGGAGAGGGCUGCAGGGAGGGCUGGAGAGAGAGGGCUGGAGGAUGGUCUUGGUCAAUGCCAUAGGGCACAAAACAAGCCCCGAAGCUUGUCAGGAGGCCCGGGGCGGGUGAGGAGGGGUUAUUUGGCCGUGCACAUGGCGCAUGCCAGAGCCGGAAUGAAGUGUGAGGACCCAAAGCGGCUCCGCCGCCAGGGCACGGAGCGCUGGGCAUGAGAGCUAGGUCCUGCAGCUCAGCAGUCCAGCUCCUGCUCCCCCCGCUCCCAUGCUCCCACCCCGCCGCUCCUCAACCCGCCACGCCUGGACGCACUGCGCCCCCGCCUCCCCACGUUCGCGUGCCGGGCAGGCGAACGGCGGCGUCGCGGCAAGGGCGACCGGCGCUCUACUGAGCUGAGCAUGGUGAUCCGCAACACGCUGGAGCAGGCGGUCAUCACGGAGCUGCUGCCGCGCAGCCAGAUAGACGUGUACGUGCAGGUGGGCGAUGCAGGACAGGCAGGCAGGCAGGGGAGGGCACAUGCCCGAGCCGUGCGACGAGAUGGGGAGUCAGAGGCGAGGCAGGCAUAUGCGCGCAUGCGUGCGUGCGUGCGUGCGUGCAUGCGUGCGUGCGUGCGUGCGUGCUGUCGGAGUCCAGUCAGCCACCUAGCGAGCAUGCCCGAACAGCAGCGGCCAGAACUCGCAGCACGUGCAAAUGGCUCGAGGCAAGGCCAGCGAGCAGGCGCGUCGUAGCAGGGCCAAUAUGAAGGUAGCCGGGUUUUCGAAUGUGCGCUGACGUGGAAACCAGGCGGAAGUCAGCGGUGCCAGGGCGACCCCCGAACUCGUCUGCGUGCACACACACAUACACGCAUGCAUGCCUCAUGUGCCAGCCAUCAACAUUGCACACGCCGCGGCGCCCAGCAUUCCCCUCUGCACUUCGCAUCUGCGACAUGAAAGAGAUCCAACACUCCGUCUUGCAUGGGCGCCAUUUAUCAGGUGCUCCAGGCGGACGGCGGCACUCGCUGCGCCGCCAUCAACGCGGCUGUGCUGGCGCUGGCGGCGGCGGGUGUGCCGCUGCGGGACCUGGUGGCGGGCUGUGCGGCGGGGUACCUGGACGGCACAGCGCUGCUGGACCUGAACUACACAGAGGUGCGGGAGGGAAAGGGGAGAAGGUGUUUGUUUGACAGUUCCCGGUAGUCCAAAACCAUUGCGGAAGAAAUUGAGGCCCAGAGGCUCGUGACCAGCCCACCCUUGCGGAGGAGGUGGGGGCUGCGGGAAGAGACUGGCGGUGUGGGCAUUGUCGGCGACCCUGUGGGCUUACCCUGUUCCCCUGUACGCGCACCUUCUCUGACGGGGUAUUAGCCGUCCUUGAAAAGGAGGGCCUGUCCACUGUGCAACUGUUGCCCAUCUUUGCACCGCCCCCCGCUACCCCUCUCGUGCGCACAUGUUCUUUGCAGUUGCCCCUCAUUUGUGCUCUCGCGCUCUCAUUCUCAUACACACAUGCACAUACAUAGUCUUGCGGGCUUCCUUCCCUCGCGCACAGGACUCUGGCGGCGGCCCCGACCUGUGCGUGGCUCUGGCUCCGCGGCUGGACUCGCUAUACCUGGUGCAGAUGGACAACCGGCUGCCCGUGGACACAUUCCAGGUGGGUGGGGGGCGGGGAGGAGGAAGAGAAGGGGGCCAGGACAGGACGGGGGGAGGGGCAGGAAGGCCGGGACAGGAAGGCUGGGGCGCAGACAGGGAGGGUAAGCGAGGGGUGGGCUCAUGAUGGUGCCACAAGCAGCAGUGCGGGGGCUGGUGGCGAGGCAGGGGCACGCAGACGAUGCAGAGAGCGUGGGCGCAAGGGCGGCUGCCCUCUGACAGCCAUCCCCCCCACCACGGUAUGGAAUGCGUCGCGUGUGCCCGCUGUACCUCUGGCCGUCGGCACUUCACUUCAUAUUUGAUACACACCAUCCCAUGGAUGGCUACCCCCCCCCCCCGCCUGUGCGCUGCACCCGCCCGCCUGCAGGCUGUCAUGGAGCUGGCUCGUGAGGGCUGCCGCACCAUCAGCGGCGUCAUGCGGGCGGCGCUGCUGGAGCACACACAGCGACUGGCGGUGGCGAGAGGCAUCACUGCAGCCGUGUAGCCGCGCGUGGGGGCGGCGUGUGGGCGGGGGCUUUGGGGGUGCUGGGGGAGUGUGGGCGGCUUUGGGGGGUUGUGAGCGGGCUCUGAGGGGGGGAAGUGCAGGUGGUGGGACACGCGAGGUGCGAGGAUCGCGAGAGCCUGAAGCAGAGGUGGCGUCCGCUGUGUUAAAGUGCGGAUGUGCGAGCGAGGGUUCCGGGGUGGUGGUGGUGGUGUGCGGUCACGGCUAGGCGACUGUGUGUGCAGCGGCUGCUCGCGGGGAUGGGGCCACAGCGCGACGCUGCAUGGCGGGGCGCCGGGGCGCGGUGCAGGGCUUGCCGCGCGAGGGGCUGAGGCAGGAGGCGCACUGUGUGUGGAGGGAGGCAUGUGGUGCUUACAGCAAGGAGAUCAGUGCGCGGAGGAUGAGUCAAGUCGCUUUCGGACAGGUUCCCUGGAAGGCUUCGACUUACAUGUUGUUCGAGAGGUGUUGCGUGCCGAUUGCGCGGCGUGACGGAUGUUCAUGUUGCGGGCGCACAAUGCUGGUAGCUUGAUUGGAUGCAGGUGGACACCAGUGCAUGCUCGCAGGGUAGUUCAUGGGCGAGAUGGUGCACUCCAGGAGCCGAAGACAGAACCGGGCGGGUCGGCGGGGGUGGCGGGCAGUAAGUAUUGCACCAACCGUGUAAGCCACGGGCACGCGUGCCGUCGAACCUUUCGUUCCGUUUCGUUUAAUUGCGAUUCCCGGGCUUUGGACGUAUACAUGCUGGCACGUAGAAGCCCUUAGACACGGGCAGAACGUGCUAUGAGCGCAUUCGUAGCUCGCAAAUUUCUGGGUUACCCGGCUGCAGUGCAGCCCGGGCUAACCCGGCCGGCAUCAGCAAGAUGCGUUGCUGCCCAUGCUCGGCGAGCUCGCAAGGCCACUGAGGAGGCGCCCAUGGAGGAGAAUACCGCGGCGGCUGACGCGUCCAUUCCCACGCGUACGCGACGGACUCGUGCGACCGCAAUAAUUGAGGACGUUAAUGCAGUGGACGCGGGUGCUACGGCAAAGCCCGCUCGUGCCACCAGGCGAAAGGCUGUUGACGGUGAAAUUGCUGCGGAAAUUGCGGUCGAGGUUGAGGCUGAGGCCGCAGCCAAGCCCAAGCGGGCCAGCCGCAAGAAGACCGUGACGGAAUCGGGCCCUGAACUAAUUACCAGCCUCGGCGGAGACUCGGGCGCGGGCGAGGCCGGCGCCGGGGCCGAGGCCGAGGCCCCCGCCAAGCCCAAGCGGGCUGGUCGCCGCAAGACGGUCACGGCGACCCCCGAGGACGCCGAGGCCGCAGCCGGCGGGGCGGAGGCGGAGGCCGAGCAGCCCAAGCCGAAGAAGCGCGCCAGCGCGGGACGCAAGACCAAGACCGCGGCAGAGGCGGAGGCGGCAGAGCCGGAGAGCGUGGAGGGACUGCCCGACGUCACGUCGGCCCGCGCCCGGCGCCUGCUUCCUGACUCGGGGCUGAACCUGGGGCUGGACCUGUCGGGUGGGGCGGCGGCGGCGGCGGCAGCCGGCGGGGCACGGCGCGGGCGCCGCACCACCGUCGCAGUUGCGGAGGAGGCAGCGGAGGCGGGCGCAGCGGCGGAGGGCGCGGCGGAGGAGGCCGCCGCCGCCGGCGCGGCGGUGCGGGCGGCCCGGCGGCGGGCGGGCGGGCGGCGCGCGGGCGCGGCGGCUGCGGCGGUGACGGAGGCGGUGGCGGAGAAGACGUUGUCAGAGCUGGCGGUGCGGAAGGCGCCCAACGGGUGCGUGCGUGUGGGGGGGGGGAGGGGUCCAUUCAUGUAUGUGUGGGGAGGGGUGUAAGACUGACAGGGUGGUUGGUGGUGUGUGUGUUUUGGGGGGUGGGGAUGGGAUGGCGCCUGGUGGCUGUGGGUUGGGGAUGCGGGAGCCAAACCCGGAAGGCGCACCGGGGUGCACACUGCGAAUGUCUGGCCGCUGCACGCGGGUGGUGGUGGUUGGCUGGGGCCGGGGGGAAGGGGCCGGGGAGGCGUGGCGGGGCACGGACAGGGGCACAGGGGCACAGGGGCGGGGCGGCGGCGUGCAGGUGCACGCGUGCGCUGUGUACGAGUGGCCGCCGCCCACAUGCUGCGUUGUGAUCUCCUCUCUAACCCCCGCCCCCCUCCUCUCCUAACCCCCCUACUAUGCUACUGUACCUGGCUACGCCUUCACUUCUUAACUAAUCAUGAAUGUAACCCCCUCCUCUGCUCCUCUCCUACCCCCUGCUGCAGGACGGUGCUGGGCAUCAACCGGGCGGCUCUGGGCAUGGGCAAGCGGCAGUGGUGGGCGCUGGGGGUGAGUAGUGCUGUUGGCGCCUGGGAGUGGCGAACUUACCGGGAACGGUGAGAGUAAACCGUCAUCCUGUCCUCCUACUCAUACUCGGGCUUGGACUCCUACUACUCCUGCUCCUACUUCACCGCCGCGUCCCUGCUGACCCUGUAACCGCUGCCCCCCUCCCCCCCUCGGGUCUGUAGGUGAGUGCGGGCGGCGAGAAGCGCUGGGCGGAGCAGCUGCGCACCAAGCUGGUGGACCGGGUGCCGCAGCUCAUGGACCCGGAGACGGGUGAGCACAGGGGGGGGGGGAGGCGGACACACGGGGGGGGGCGGCGGACACAGAGGGGGAUGGGCGGACACACGGGAGGGGGAAAGUGGCCGGGGAGGGGAAAGGGGGCGGGGAAGGGAAAGGGGCCCGGGGGAGGGGAAAGGGGGCGGGGAAGGGAAAGGGAAAGGGGCCCGGGGGAGGGGGAAGGGGGUGGGAGAGGGGAAGAGGGGCGGGGGGAUGCCGGGGUAGUCACAGCCGCCCCUGGAGUGAGUGGUGACCCCAGGGCGGGAAUUCCUGCUUCUGGUUGCAGUUUGGUAGUCAGCAAGCCGCAAGUGAAGACGUAGGGAGUGAGCAGCAGAUGAAGCGAACGAGGGCGGGGCGUAGCCGUUCGUGACGAAGGGAUGGGGUACCGCAGUCAUCUGCAUACCCGAUUCAACUGAGGGUCGGCGGCGUCAUUAUAUAUGUCUCGGUCGUGACGGAUGAAGCGGUGGAGCCCGCAUUGCAGGGUUGCGGGUGCGUUGGCGGGCCCUGUGUGAGAGAGCAAGGGCCUCCUUUCCCUGCUACAUAAUCAUGGGGCCCAGCCCUUAGGGAAUUGGGGGCACACUAACCCUUCCCUCCUCGCCGCCUUACCCGGCACGCCCCACCUUCCCCCGACACGCCACCCCCUGCACCGCUUUUUCAAACAUCCUUGCAACCCCCACAGGCAAGAUGGCUCCCUCGCUGUCCCUUGUUGAGAUCUGGGUGCCUGAGCGCAAGACCAAGACCCUGGCCAAGAAGACAGGCAACGUCAUCUCCAAGAAGGUGGGUGGAAGGGAGGGGACGCCGAGGGGGGAGGAGGGGAAAAGGGCAGCGGCACAGCAGGGGGGGCGGAGCGCAGGUGUGUGUGCCAUGCGGAAGCCGCUUUCGGCGCACGGACGCUCGCCGCUCUCACCCGCCCCGGCCUGCGCCCACGGUCUGCGCCCUUAACUUCGAACUUACUGCCGUCCCUGCCCACCCCACCCCACCCCGCCACCCCACCCCACCCCCUCAGGUGGUGUACAAGGAGGGCUGGGUGUACCUGAACGCGGUCCUGGACGAGACCCUGAUGGGCGUGGUGGAGGAGUGCCGCGGCUUCACGCUGUGGCGGGGCGAGCAGGACUACGUGCUGGAGGACGUGGUGGGGCAGGGGCCGGGGGCAGGGGGGGCGGUGUGCGUGUGUCGGGGGGGGGGGUCAAUACCAGCCCAAACUAACCGAGCCCAAUGCAGCAAGGAGGAGAGCGGGGGGGGACCUUUGGAGUGAUUAUUGUGGGGGAGGCAGGCAGGGAGCGAGGGAUUUCAGCUUCAAGCCCAAAGUACAGGACAGGGGAAGCGACAGGCCGCUGUGUGUCGUACGACGCGCCACGCAGGGGCCGCUGGUUGCCCCGGCUUCCUUCCCGCUCCCACCGCCUCUAGUAUCGUGCUCACACACACCCAUGCGCACACACUCACCCACCGCCACCCCCCAGGGCGCGGUGAAGCUCAUCCAGCCGCUGUCGGAGGAGAUGGUCAACCAGAUCAAGGAGUGGUGAGUGAGGAGGGGCGGGCGGGGGGCGGGUGAGGGGGCGGGCUCGCGGGCUGCAGCACGUCAUGCAGGGAGGCAAAUGGACCCGGCUGGCCAGCCCUGCUGCCCGCCCGCCUGCUUUCACGGCGGCCCUCCUUCCCGCGCACCUGCUGCCCCCUGGCUGUCCUGCUUCACUCAAAAACCUUUCACUUCCCCGCUUCUCCCCCUUGCGUUCGCCCGCACCCGAUAUCGCCCACACCCCCCUGGCUGCGCCUUCACUUCUUAGUUGAUCAUGAGUGUAACCGCCUCCUGGGCCCCCCCAGGGAGAAGCUGCCUGAGGAGGAGGCGCUGGAUCCCGAGGUGCUGGCCGCCAUGCGGCUGGAGCAGUUCGGCGCGGCGGGGGGAGGCGUGCUGGGAGAGGUGAGGAGAGGCAGGGAGGGAGGGGGGGAGGAGGGAGAAAGGGAGGGGAGGGGGAGGGGAGGGGAGGGAGGGGGAGAGGAGGGAGGGGGGAGGGGCAAGAGGUUGAGAUGGAGGUGGCAGGGUGGGAGGGGAACGGGGCACAGGGCGUGCCCUGACUUCCUGGGGUCGGGAGGCGGAGCGAAGGAAAAGGGAUUGGGUUGGCCGUACUUGAGAGAAGGCGUAAGUAUGUGGUGAGGUGCUUGGUGUUUGUGUCGGUCCCGCUGGGGUAGCGACACAAGGGGUCACACCCGCGACCCACCUCUCCCCCCCCCCCCGCCUGUUGCCCCCCCCCCCCCCCGCCAUGCUCUUCCAACCAUCCUUGCACCCCCCCCCCCUCCCUCCCCUGCACCGCACCCUCCAGAGUGAGCGGGCUGAGGACCAGGAGGGCGCUAUGGAGCUGGACGACAGCGGCCGGGCCCGAUACCGCAACGAGUGAGCCGGGCGCGUGUGGGUGUGUGCGUGUGUGGGUGGGUGGGUGGGUGGGUGGGUGGGUGGGUGGGUGGGUGGGUGGGUGGGUGGGUGGGUGGGUGGGUGGGUGAGUGGGUGAGUGGGCAGGGGAGGCGAGGAGAGAGGUAACACGUGCACCAGCCUAACGGAAGUACGGGACUCCAAAAGGAGGCUUGGCCGUUGGAUGGCGUGGCACGUCGUUCCGGUCAGCCUAAGGUGUUGGUGUAGGGAAUGGAAGAGGUUACGAGUACCAAACCUCGAGUGCGCUGGGGAGGGAAGGGGAGGGGACGUUGGCGCCAAGUACAAACUGACUGAAACGCAGCACCAUGCGGAGGCGGGGUGGUGGUGCGGGGAGGAGCGAGGCUCUUGAGUUGGUGCAUGCCCGUGCGCGGCGGUCCCACGACACCGGCCCGCCACCCACGUAGCCGCCUUGAAUUUGCGUCCGCACCCACCUGGCAACCCCCACCACCACCACCUCCACCAGCACCACCACCACCUUGCCUGCCCUCGCUCCCUCACCCACACACCUCACAAACCUGCACAGCCUUACAAACCUGUCCACCUCACACAUGUGCACCCCCGCAGCUACUACACGGGCGGCCGCGACAACCCCAGCAACUGGACCGCCGGCCGCGGCGCCGCCGACGGCCAGGCGGAGGAGGAGCCGGAGGAGGACGUGGAGUCGCUGCGCGGCGCGGACGGCCGCGGCCAGGAGAUCGCAUACGCGCCCGUGCCACCGCCGCGCCGCCCGCGCCGCGACGAGCGCGCGCCCGGCAACGACCGCUUUGACCGCGGCGGCGACCGCGGCUUUGACCGGGGAGAGCGCAACGACCGCUUUGACCGGGGAGAGCGGAAUGACCGCGGGGACCGUGGCUUUGACCGGGGCGGCGAUCGGUUUGACCGGAACGACCGGUAUGACCGGAAUGACCGCGGCGGCGACCGCAGCCAGCGCGGCGAUCGCGGCAGCAGCUGGGAGCCGCGGCAGCAGCGCGACAGCGGCUGGGGCCGUGACGGCGGCGGCGACCGCGCGCCGGCCAACCCGUACGGCGAGGUGCCGCGGACCGCGGGCGUGAGGUGAGCCCGUGACUGCAGCGAUGAACACGCCACGCAGUCACAGGCGCCGUGAUACGCCAACAGCCAGGCUGCGCUGUGCGCCCGCUCCCUCUCCUGCUGGUGUGCGGUGCAUUUCCCAUUCCCAUGAAUGCCCCAAACCUGUGCACCACUCACUCACUGCUGUGCAGGCCCUCGGUCCGCGACGGGGCUCCCGCGCCCCGGCAGCAGGCGCAGCGUCAGCCGGCGGCACCCCUGCCCGACCUUGACUUUGAGGAGUGGGACGAGUCAGGCAGAGAGCCGGCGGUUCAGCCGCCCAUCCCGCCGCCCCCGAAGGCAUCGGUGGCUACGCCAGCCACGCCGGCGCCGGUGAACAAGACGGCGGCCGCCGCGAACGCGCGCGCAGCGGCGGCGUACCCGCCGCCACAGACGCGGGAGGAGGUGUACGGCGAUGAGGAUGACGCCGUACUGCGCGGCGGCAUGACGUUCGACGACCUGGAUCCGGAUUUCGACAGCCGCCGCGGCGGCGCCGCUGGCGCUGGCGCGGAGGACCCGCUCCUGGGCCGCAUUGACGGCCCCGCCGGCGGCGGCCUGGAUAUGGAUGACUGGUUCAGCGCCGGCGGCGCGGCGCCGGCGGCGGCCGGGCGCGGCGGGCGGCAGCAGCAGCAGAAGCAGCAGAAGGGCGGGCGGCAGCAGCGCGGCGUCGACGACGACCUCGGGGGUUACACCGGCGGCGGCUACGGCGGCGGCGACCCGCUCUCCUUCGACAACGAGUUUGACUUUGACCUGGGCGGUGGCGCGGGCGGCGCCGCCGGGUUCGGUUUCGGCGACGACGACCUUGGCGACUGGGAUGCGCCCGCCGCCGGUGGCAAGCGUCAGCAGCAGCAGCGCGGCGGCCGUGGCGGCGCCGCCGGCAGCUUCGGUGGCGCUGCCGGCAGCCGCCUCGGUGGCGGCGCCGCCGCCGCCGAUGAUGACCUGCUGGGUGGCGGCGCCGCCGGUUUUGGUGACGACGACUGGGGUUACUUUGGAGAUGACGACCUGGGCGGCGGCGACCUGGGCGGCUUCGGCGGCGGCGACCCCUUCGAUCUGGAUCUAGACAUUGAUCCGUUUGGAGGAGGCGGCGGCGGCGGCGGCGGUUACAGCGGCGGGCGCGGCGGCGGACGCGGCGGGCGCGGCGGCUACAUGGCGGGCUCAGGUGCGUGCGUGUGCGUGUGCAUGUCUGCCGCGGGCCCACGUGUGUGAAGUUGCGCGUUGCAGCUUGCACGCCGCCGUAGCCCCGCCUUUCUCAUGGGACUGUUGCAAACAACCCCCGCGCACCUGGUGUCCUCGUGUCUCUGAAUGCGGCGGCUGUGUCACUCCUCAACCCGCCCCCUAGUCAUGAAUGUAACCCCCCUUUUUGAUUAAUCAUGAGUGUGACCCCCCUCGCACCGCACCUCACCCCCUCCCCGACCCAGGCCCAACCUAUGUCGACGACCUGCCAGCCUCCAGCCCGCAGCAGACGGGGCAGGGGCAAGGCCGCGGCGGGUGGCAGGACCGGAGCGGCGGCGGCGGCGGCCGUGGCGGCGGCUACAGCAGUGGUGGACGCGGCGGCUACAACAACAACCGCGGCGGUUAUAACAACAACCGCGGUGGCGGCGGCGGCGGUUACAACAACAACCGCAGCAACUACCAGGGCGGUGGCGGCCGCGGUGGUGGUGGACGCGGCGGCUACAACAGCGGUGGGCGUGGCGGGCGUGGCGGAUACGGCGGCGGGCGUGACGGCGGUGGCUACGGCGGCGGCGGAUACGGUGGCGGUGACGCGCCGUAAUACAACGGCGUUUAGGGAGCCGUUGACAUUCGCAAGGUUUAUAGGUAGUGCUAGUGCUUGGGCAGCAAGUGCGUUACUGACUUACUGUGGUGGGUGCAAUGUACGGCGCCAGCUGGGGAUUGCUUUUUUGCACAAUAUUCGCACAUCUCCGCUGGCUGGGUUUGGGCGUGUAGGCUUUUCUACUACCGUACAUGGAUGGCGGAUGGGGGAAAGUCCCGCUUGAUGACUACGGCGGGGUAAGGGUGACACCGGCAGUGGACAGCUCCGCGAGCAAAGCGGUGGCGUGGGCGCACGCGGUGUGGCCUGGGGCAGGGGCUGGCAGCUGCAGGGCUGGCGCGCUGAUGCAUUGAGCUGGAAUACCGUGGGGCGGGGGCGGGGCUCUGGGCUCUGGGGGAUGUGGCGACACGAGGUGCGGCUGGCGUGUUGGCCGCGGGCGUGUGCAGCGCUGGGGCACGAGCAUGGGGCAGACGAGCAGCCGAGCGCGCCGGGUCGUGGCGGAGGCCGACGGAGGUGACCGAAUGCAGUGCUGGAGCCUGGAGCGCUGUAAGACAUGGCGGUUGACGGUGGCGGGAACUCGUCUUUCAUCCCCUCUGCUCCUGCUUGUCUCAAUGGCGGUUGGUGGUGACUCGGUGAAGAGCAGCACGGGCUGCACAGCGGCGUGUGGGCGUGUGGUCCACGGAUCGGCGCCAUUUGUAGUAAGACGACCGGCAGCUGACACAUUAAGAUGCCCACAGGGCCUGCAGCGGGGGAGGGGGAUAGCUGUUCAUCACUUCAAUCGGGACUCCGUCGCCAUUCGCACGUGCGGAUUUGCGUGCAGCAUUCCUGCAGCGCUGCUGCCCUACUUGCAGCUCCUGGGCAGGGCCCCCGGCGCAGCCGUGCAGAGCUGCAGCCCGCAGGCCGCCUUGUGUGCUGUAUGCGCCUGCAGCCAGUCCAGACGCCUCGGCACCUGCGGGGGGUGCAUGGCUGCGGGGCUGCGGGGCUGCGUGUCGGGCCAAUUUGCUUGGCUGGCAGUGCAUAACAGGGCAGGUACCUCACCUGGUGCGUACUGCCCGUUCCCCCACCACGCAUUCAAGCUACCCGCCGCACACAGCGUCAAAGUCAGGAGCCAUGCGGUGUCCGCUUCGUGCGUGUUAGCUGGGCUGCGAACGGUUGUCCUUAGUACCUGUGCGCUGGCACCUGCUGUACGGCGGAGGGCCCCAUCCGGCGGAAUGGGGCGCAGGAGCCAGGCAGCGCAUAGAAGCCUGGCGCGCUGCAGCGUCGACUUGUAAGUCCCUUGCAUAACACACACACUUGUCAUAAUGGCCAUGCUUGCUCAGCGCCAGGCUUUCUCGGGCGUCCGGGUGGCCCCCAAGGUGAGCGAAGAGGAUUCCCUUACAACGGGACCUUCAGCUUCCUUUCAGCCCGGAUUACAAAAUAGGCAGCCACUUCUAGUGAAUCGUGCAUUGAACUGGCUGUGGGUUCCAAUGCGAAGCUCCCUUCGCUUGCAUCGUCAUGUGGUGACCUGGCGAUAAAAGCGUCGGCUGCCUAUGGCGCCACGCGACCAGGCUUUCCAGCAUGAUCAGGCUCACUGCUUAUGAGUUCCGUCAGCUGGAUCCGCAGCGCCUUCAGCGGCCGCGUGCACGCGACAUGCGCUGCGGUAGUGCUGCAAGCAUACCUGGCGUCCCCUGCUGCAGUUGCCUGCCGAUUGGCGCUGACGGGAUCUCUUGUCAUAUAUUUGCAGGCCCCCGUGGUCGCUGCGCGUAUCUCGCGCUCGACUGUGAAGACCCAGGCCCUUUUUGGCUUCGGUGCUAAGCCCGCUGCCUCCGGCGGUGCUGCUGCCCCGGCGUUCAUGAUCUGCAUUGACUGUGAGUAGCUGCUGGCCUGCAUUCGCAGUCCACGGCCUAAAAUUAUAAGGCAGAGGUCGCCGGUGUGCGCACAUGCCACCGUGUCAUGCCAUGCGCGCCUGGACAGUCUCGCCUCCGGCGACCGCAAGGCGAUGCACACCUUACUAACACCGCGUACUCUUGCACAGCCUAGGACACAACCACUGGCCAACUCCCGCCCACGCUGCUUGUCUGACCCCCCCCCCCGCGGCAACCCUGUCCUUUCCCCUCCUCCUAAUCGCUCCUCCUCUCCCCUCCUCUCCCCUGCCCUCUUCCCCUACCUCUCCAGGCGGCUACAUCUACGACGGCGGCCAGGAGUUCAAGUCCCUGCCCGGCUCCUACAAGUGCCCCGUGUGCUCCUCGCCCAAGAGCCGGUGAGAGCAAGGGCCGGGGUGGGGUGGGGCGGGGUGGGGUGGAAGACGGGUCGGGGAGCGGGGGGCGGGGGGCGGGGGGAGGAGCUGUUCCGUAUGGGCCGUGGCAGGGGAUGCCACGGCGGUGUGUGGUGCUGUGCGAUCAGAUGAGCACGACGUGUGAGGGAGACCGCCAUACGUGCCCCCAUUGCUCCUGCCCGACGCGCCACGGCUCCUCCCUUAUCGCCACGCAAGUCGUACCUUCAUCCAGGUCAUCCCACCAACCCAACCUCACCCCUUCACCUGACACCUGCCGGCCCGCAGGUUCAAGGUGUACAAGGGCACCGACGUCAAGGGCAAGCCCAACAAUGCCCCCGCCACCAUGAAGAAGCGGAAGGACGCCAAGCAGUGGUAAACUGCUGACUGGCCAAUAAGCUAGCUAGCCUGCUAGCUGACCAGCGGGGUGUGGCAUGAGUGCGUGAGGACGCUGCCGCGUCGGGCCUUCACCGGGCCCUGACCCGGCAUGCCGUCUGCGUGUGGUGCGUGCGAGAGCGCCAGCCCCGAUCUACCUCGAGGAGGCAUCGGAGGCAGCGACAGCUACGAAUCGUGGCCGUGAUGACUGUUUGGCAGUAUGACUGUGGCAGUCGGCGGCUGCACUGCGCUGCGGCUGUGCGGUGUGCCUGGCAGCGGCGAAGGAUCAGGAGGGCUUGGGGCCGCGGUGCCUGGUGCUUUGCUUUGCGGUGUCGUAGGACCUCGGCGGGAGACUUCGGUCAAAGGCGGUUCAGAAGAUUAUAUGCGGCACCAGGGAGUGGCGGUGCAGCGAGGUGGCCGAGGCGGCGCGACUUGCUUUUCGGGGCGGGGUGUUGUUGUUCCCCUGGCGGCGGUGGUACGUCAGCGGCCGAGCGCGGCACCUAGGGACAGGAGGACGGGGGCACGGGGUGGUGGAGGACCGGGCGCAGCCCGUGCAACCAGUCGGGUGGGCUGGCCCAAGAGGACUUGCGUGUGUGUGCUUGGAUGUGCGUGUGUGGCUUGCGUGCGCGCCGCGGCUGCGGUGCCGCGGCGGAGGGCUCGUGGACCUUGUAAUCAGCAGCUCUCACGGCUCCCAGGGUCACAGCUUCUGCACCACGUGGGGGCGGGUUGGGACGCACUUCGACAAGCGGGCUGCAGCUCACAGCAAGGGGCACACCGGAGUAGUGUGGACCCAACCCAGGUGGCGACUCGCGUGCGGGACAGCGCUUGGGGCUUUGCCUGAGCUGUCAGCGUCAUGGCCUGUUCCUGGAGCUGGGCGCACGUGUGCCCCAAGAGCAAGAGGGGAAUCCGGGAAUGCAUUACCGCGGAGGUGAUAAGCGCAGGUGAGGGGGCCUGAAGCUUUUGAGUCCUGUCCUUCGUGUCACACACUGCCACACAGCCACACACUGUUGUUUUAUUAAAACGAAACGUUAUUCUUUCUGUUGUGUGGAUGCGAUGGUCUUAGGAUCGCACGGAUGGGGCGCCGCGAUGUCAGGGUUGGGAAUGCAGGUUUGGGGUGGCAGGUUUUUGGGCAGGCUUGGGUCGUCAGGGUUGGGUCGUCAGGGUUGGGUCGUCAGGGUUGGGUCGUCAGGGUUGGGUCGUCAGGGUUUGGGGUGGCAGGUUUGGGUCAGGCACAACAACAACAACUGCCCCCCUGCCCCCCGCCCCCCCUGGCUGUACUGCGGCGGCUGUUGAGCUGGCAAGCAUGUGUGUUGGUGGCUGUGGGCCAUGCGUGCUAGACAGGUGGUGCGGAAUAGCGCGGCGGCUGUGGAGAAUUCUUUGCUCCUGCGCCUGUCUACUGAUGGGGGGACGUGGCCGUUGCAGGUGCUAACGUAGAUGGCUCGGCAGCUUGAGUCGCGCUAGGAUGCGUGAGUUGGAUGUCUAGGACGUGGACAUGGCCGUGACGUGCACCAUUGUUGGUGCGCGUGCACCGAGCCCGACGGGAAACCUGAGGGACAUGCGUGAUGCUAGUAGUACCCCGGCGGGCAAACCACGUCCUUCGUGUCCGCAGCCACACGCAUCAUGGACCACCCCCUCAUCGAGAUUCAUCGCGAUUCAUCCUGAACUGUAGAGCACAGGCGCCAGACUGACCAGUAGCACCAAGCACACUCAAAUUCACCGCACACUGCGCUUUAAGCUCUCAGGGGCAAGGGAAGAACACCGACUUGUACCGGUCGAUUAGCGCAUACCCAGCGAUACGCCGAGGCAAUUAGCUUCAACUGACGCCUAGAUUCUAGCAUAACAAUGCAGACGUUGAAUCAUCCAGCUCGGCAUUGCCCUCGGGCUUUCUCCCACGGGACUCAGCGGCGGAUUUCCUGCCGGGCGAACGGCCCUUCCGUAGCGACCCUCUCGACUCGUGUCUCAUCGAGCAAACUACCAAGCCUUCCGGUCCUCGACAGUGAGCACCGGGCACUGUCUGUCGAAAUGGGAAAGGCCAUGCAAGCACCCUGCUCAAACAGACACCCCAAAUGGAAAUUCACGUUGCAGAUGCCUACGAAUCGAAAGUUGCCUUCACGGAGUUCGCCAACUGGCUUAUCCCCGGCUCGGUGAUGCUGGGCCGUUACCCCUAUGUGGAGCCCAGCCGCUGCCUGCGCCGUGAGCAGGGCGAGGUGCAGCUGAAGCGGAUCCUGGAGACCGGCAUCACCACCUUUGUCAGCCUGCAGGUGCGGGUUCUGGAGCGCCUGGAGGGGCGCGUUCAUGGCGCCAGGGGGACGUGCACGGCCGGACUCGGUGCCUGGGUGAGGGAGGCAGAGCGACCGGCCGCGGCCCUGAGCUCCGCACGGGUGCUGUGGUGCCGGCAGCGCAUGUUGGUUGCAGUACCAGUAGCAGUAGCAGCAGCAGUAGCAGCAGCAGUAGCAGCAUACGGAUCUGGCGCGACUGCGGCGGACAUCCUGUCGCCGGCUAUGUGACACGAACCGCUGCAGCAGCGGCAGCGGGGCAGGCCUUGUGGCUAUCAGUGACAGCUUUCGGGAUGAGUGGAUCCUGCUAUUGGCAUGCGCGGCCUCAAGCCAUGUUGCGAGCAGGCGGCCGCAGCCUCAGCAGCUGUGUGCAGGGGGGGGGGCGGGGCGUUCGCAACCGGGGCCACAACGCUGCCGCUGCCGCGGCAUCGCACCAUCGCGCGCCUGCCCCCUCGCCCCACAGAUCCCAUGUGGCUGGGGGCUGGGGCGGCGUCCGGCCACGUGCAGUGAGAUGUGGUGUCAGGGCCAACGGCACGGUUCCACUGAGGGGGGGGGGGGCGCCGGCGAUGCGGGAGUCCCAACACAGGGUACUGGCUGGUCAGCCGGGUCGGAUAGGGUCGAUCUUCGCGUUGCGCCUGUUGCACGCGCCCUCAGCCGCCAGCCCUUAGCCGCCCCACAUCCAGCGCACCCUCGACCACCUCCUCGCGGGCGGAUGGCGCGGUGUUGGGGCCGUUUCGCUCGGCUCUUGCGCAGGAUUCAUUCCCCCAUCCGCCGACUCGUCACGCCGGGAACCCCCUCCUCACAAUCACACCCGCACACAGGCUGAGCUGCCUCCCCAGGACAAGAUGACGCUGGCCGGCAAGAAUGGCUUCCUGCCGUACAAGGCCACCGCCGACUUGGUGCGCGCCUCCUUGAACGGGUGAGAGCAGGAGGCGUCGGUGGGAGUCAGUGGGAGUGAACGGGAGUCAGGCAGCAGGAGUCAGCAGCAGGCAGCAGGGGUAUGCAGUGUGUGGUGGAAAGCAGCCCUGUGUGCCAGGGACCAAAGUGGCGGGGGCGGCGGGGCUUGAUGGGUGGCUGUCGAGGUGGAAGGGAGCUAGGUGUCAGGGCUGUGGCGUCUUGGAGCGCGGCAUGGACGCCGGGCGAGAGGCACACGCAGCAGGCGUGCCCGGAUCAGCUGCAGCUGCGGUGCCCCUGUCAUGGCCGUGCAGUUGGGAUGGUGGGUGGGCCCUAUCACCCUGCCAUUCAGCGCAUCCCGGCAACACCCGCUUCACCCCGACUCCAGCAACACCCAACUCCAGCAACACCCGCAGCGCCCCGAGUCCCGCCCGUGCCCCUGCCUCUUGCGCGCCGCCUCCCUCCAGGCCGCCGCCCAUGGAGAUUGUGGAGGGCCUGCGCAACCCAUCACUCGACAAGUUCCUGCCGACGCGGGUGAGGGCGUCUGGUUGGGGGUGGGUGCGGGCGGGCAGCGGAGCUCCGAGCCUUUGAGGCUUGAGGCUUGGGAGGGCAGCGCUUGCGGCGCUGCCCUCCAACGGGGACUGGGGAGUGGUGGAGUGGACAUGGCUGGGGGAAGCGCGUGCGGAUGAUUGCUUGCAGCUGGUGACCCUGUGACCCUUCGUUUGGUUUAAUAUGCGCCAUCCAUUGUGGUCACCGCCCCGCACCCCCUCCAGAAGCGCAAGGGCGUGGAGUACCACCCGGUGGAGCUGCAGUUCUGCCACAGCCCCAUCGAGGACCUGGGCAUCCCGGCCGCGGGGCCGCUCAGGGACCUCAUUUCGGGUGAGCGCCGCUGGGGGUGCGCGGGGCUAAUGUACUGCUGCGGGCGGUUCCGGACCUCGCGGCCAAGCGGGCGCAACAGCUGGGGUGAAGGCAAGGGCAAGGGGGGUUGGCGCAGGCAGUGUGGCAGGGGCGUGGGGGGCAACGUGGGCGCGUACGCAAGGGCUCUCGGUAGGUCUACACACCGCCUAUUCGCUGACCCUGAUCUUGCCUCCCUACCCCCCUCCCUCCCGCGCCUACAGACCUGGAGUCGCGCCUGGCUGCCGGCGAGAAGCUGUACGUGCACUGCUGGGGCGGCCGCGGGCGGGCCGGCACCGUGGGCGCGUGCCUGCUGGCCAGCCUGUACGAGUGAGUGCCGCGACGGCCGGUAGAAGGGAAGGGCGUAUAACGGGGGUAUAACCAUUUACGUGUGUGUGGGGGGGGAGAGCGUGUCUGAGGGGGGAGGGCGGGCCGGGUUUGGUUCUACCGUUUGCUGUAAGCUCCAUCAGACAUGACGGGCAGCAUGCGGCGGUUACGGGAGCACAGCGUGCAACGUUUUCAGCAAGACCCAGGAAGGACACCGCUGAGCGAGCAGGCGUACACUCCGGGCGGUGGCAUACGGACACAGCUAGCCACAUGCGUUGGUUGGGCCCGCACACGGCUUCGCUCCCACCUCACAACCCUUGCCUCGACCCUUGCCUCCGCCCUUGACUCUUGCUCUUCACUGCAGCCUGCCCGCCGCCGAGUGCCUGGAGCGGGUGCAGCGGGCCUUCGACACGCGGCAGGACGGCGGGCGGCGCAGCCCCGAGACGGAGGAGCAGGUGGCGUUCGUGGAGAGCUACGUGCGCGCACUCAAGCAGUGAGCGCACGGCCGGAGCGGGAGGCGGUAGCAGCCGAGUGGAGUGGUGGGUGACCUGACAACCGUGGCGAAGCCUGCGCGGCUGCGGCAAGGUUCGCGGGGGCUGGGUGUAGGGUUCAUCGCCCAGAGUGUGACGGUGCGCUGCACCGGCGAAGGGGGAAACGGCGCGGCAGGUCUGCAGGCAGCGGAUGGCGCAAGCGAGCAUGAAUGGUAUACCCUCGCGCGUGCACUGGUGUGCGUCCUUGUGCGGUUUUGCGAUGUCCUCUUUUGUCCCUGUUGUUUUAUUAUAACGAAACGUUAUUCUUUUUGUUGUGUGGAUGUGAUGAAUCGGUAAUGCAGUGGGCAUCACGGCAAGGCCCUGACGGUGGCGAGGGAGAUGGGCACGGGGGAGGCCGGUUGCGGGCAGGGGUUGGCCGCUGGCGCAUGUGGCACAGGAACACGGUAACUGCAAUCGCUGAUAGGACUAUCCAAGGCCUGUUUCAUCUUGAAUGUCCAUCGCAUGGAGUUCUUUGGUAGAAGGAUCUGGUGCUGAAGGUUGGUUGGAGGCUAAGGUUAGGCUGACCUGGACCGGGCGUGGCGUGCCUCGUGGGCCUGUCACGGUUGAGCCUGGAGGUUCUUUCCCUGGAUUCAGGUCUGGGGACUGACGGGUCAAGAGUAUUCAGAACACCUCAUUUCAUGGUUGUGUGCAUGCCUUCUUGGAAGCAGUGAAGUGAAAAUCCAGUCAUCCACUGUGCGUCACAAUCGGUCGCGAAACGCACCUGCAAAAUAAUAGUACUCGCUACAUGCACUGCUUGCAGCCACAGCUUUGGCUCAGCAGAACCGCUGCUGUAUUGCGUGUGCCGACCUGCAGCUUGAACUGAACUAGCUUUGUGUCUACACAGUAAAUCGCUCUGCUUACAUUGAUACUGCCUUCGGUGCGCCAAGCUUUGUCACUGCAAACAACGUGUCGCCGGGGAGCGCCGCCCUCAAAAGUAUUUCAAUGCGCUUGGGCCGCUUAGGGAGGCUUCAAAAUCAGAAGUCGCGCUACGGAAGCCAUAGUCGGAGGACUAGGCCAGUAAUUCAGGCCAAGACCACGUGAGUCGUCACUGCGCCCGGCUUGCACCUGCAAAUGGGCAUCGCCAGGCGCGCAACCGCCCGGAUUAGUCGUCCGCAAGCCCAAACACGCAUAAUUUGCCCACAGGAUGACGAACAUGGACGCUCCUUCCACCAGCAAUGGCACCAGCACGAGCGCGCAGGACGCCGCAGCUCAAAAACAGCCCGUCCGCCGCGCGCCGCUGGGGAUAGACACCAUUAACAAGCGCGUUAUCAAAUCGGAGUAUGCUGUGCGCGGAGAGAUCGUGCAGCUGGCCCAGAAGAUCGCCAAGGAGGUCGAAAGUGGGCAGCACAACCACCCGUUCGACAAGGUGGUGUGGUGCAACAUCGGCAACCCGCAGAUUCUGGGCCAGAAGCCCAUCACCUACUUUCGCCAGGUCCUGGCGCUGUGCGAGUGCCCGCAGGUGGGCGGGGCGGGGGCGGCGCGUGCGUGGGGUUGAUACGGGUUGAUGGGGUGGAGGGUGCUGGCGUGGGGCGCAAGGUAGGACACGCGGAGGUGCGCCAGGAGCAGUCGGUCCGGAGGGCCUGGGCUGUUGGAAGCGCGUAAAAUGCAUGGCAUGGGCACUACACGCGCGACACAAGCCUGCAGCAGCAUGAUUACAGCAGCAGCAGCCUGGGGCACACCGGCUCAGCAACCGGCGGCCGCUUGCGGCGGGGGCAGCAGCACUGGCGGGUGGGCGCUGUGCCGACGACUUGUGUGCAGCGAGGUGGCGGCGGGGCGGCGGUGCGCCCAGGGCCUGCACAGGGAGCGGCACAGCGGCUGACGGUGCAGCGGCUGACGGCGCAGCUGGUGCACGGCUGGCCUGCCAGGCUAGUGGCGACUGGCCGGCAGGGAAGGAGGGGUGGGCUGGGCGGGCGCAGGUCAGGCGGCACGCAGCAGCAGCAGCAGCAGCAGCAGCAGCCGGGCGGCGGCGCACUGCCUGCUGACCCCGGGCCUCUGCGGCAGCACGUCCAUCAGGCCGGCGAUCGGGCGACGCACUGGGGCCGGUGCAGCUGCGGCCCUCCUGCACUGCACUGCACGGCCGGGCGGCUGCGGCCGGGCGCGAGCUCGCACUGGCACAGGCCUCACAUGCGGCCCCCUCACGCAGCCGCCUAGGCCCCGUCAGCGGUUGCAGCGCUGGCGGACCUGCAGUACCUGCGCUUCGCCGCAGCGGCAGUGUUCCGGUGCAGUGCAGUGCAGUGCAGUGCAUUGGCAGGACGUUCAGCUGCCUGGCGGCGGGACGGUUGUCUGCGCUCUGGAUCUUUGUGGGCGUAUGCGGGCUGUGAGCGCCACCUCAUGCUAGGGCGGGCUGCCCUGGCGCGGUCGUUGGCCCGUCGCUCCUCCCGCCGCCUACCGCCCUCUCCCACAUGUCACCACCCCACCACCACUUUUACAAACACAUACACACAAACACACACGCCCGCGCACCCACAGCUGCUGAGCCACCCCAACAUCCGGGAGCUGUUCCCCGAGGACGUCAUCGCGCGCGCGCAGCUGCUGACCAAGCAGAUCCCCGGCGGCCUGGGCGCCUACAGGUGGGGGGGGGGGCGGCUGGGGGCUGGGGGCUGGGGAGAAGGGCACGGGGCGCGGAAGGGCGUGCACGCGCACGUGCAAACCAGGACCGAGUGCAGCGCACCCCCCUCUCACCACCGCCUGUCGCCGCCUCAGCUGCCCGUGCCUGCCCCGACCUCGCAAGCCACCCUCACGCCUGCACACACACACACACACACACACACACACACACACACACACACACACACACACACACACACACACACAUAAACGCAGUGAGAGCGCGGGCGCGCUGAUCAUUCGGCAGCUGGUCGCCGCCUCCAUCACCAAGCGCGACGGCUACCCCGCCGACCCCGACAACAUCUACAUGACCGACGGCGCCUCGCCCGCGGUGCACUACAUGAUGGACCUGCUGCUGCGGGAGCCGGUGAGGAAGGGCGGGGGGCGGGGGAGGGGCGGGUGGCGGGGGCGGGGAGGGGGUGGCGGGGAGGGGGUGGCGGGGGCGGUGAGGGGGUGGUGGGACGGGGCGGCGCACGGUCGCGGAUGUCGGGAUGUGGGUGCAGUGCGCCGCGUGAGGACACGUCCCGCAGCUGGCGCCUGCGGCUCAUGCGCCACUGCCCCGACCGAGACACUCGCUACCCGCCUGUACCCGCUGUGCCGGGUGCUCUACUCCCCCUCCUCUCCUUCUCCCCUAACCCAGCUUCCCGUCGCGUCCCCUCCCCUCCCCCCGCCCCAGACGGACGCCAUGAUGGUGCCCAUCCCGCAGUACCCGCUGUACAGCGCCACACUCACGCUGUACGGCGGCACGCUGGCGCCGUACCUGCUGGACGAGGGCGCGGGCUGGGGGCUGGACGUGGAGCACCUGCGGCUGCAGCUGGCCAAGGCGCGGCGGGAGGGGCUGUGCGUGCGGGCCAUGGUGGUCAUCAACCCCGGCAACCCCACCGGUGAGAGAAGGGGAGGAGGGGGAGGGGGAGGGGGAGGGGGAGAGGGAGGGGGAGGGGGAGAGGGAGAGGGAGGGGGAGAGGGAGGGGGAGAGGGAAGGGGUAGGGCGAGGGGGAGGAGGAGGGGAGGGCGGAAGGGGAAGGGGAAGGGAAAGGCCGGAAAGGGAGGGGGAGGGGGAGGGGAGAGGGGGAGGGGUAAGAGGAGGGUCAACCACAAGGGAAGGGGGCGGGGAUGGAUACGGGGCUGCGCUGGAGGCACCUUGGGCGUGGGGGAGGCGGUGCUGCACGGGGCAGGGCCGCGGCGGCGGAGGCGGGUGGCCGAGGGGUGCCGGGGGCAGGAGGGCAGGGGGGGCAGGCGGAGCAAGAGCCGCAUGUUUCGGCGAUACGGGUACACGGGAUGGAAGCAGCAUGGCCACACCACGGCCUGCCACCCAAGCCCGCAACCCGACGUCGCCUUGCCACCCUGCCUCCCUAACCACACCCCUAACCACCACCACUCUUAACCACCCCUGCCUCCUCCUCCCCCCCGCCUGCAGGCCAGUGCCUGAGCUACCAGAACAUGCGCGACGUGCUGACCUUCUGCCGCGACGAGCAGCUGGUGCUCAUCGCGGACGAGGUGUACCAGGUGGGCGAGCGUGGGGGUUGGGGUUGGGUGUGGGGGGGAGGCGGGGGGGGGGGGUGUAGAUACCAGCCCAAACUACACCGAAGGGGGUGGUAGAUUCCAACCCCAAGAUGAACCAAGUCCAAGGCAGAACCAGGGGGGCGGGAGGCCGUGUGGGAGGGGGGGGCGGGGGCGUGUGUGGGUUGAGUCGGGGCUGCAAAAGGAUGAGAGAGCAGCAACGCGCCGUGUCGCGUGAACUACAGUGAAGUGUCCCAGACGUCACCCGGUCUGCGUCUGUCAUUGCGCCCCCCCCUCCCCCCCGAUCGCCUACCGUCUUCCAUUGUCUUCGCUAAUCAUGAGUGUAACCCCCCAACGAUUUCAAGUCUACGGGGCGUGGGUUUGGUCUCAGGUCUGGUAUCAACGGCGCGCCCUCACCCUCCCCACCUCCCCUUCUCCCACCACCAUAGGCCAACAUCUAUGUGGGCAACAAGGAGUUCUUCAGCUUCAAGAAGGUGGCGUGCGCCAUGGGGCUGGAGGACCAGGUGCCGCUGGUGUCGCUGCACUCCAUCAGCAAGGGUGAGAGGGGGGAGAGGGUGUUGCAGGGGGAGGAGGAGGGUAGCUGAUUCCAAUCCCAAGUGUAGCAAGACCCAGCACCGGGUGGAGGCGGUGGGGAGAGGGGCGGGGGAGCCGUAUGUGCGUGUGUACUGAUGAUGGUGCUACGGGUGGAGGGGGGUCUGAAUGACGGCGCGCUGGUCCCGGACCUCCAUUUCCCACGCCCACCUGGCCACCCCUUCCAUCCCAAUCUUCUACCCGCCCCACUCCCCCACUCCUCCUGCCUCCCCCCCUUCCUACGCGUUCACUUUUUAAAUAAUCUUGGAUGUAAUUCACACACCCACACACACCCACACCCGUGCCUCCACACACCCCAGGCUUCAUCGGCGAGUGCGGGCGGCGCGGCGGCUACAUGGAGGUGACGGGCUUCCCCGAGCCCGUCAAGGACCAGAUCCUCAAGCUGGCCUCCAUCAACCUGUGCCCCAACCUGUCCGGACAGAUCUGCUGCGCGCUCAUGAUGAACCCGCCGCAGGUGCGGGGCGGCGCCAGGGGUUUAACUUUGAACCAUGAGGAAGCAGUCGCGCCCGCGGGGGGGGAGGGGGAAGGGCGGGGAAGGGGCGGGGGAGGGGCGGGGAAGGGGCUGGGGACUGCAGGGCGGGGAGUAGUGAUUGGGGCACUUGCCGGCGGGGAGUGGCUAUGCGUUGCAUGGCCUGGCCUGGCGUGAGACCGGUAGUCUUGGAGGGGCUUGGAAGGGCACUGGAAAGGGAGUCAAGCCCGACGAACCGUAGCCUGCACACCUGCGCCAUCGCAUUCCCUCCCCAACAAGCCCCAACCCAUUCCAUGACUAUUGGGAACUGUAUCGUUGGGCUGGCGCACAUAACCCCACCAAGCCCCACCUCGCCCCCACCCAACCGCUGCCAACAGCCUGGAGAGGCCUCCUACGAGCUGUACCGGAAGGAGAAGUCCGACAUCCUGGGCUCCCUCAAGCGCCGCGCCGAGCUGCUGGUGAGAGCGGGGCAGGAGGACGGGGGGGGAGCGCGGAGGAGGGCGCGGAAGAGGAGCGCUGCUGAGGGCUGCUGGGACGGCGAGGACAGGGGCUCGCAGGGUUGAGCUGGUCGAAAUGGAGGUGGGAUAUGGGAUUUGCGUGGCGUGGCGUGCGUUGCCAGGCGACUGGAUGCAGAGGACAUGCCAAGCCGGCUUCGUGGCUUGCUUGCAUGUGCUGCCCACCUCGCUCGCGCCAACCAAGCGCACCAACCAACGCCGCCGCACCACCGCCGCCCCCCGCCUGGCGCCGUCACCCGCCGCACCCCGCGCGCAGGUGGGCGCCCUGAACCGGCUGGAGGGCGUGUCGUGCAAUGCGGCGGAGGGCGCGCUGUACGCCUUCCCGCGCGUGACGCUGCCCGAGGCGGCCGUGGCGGCGGCCAAGAAGCUAGGUGCGUGGGCAGGCGGGCGGGCGGGGGUCGGGUAUGUGGGUACGGGUGGGGGGGGCGGUGACGUGUGCGUUGUGGCCGCUUUCGCUCCGCGCCCUCCCGACCACCAACGCCGUACCUACCACCUGCGGCUCUCUCCCCCUCUCCCUCUCUCCCUUCGCCCGCUCCCGGGCUCCAACCCCCUUUUACGCCCCUGCCGCGCCUCUUGCGCACUGCCCACUGGACGUCCGGCACUUCAUACUUUGUAAUUUCAUCAUUCCGCCCUCCGCAUUUUCACGGCUACCCCCAGGCAAGCAGCCCGACUGGCUGUACUGCAAGGAGCUGCUGGAGGCUACGGGCAUUGUGGUGGUGCCCGGCAGCGGCUUCGGCCAGGCGGACGGCACCUUCCACUUCCGCACCACCUUCCUGCCCUCGGAGGAAGACAUCGGCCGCGUGGUGGAGGCGCUGUCCGCCUUCCACGCCGCCUUCCUCAAGCGCCACGGCGGCCUCACCACCGCCGCGGUGGCCGCCUCGGCCGCCGCCGCCAACGGCACGCACGCCGGGCAGUGAGGCACAGGCGGGGGCGGGGGCGGCGGCCAGGAGGGGUGGCCGCCAGGAGACAAGGUCAAAGGGCAGGAGGAGCAGGAGCAGGAGGAGGAGGAGGAGGAGGAGGAGGAGGAGCAGGAGGAGGAGCAGGAGGAGGAGCAGGAGGAGGAGGAGGAGGAGGAGGAGGAGGAGGAGGAGCAGUGCCAUGAGACAGGGGUGGAAGCUCGGCGGCCUUGGGGGAGUUGAGAAUUGUUGAGGGAGGAAAGGGCGUGACAGUGCCUGUGACACGCUUGCACCACGCUUGCAAUGGCAUGCGCACUUCUUUGGGGUUGGGGGGAGAACUGGAGUCGAAACUCUUUUCGUCCGUGUGCGAACUGCCGAUUGCAGUAUCGGUUUUUGUUGUUGUUUUGCAUUCUUACGCCGAAAGGGCAGCACCGAUGCACGCGUGUUCGUAUGCCCUGUGUUUUGUGAACCGCCUCGGGAACGCAAGAUUGGCGCGCGUAUGCGCGGGCGAUUGCCAGCAGUGAGGCAGGUUCAAAUGGAAAAUAGAUGCCUUGCAGGCGGUGGCCACUGAUGCCCGGCGCUGUGACCCUCGUAGGUGUGGUGUCAGCCGUAGCAAAUGGGCGUGGCAGGGGAGCAAAGGCGGCGAGUCAUGUGGGGAGUCGGGGCACGCGGGCGGGCCAUGGCAAACACAACUUGACGGCAGGUUGUGAGGCGGGCUGCGCCAAGGGGGGCAGUCAUAGGCAGCAGGGGAUCUCCUGGCCAUCAGUGCGCGGGGGCUGGCGGUCCUGCGUUCCCAGGUAUGUGUUCGAGUGCAAGGGCGGGCAUUGUUGGGCAUUGGCACAGGUUGCGAGGAGGCGGGAGGUUGUGUUGAGAGGAGGGUUGCGGGGUGACGGCGGGGACAGUCAAGGCAGGGUAGGGGCGGCCGGCGUUGGCCCGGCGGCCGACGAGAUUCAUGCUGGGGCUGCUGAUGCGAUGCGUGUGUCUGUAAGUUGUGCAAGUCACCGCCCUUGGGGUUACCAAGCAGCAGCAGCUGAGUGGUCGUCUGUUCUAGGCGCGAACUCAACACAUCGCUUCGGCGUGUGGGGACGCCGCGUUGGCGAGAGCCACGGAUGGCCCGAAUCCACCGUGGGGGCAUGUCGCACCCAUGGAGGGCACUGUAAUUGUGUAUUGCGCUUGCCCUGUGACUGCUGACAGUCCGAGUUACAAUUGAAGGGACAAGCGGGGGCACGGUUAUCGUGGCUGCGCAUAACCACCCCUGCGCAUAACUUUGCAAGACGCUAGAGGCGAAGGAAUUGGAGGUUCGAGGAUCCGGUCGCGUUCGAAGCGUUACCAAACCUGCGCUAACAUCAUUAAUAACAAUCGCACGUAGCGCGAUCGCUCGCGAGCCCUUCCACCCCAGGCCCCCCUUGCCCAGUCCCCUCAGCAUCAUUGCAAUGGGAUUGGAGAGGGGGGAUGGGGGAUGGGAUUGGAGAGGGGGGGUGGGCCUGGAGGGGCAAGCCGGGAUACCGCGUGUUUGAUUGAGAACUGGGGGCUUGAAGGCAGUUCUGGCUAUCUACACGCUGACCAAUGCCGCAAACUCCCGUCAGCCUAGCUGCGCCCGUGUGUACCCGCUCCGAAUUGAGCUACGCGACGAGCCGAUGUCUUGGGGAUGUUGGGGGUGGUGGGCCGGUGGGGGCCUGGGUGUGUGUGUGGCCAGUCGACAGAAGAUAAGGGCAUGAGGGCCGUGAUGAAAUAUGAAAGCUCCCUAGUAGCCGAGAUAGUUAAAUGUCGGGUAGUGCUCGACCAUCGCAACAUGAUCGCACGGAUCGGGCGCCGCGAUGGGAACCGCAGCGGCCACAAGUACUCGCAGCCGCGCCGGUAUCGCUCCUUUUCCGCCUGUGCGUGAGCGGGCGGGCCAUAAGGCUCUGCCAGCUCCGCAAGGAAUAGCACCGACACACAGCUAUCGCAGCUGCAGGCGCCGCGGCCGCAGGUGAGACCGCGCGCGCAACGUUGCCGCAUUUCGGCGCCUGCUCUUGCCUGCGCUCGCUCGCUCUCUCUCGCGCUCCUCAGUGGAUGGUGAUGCUGACUCGAGCGCCUGGCGCUCUGCUGCUGCCUGCUCUGCUUCUGCUCCGCCACUCCGCCUCCACUGCUUCUGCGCUGCAGCCCACGGGUCGUCCCCGCCCCAUCUCUGCAUGCUCUCGCCCGCUACACAAACACGAAUGCUCAAACGCUCCCUUCCCGCACGGGUCCUUCCGGCUGCGCCGGUCAAGCCUGCCCUGCUUAAAAAGGGCAAAGUUCGGGCUGACAAGGAAGCAGAGCGGAUCCUCCAGAGCCUCACAGACCUCAAGAAGGUCGGGUUCACAAGCAAAUGACGCCUGCUAAGCAGGCUGCCACGCUGCUGACGACUUUUCCGGCGGCAACGACCUGGUUAAGCAGGCGUCAUUUGCUUGUGAACCCGACCUUCUUGAGGUCUGUGAGGCUCUGGAGGAUCCGCUCUGCUUCCUUGUCAGCCCGAACUUUGCCCUUUUUAAGCAGGGCAGGCUUGACCGGCGCAGCCGGAAGGACCCGUGCGGGAAGGGAGCGUUUGAGCAUUCGUGUUUGUGUAGCGGGCGAGAGCAUGCAAACAGUCUACGACUUGACGAAAUUGAGCAAGUGUUUUGGACGGAGGCGCCGCGGCGGGUGAGACCGGGUUGGUUGUCCCCUUUGAAGCAGGAACCGCGACCUGAACGCUGCGGCAAAUAUCCGCCUCAUCACCGAAACGUCAAUGGGGGGGCUGUGCGCGUUCAGGGGUACACAGUGGACGUUCGGGACAGGCGUUGCAGAUGGGUGGGAGAGGACAGUUCGUGCGAGAUUUUGUGUGGCAGGCACGGUAAUGAUGGGGGCGCCUGAAAAGACAGAUGAGCCAGUGCGGACCGGAGGAGGGAGCGAUUGGACUUGCUGUACGCGCGACUGAAGAGGGAGGGUCGUGGGUACGGCGUGCCCCCGCUUGUCGGGCUGUCCGUUCAAUUGUAAUCCGCAUCCAUACGCACAUGUCAGGACGGCUGAGGCUGCCAGUCAAGACAUGCGUGACGAUUAGGCCCGAACAGUGUUUACACGCUGCCAACAGAGUGGUGAAACUGAGAGCACCCUUCAACUCAUACGUCACGCAUGCAUGAGGGGAACUGGUGCGUUGCCCCGGACGCCACUUCACGUCUGAACCCCCGGGUCCUUUCACCAAGGCCCCCUGCCCCAUGCGCAGCCCAGUGCGUGCAUCAGCAUCCUGCCAUCAUCACUCAACCUGUCAGCCCACCCGGACCGCAGUCACCUCGCCUGUUUGCACGAUCCCUCUGCCGGCAAUGCCGCGAAGGCGGGCCCAACCAUGCGCCCUAACCAUGGGGCGCAGAACGGACACACCCACACACACCGAGUCCAACGUCGGUCCUAGCCCCCCGGUCGAGUAUGGCUCCCCGCAGCUAUCCCUAUUCAUCUGUUUCCUGCUUCGCCGCUGUCUUUCCGCACGUCAAACCGCACGUGGUAUGCCGCAGCCCCCGCCCGCCCCACGUGCUCCACCCCGCCCGCCCCACACACAGCGCACCGCCUGGUCCGUCACACACACACACACAUACAUUUUCGGACGAACCCAUCCUAGCUGCCCAGCCGCCUACAGCCGCCCAGCCUGAUUCCUACACAGCCGCGAUCACCUCUCGCAACCAUUGGCCCAUUGGGCAUGAGCACGCACACACACAUACACACACACAUUUUGCGGCCGUCGGCCGUUUAGUGCACCUUGGGCAGCUUGACCACCUUGCCAAUGGCGAUGGUGCGGCCCUCAUCACGCAGCGUGAAGCGGCCCAGGCUGGGCACGUCGCCGAAUGCCUCGAUGCAGAUGGGCUUGUCCACGGUGAUGCGGCAGAUGCAGAUGCCGCCCUGCUUGAUGUACUUGGCCUUCUUCUGCUCCUUGGUCUUGGGGUCGAUCUCCGCAACCAGCUUGGACACCUGCGUGUGUGUGGUCGUGUUUGUGUGUGGUUGUGUCUUUUUGGUGUGUGUGUUUACCAUAUGCGGAUGGUGAGUGGUAAGUUGAGGUCAUAUGGUGGCUACGGUGGCGGCAGGUGGGUGCCACCUGCCAGCUGGAGCACCAACUGCCGUCGCCAGCGCGCUGCCGCAGCUGUCCGCAAUCCGCAUCCGCGGGGCUCCCCCGUGGUGCCGGCCCCUCGAUCCCCUCCCCUCCCCACAGGCCUCCACAGGCCCCUACCAGCCCCCACAGGUCCCUACCGGCCCCCACAUGCCCCCACACGCCCGCAGCAGAGCUCACCUCGCACUCCUCGCAGGCGGUGUGGAUGUGCAGCAUGGACUUGUAGCCCACCGUGAAGAUGGGGUUGUGCUCCAGUAGCUCCACAAUCACCUGGCGGCGGCAGCAGCAUGGGGGUUGCAAUCAUGAAUACUAAUGUAAAGCGGGGGGGGGGCAGCAGAGGGGCGACGAGUGAGCAGGUGUGUGGGCGCGGCUGCCACUGAGGGACGGCAUAAGCGUGGGGUUGCGAGGUCGCCGGGUAGAAAGGCAGGAAGAGACACCAGCGUCGCCCAACCUCCGACACGCAGCCGGCGCCAGCACGUGUGCGCUCACUACCCACUACCCUAUCCCCUCCCCUGCCCUUUCUUCCUUCCACCCGUACACGCGGUCGCACGCACGCACGCACGCACGCACGCACGCACCAGCUGCGCCUCAAACUGCGUGACCACGGGCACGGGGCUCUUGACGGAGCUGAGCACGAAGCCGGGCGAGAUGUCGGUCUCCUCACAGCCGCUCAGGCGCAGGCGCAGGUUCUCGCCGCAGCGGGCCGACUGCGUCUCCUUCUCGUCGCGGUACACGCCGUCCACCUUGACACGCAGCCUGGCAGGGGGUGCGCGGGGGUUGACACCCAUGAUUGAUUCAGAAGAAGCGCAGUUGUAGGCGGGUUGCAAGGAUGUUUGGAAAAGCGGUACAGGAUGCACACCCCCUCCCCCCUCCCCCGCUCACUUGUUGGGCAUGAUCUGCAGCAGGUCGCCCACGCGCACGAAGCCCGCCUCGGACUUGCCCAUGACGAUGGUGCCCAUGUCCUUCCAGCGGUCCACGAUGGGCAUGCGGAAGGGCUCCAGCGGGUUGCGCUCCACAGGCUCCAUGUGGUCCAGAACCUGGGAGAAGUUACAUUCAUGAUGGGGGGGAUUACAUUCAUGAUUAUUUAAGAAGUGAAGGCGUAGCCAGGUACAGUGGUAUAGCAGAUACAUACGGUAUAUGAUGCAUUCACAAAAAUGGAAGGCAACAGCGAAAAAACCAGCUCCAUCAUGCCCCGCCCUCACUCACCGAGAACAGCGUCUCGCCGUCGUACCAGUCGCACAGCUCCUUGGACACCGCGUCCCGGAUGUUGUGGCCGUACAGCGCCGCCAGCGGCAGGAAGGUCACCUCCUUCUUCAUGUUGUAGCCGCACUGCUUCAGGAAGGGCGUCAGGCCGUUCACGAUCUGGUCGAAGCGAGCGCGGUCCCACUUGCCUGCCGGGCCGAGGGAGGCAGGCGGGAGGGAGGUGUGUUAAAGCAGUGGCGGGAGGAAGGACAUCGGGUGGCACGAAAACGGGGAUAGGGGCGAGGUCAGGCGGCUAGGCAGUAGCCCGCAGGCUUGCAAGCGCUCCGGCGUGCGGCCUACUCCACCCAUUCACUUUCAGCACGUCCUCCUCGGCCCUCUCUCACCCUCACAUGGCAACUAGGCACCCCCCCUCCCUGCCCCCCUCCUCGCUCUUUGCCAUGGGUUUCGGUUCAUUUUGGGCUGGUAUUUCAACCCCCGCCCCUCUCCCUCUCCCCCUCUUCCCCCUCACCGUCCACCGCCACGGAGGGGCAGUCCAGCUUGUUGACCACCACAAUCAGCCGCGUCACGCCCAGCGUCUUGGCCAGCUGCGCGUGCUCGCGCGUCUGGCCGCCGCGCUCAAAGCCCGUCUCGAACUCGCCCUGCAGCGGGGGGGGGGGCAAGAGAAGGGGGGUUACAUUCAUGACUAGUGAAGUGGUAGACGGUAGAUAAUCUUGGGGAAGCGCGGGACGGGAGGGAGGGAGAGAAUGGGGGGAGGGAGGCAGGUAGGCAUGGCUGGUUGGACGACCGCAGCGGAGGCGGAGAGGGGCGCGUAGCGGUGGUGUUCGUGUGCGUGUGUGUCACGUGCUACACGGCGCAUUUCUCCGCGCGCGCACCCCUGCGCCCCCUUGCAUGGCUUGCGUUGGCCGCACCCCCGCACAGCCACGACAUCCCCGCGACCUCCCCGCCCGCCCUCUCGCUCAGCCCGCCCGGCAUGCACAACCCAGGCGCCGCCCUCCUUCCCGGCCCCCCGGCCGUGCCCCACCUCCCUCCCCUCUCUCCCCCAGCACACCUUGCGCGCGGAGAUGACCAGGAUGGCCACGUCCGCCUGACAGGCGCCCUGGAUCAUGUUGGGCACGUAGUUCUUGUGGCCGGGCGCGUCCAGCACCGUGUAGCGCUUCUUGUCCGUCUCGAAGUGGGCGCGGCCCACCUGAGGAGAGUGUGUGAGAGAGAGGGGCACACAUGCGUGCUUGCAAAGAUGGUAAACAGAAGUGUAGCGAGGUCGACUGCUGCGGGGCUCGCUCCACUGUUGCCACAUUGCAGAACCCAUGCCUGCCAAGCGCCGACCGCACCGCCGCCGCUGCACAUCCUGCUGCCCCUGCCGCCCCCCUGCAACUGUCGGCUCUGCCUGCGCUCCGCUAGUUUGGCGGCGGUUCUUUGUUUACACAACUGCUGUCGCGGGGACAAUUGUCGCGUGCCACUCCGUUGUCAAGCAUAGGCCACGCUCUUCUCCUCGCUCCAUUGCAUUGGGUUCGUCUUAGUUUGGGCUGGAACCUACACACACCCCUUCAGCACCUGCCGCGCCCUCGCCCCGCCCCCCCCCAGUCCCCCACCUCCACGGUGAUUCCCUUGACUCGCUCCUCCUCGUUGGUGUCCAUGAUGUAUGCCAUGUACCAGCCCUCGCGGUUCUUCUCCUUGGCCUCACUGCGGGGUUGCGGGUUGGGAGUUUGGGUGUUGGAGGAGGGGCGGGCGCGGCAAGUAGGGACAGCCAGUCAGCCGGUCAGCGACCCGCCUUGCCCGUCUUCGUCCUGAUGCCCACUCCUGACGUCCCCAACCCCGGGCGGCCCCUUUUGCCCCCGUUUCACAUCCUGAGAGACACAGUGAACACAUUUACUCAGCCUCUCAGCCCCUGUCACGGCCACUCACCGCUCGUACUUCUCAAUCGUGCGCUUGUCCACACCGCCCUGCGAGCGCGGGAGACCCGGGGGAUGCGCGGCCGGGUGGUCAAGCCGCGAGCAAUGCACACGGGGACCAGGCACGUACGGACCAGGCACACCGCGCCCCCAGGCACCCGCCGGCGCGGGUGCUGACAGGCACUGCUGGGGCAGGUGCUGACAGGUGUGUGGGGGCGGUACUGUGUGCACCGCGGCGUGGGGUGUGAAAGGCCUGCCCCAGCACCCCCCGCCAUCCUCCCCCCCGCGAGCUGACUGGCAUUGCCAACCCGACACUCUGGCAGCGGCUGUGCAUGGCCGCUGGACAACUUCAGGCCAGCUGGCAUGCAGCCCCUUCCGCCCCCCGACUGAUUUGUUGGGCUCGGUCAUUUCCCCCCCCCCCCCCUUCCGCCCCUCCCUCCCUCCCUCCCUCCCUGCGCUGCCGCCUGAUGGGCUUCCCGAUGCCGUUAGGGUCCACUCGUUGGGCGCUCUCGCCCUCGCAACGCUGCCCCGCCGUUAACCCCCUCUCCCUCCCCUCUUGCUCCCUCCCCUCUUGCUCCCUCCCCUCUUGCUCCCUCCCCUCCUCCUCCACUCCGCCUGCUGCCUGCUGCCGGCUCUCACCGUGAGGAACAGGAUCUGCCCCGCCAGUGUGGACUUGCCAGCGUCGAUGUGGCCAAUGAACACAAUGUUUAGGUGGUCGCUGUUGGGAGGGCGGGAAACAGGGGGUGGGGGAGGGGCAGACACAGGGAGAUACGGGAAGGUGCGUUGAGAAUUCCGUCACAGCAUCAUCAGAAAGCGCGCCCAGCGGUGACGGGGAGGCUGGAUAGCGAAGGCGAGGACCGCCGGACACAUACACGGAACGCGCAGUGCGCGGCUGCGCCUCGUUUGAGCCCUGGGCCCUGGGGGGGGGCGGCCAUGGCCUGCUGGGGCUGCGCGGAAGCUCGGCGUCGCCCGGGCCCCACGGAGGCACCCCAGGCCCAAGCGCCCCCGGACCCGGCACCCGCAGCUGCUGGCUGCAACGGAGGUGCGACUGGGGUUCGCCAGGUCGUUGACACCCACCCGUCUGAACUCCUAUGGGCUGCAGAGCCGCAGCCGCGCACACAGCUCUUUUGUUGCUGACGCGGACGGCUUGCCGUGCCCACCCCGCACACGCGCCGAACCGCACCCCAGCCUUCCAUCGUCCAUCGCCAUCCCUGCUCGGCCUGCCCAAACCCCCGACACGGCGCCGUCACACUCGCGUGCACCCUCACCCGCGCGCCGCAGGCCUUGCCCCAGAACCCAGGCCCAUGCCAGCGCACCCCAAGAGCCGCGCCAGGGCCCCUCGCCAGCCCCCACCGUGCUCACCGCGGCUCCUCCGCCAAGCACUCCUGGAACGCCUUCAUCACAGCGCUCUCAUCAACGGGGGCGACGGGCUCCUCCACGACUGCGACCGCGGCAGGAGCGGGAGCAGCAGCAGCGGGCUCCGGCGCCGGGGGAGACGGCUCCGAUGGCGCCGGGACCGAUGGCGCGGCGACCGGCUCUGUUUCCAGGAAACACGACAACCGCUCAGCGCCCAGUACCGAGCACUCGCAGAUCAUAAUUUAUUUAUACCUGGCUCCGGCUCCGGCUCCGGCUCGGGCUCCGGCUCGGGCUCCUUGGGCGGCUGAGGAGCGGGCUCCGCUGGAGGUGCAGGAGGCGGCGGGGGAGGAGGUGGAGGAGCAGCAGGCGCUGCUUGAGAUGAAGCAGGAACGAAGCCCCUCCCGGGCACGAAAAUCAUGCUGUUCGGGUUCAGGGCCGGCGCGGGCGCGGACGGAGGGGGCGGGGGAGGAGCCGCAUGCUCCUCCCACGAGUCGGCCAUGUUUUCUUUGGUAAGGAAAAAAGGAACCCGCAACGAGGUCAACGAAGCUUCACAAUCGUCGCGGCAAAAGUCUGCGAGUGGACUACUUCAGAAAAAUUUUAGCGGCUACUGUAUUCCUAUCUGACUUAUGCCCAGAUCUAAAGAGAGGUGUUGCAAACGAGCAAGUUUGCACGAUGAUGGUCGAUGAUGGUCUUUCCCUGGCUCUAUCGCAUAGCUAGCUCGUCGCAAACGAUAUUCACAUCGCUUCAUAAACACGUGAAAGCAGAGUUUUCAUGGGCCAGGCUCACGGAAGGAAAUAGAAGAUGGCGUUGUCGCGACCCUCGAGCUCGUGGCAUUUUGCGUUCGUGCUCUGAUGUUUAUUUGCGCGUGUGCGCUUGGCGCUUAAUGUUGGGGCACGAAGGGUGGGGGCACGGGUUCGUGGGGAUGCUUUGGCACAGACCAGUCAGGCUAGGAUGCGCUGACAACGAAGGUGGCUCUCCCUCUCAAGUUAAAGUGGGCUGCGCCCACGCCACGUUGCUGCAAUGUUUGAGGCCGAAGGUUUCGAGGGGGCUGGUGGGGACGGGGCGGCAAGGCAACGCUGUUGGCGGCAGCCUGGCGACAGGGAUGUGCGCCUGGCCAAUUGGGGGGGCACGUACCUUGAAGCUCGGCCAACAUUGAAGCUCGGCCAACGUAUGCUAAGCGUACAUCUUAUCGACAAUGCUUAACAGUGCGAAACGUGCAUAUCGGCAGCCUGGUCUGGUAGCAACUGGUCGUGUGCUGCUGCAGUCCGGCCCCUCGCAUCAGGGUGCAGGCAGUGCCGACGUCGCAGCCGCCCGUAGGCUGCACUACACCUAGCGGCCCUAAUGCCCUAUCCUCCCCAACGGUUGGCACUUGGCACACAUUGGCAAACGGCACGCAUGUACCAACGGGUCAGCACGGGUCUUUGGUGACCUACGUGCCAAAACCUAAACGCCCGCUUCCUGCCAGGCCGGGCCACAGAACCCCCGGCGCCCACCCCUGCCUGUCCAUCCCAGGCCCCAACGGGACACCGCCCCGGCACACUGCCUGCGCCACACCCACCGCGACCCCCGCCGCCCCCCCCCCGCCCCCGCGGUAUCCGGCUCUCCCUCACCGCCGCCAUGGCUCCUGCCGCCCACUGCACACACGUCCUGACGUGUUUGAAAAAACGCAACACGCACAAGCGAACAUGACGUCCUGCUGGCCACUCCGCUCUACUCCGCUCGCAACCCCUGGGCACUAGGCACACCGCAGCCAGCCCUCACAAUCAGGUGCUCAGGUCACAGAUACCACCGAUGUUUGCCAGAGCGAAACCGAGAAAGAAAGCGAGCAUAACCCUCGAGAGGCUCACAGGUCACCUGGUAAGGUCAUCACAGCAACCGCCCACGGUCUCAUGGGUCCCACUGCCUCACCGCGACGCCACACCCGCCAGUGCCGGCACCCGUUCCGCCGCCCCCACCCCCACCUCCACCCCCGCCCCCGCCCCUGCCGCCUCCACCCCCGCCCCCACCUCCACCUCCACCCCCGCCCCCGCCCCUGCCGCCUCCACCCCCUCCCCCGCCCCUGCCGCCUCCACCCCCGCCCCCGCCCCUGCCGCCUCCACCCCCGCCCCCGCCCCUGCCGCCUCCACCCCCGCCCCCGCCCCUGCCGCCUCCGCCCCUGCCCCCGCCCCUGCCGCCUCCGCCCCUGGCCCCGCCACAUCCGCCCCCGCCGUCCCUGCCGCCCGCCUGAUGUGCUGCAGCUCAGUGCUGUUCUUGUUCAUAUGGUCGUACAGCACCAGCCGGGUGGGGCCGGAGGCGGGCCAGUGGCGACCGAUCUGUGUGUGUGUGUGUGUGUGUGGGGGGGGGAUGGGCAGGAGGGGAGAGGGUCAGGAGGGGGGGCGGCGUGGCAGCGGGCAGGGGCAGGCGCGAGCGAAGGCUCACACUGAUUUCGCACUCGAGCCUGCAGCAGCGGCUGGGCCACUCCUGCCCGCACGCCUGCCACUCCCCAUCCGUCCUUUGCUCCUCCGGUCGUUCCGUCACCCCCCUGCUCGCCUCCUCGCCUCCUCGCACCCCCGCUCCUCAGCCCCACCCCCAACUCCCCACGCACCUGCUCGCACAGCAUGUCGACCAUGUCCGCCGGCGUGCAGCUGUCGGGCCGCACCCGCAGCAGCGACUCGCACGCCACCGCCAGCUGGGGCGAGGAGGCGAACAGGUACUUCAUCACCUGUGGUGUGUGUGUGUGUGUGUGUGUGUGUAUGUGUGUGUGUAUGUGUGUAAGAGCACAAGGAAACCAUUGCGUGUGUGUGUGUGUGGUGUAAGAACCAGACCAAUAACAAACGGAACCCAGUGCAAAAGAGCGAGGAGGAGGGCGUGGCCAAUGCAUAAUAAACGGAUUGGCACCGGGGGGUGGGGGGAGGUGCAGCCAACACACACACGGCCGGCGACACGGCGAGAGGGAGCACGUCAGGACUGGGCUGUGUUGUGAGGGGGAGUGAGGGCCUGGCUCCAGGCUCUGACCGUGGAUGCAGCAUGGGCACAUACAUGGGCACAGGACACACAGCCGCCGCCACCACCAGCAGCAUCUGCACACUUGAUUACGGGGAGCAGUAACGCGCGGUGUACCCACAAGCUCCCAGCUCACCUUUUUGAGCCGCCCGAACUUGCUCGCGCGGUACUCCACCGAGACCGGCUGCUCCACCGCCGCCGCCGCCGCUGCCACCGCCGCCGCCGCCGCCGCCGAGGUGGCCUCGCCGGGGCCCUGCUGCUGCUCCUGCGGCCGCAGCUCCGGAAUGAACUGCGCGGCGUAGUACCGCAGGAACGACUGCAUCAGCUCCGGCUCCCGCCAGCCCGCCACACCGCCGCCGCCGCCGCCACCGCCCGCUGCUCCUCCUCCUCCUCCUCCGGCGCCCCGCGCCCCCAGCUCCAGCCCCGCGCCCAGCUCCUGGCCCGCCACAAAGCUGUGCCGAAUGCGGUGGAACAGAAGCGGGUCUUGCACCGCGCCCCGGCCCACCAUCACGCCGUGGCAGCCCGUCUGCCGCAGCAGCGCGUGAGCGCGCUCCACACACACCACGUCUCCGUUGCCAAUCUGUAAGUGUAAUUAGUAAAACAAAACAAGAAACGAAGAGUGUUUGAGUGUGUAUAACGAAACAAAAGUGUAUGUGUGCAUGUAUGCACGUGCACUUGCAACGCGGUCAGCCGGGAAUGGAUAGCUACCAGGUUUGGUGGCGUCAUGUUUGUGUCAAGCCCGGUGCUAGGGGACACACGUCGUCUACGCCCAGCACGUGCUGGACAGUGCGACAGCCGCAAACGCGCGGCCGCCGGCGCUGCCGUGCCACCACCCCCGGCUCCCAUCCCAGCCAGUGCGGGGCACUGUCGCGGCACUCACCACCGGCACGCGCAGCAGCUGCACCGCCCUCGCCGUGAGCGACCAGUCCGCCGCGCCGUCGUAGCACUGGCGCUUGGUGCGCGGGUGGAGCGUGAUGAAGGAAGCACCCGCCUCCUGUGGGGCGCGUGGAGGGGCGUCGGAGUAAUGGAGCGAAGACGUCGGCCCUCAGCGACAGGUCCUGCACGCCGCACCGCCCUCCCAGCUCCCAGUCGCAGACCACCUGUUCUCCCUCGCCCUCCCUUCCCAACCACCGCCCCAAUGCUAUACGCCCUCCCCCUGUUGAGAACAGCCAAAGCACGACACGCCCAAGCGGUCAACCCCCCCAUUCCUCCCCCCUCACUGCCCCCACCUGUGCCGCUAGCAAGUUGUCCUCAAACAGGCUGGUAUCGUCGAAGCCGGCCCGCAGCUUGACGGAAACGGGGGUGUGUGGGGCGGCGCUGGCGCGCACCCCCGCCACCAUGGCGCUCACGAUGUCGUGGAUGCGCUGCGGCGUGCGCAGUAGGCUGCUGCCGGCGCCGUUGCCGGUCACGGUGUUGGCUGGGCAGCCGCAGUUGAGGUCGAUGCGGGGGGCACGCUUCACCUGGUGGGACCGCGGGAGCAAGGUGGCAGCGGGGGGUGGGUGUGGAGGAGGAGGGCGGGGCGCGGGGGCGGCCCGCGGUUGAGCAAAGGCGGUUGGUCGCCCCAUCAAGUACCGUACACCUGCCACACCUCGGCCGGCCUAGCGCCGACGCCCACAACACCCACGGCGCCGGCCCCCGGCGUGGCUCCCCCUUCUCCUGCUCCCCCUCCCUCUCCCUCUCCCUCCCCCCCUUCCUCCCUCUCCCUCACCUCCGCCAGGUACUGCGCCGCCAGCCCCAUCAGCUCGGGGCUGCUGCCCAUCACCUGCGCCCCCAGAGGGAUGCCGCUGCCGCCGCCAGCGGGGCCGCCGCUACUGCCAACGGGGGCGCCGCCUCUGCCGUCAAGGGCGAGGGCAGCUGCCGCCAGCUCCGCCGCGUCGUACCAGCCCGUCACGCCGCGUAUGCUGCCCAUGGGGUUGGAGGUGGCGCCGGGCACACGCAUGAACUCUGUGAGGGAAGGAGCGGGCGGUGUGUGUGUGUGUGUGUGUGUGGUGGGGGCACGAUGUGGGGUGUUUGACGACCCCCAAAGCCCCGGCCUGCGUGCCGGCUGUACAGUGCCCCUUGGCUGUAGCCUUCUUGGCCGCCGGUCUCACCUGUGCACGCCUCGUCGAACCCUCCGACCGUGGAAGCGAGGGCGCGGCGGAAAGGCCGGUCGGCGAGGUUCUCCAUCGGUGCGAGGAACAACAUCGGGCACUCAUGCGGUUGCCGCCCGGUGAGCCGCUGGACGUAGUCCACUGUUGGGGCGCUUGAGGACCCAUCCGCUGCUGCAGCGCUGCUUAAUCCUUGGCGGUCAAGGCUAGCCGCAACGACGCUUCUGCUCCUGGUGCGCCCAAAUGCACAAACGCGCACAGGCCCGGCUGCUGUGCAUCGUCUCCCUGGUGUUGAUAUGUCUCGAAAUUCUAUCGCUCGGCCUGAGGUCGAGGCUUGACAAGAGCGCGAGCUUGCACUCCAACGCUGGGACAUUUUACGCGGCGUGUGGGGUUGCAGUCUAUACAAACUGAGAAAUGUUUACUGCAUAGUGCAAUGAGUUUAAUAUAGCCAUCUGGGCACCAGUUAUUUUGUGCAGCUCAGUGCCCCAAAUGAUGAGCGGCUGGUUCGGCACUGGCGACGCCACGCGCUUCCUGGUUCACACCUUGGUUCACACCCCGCCUACGAGCACCACACGUCCCUUGCGCACGACGCCGCUUGCUUUGACACGCUAGCUGCUGCUAUACGCUCUUGCACAGCCUCCUGCCGCACCAAUCACGCACGUCGAAUGCGACUGCGCUGCACGGACGAGUCCACUCCCCUGCUCACACACCGCGUGUGGCCGUGUCAUGUCCUCCCUUACACCUUACACUUCCCUCCACAACAAAGCGGCAUUCAAUCAAAAGUCCUCCAGUCCAUCCUCCAGCUCCAUCAUUUCCUCAUCCGCCGCGCCACGGCCUGCCUGCACCGCCGCCCGGGCUGCCUUGCCGCCGCCGCCCGCCGCCUCCACGUCGGUCCCAGGCGACACCACGCCCAUGUUCUCCUUGCCGCUGCCCAGGCCCGCCGCAGCCGCCCGCUUCAGCAGCCGCCGCCGCUUCGCCGCGCCCAGGCCGCCGCCGCCAUCCGAGUCGUCAUCGGCAUUGCCGCCAGCCGCUGCCGCCGCCGCGCCGUCCACGUCCGCAUCAUCCAAUUCCGAAAGGGCGCCGCCGCCGCUGCCCACGCGGCGGCGGCGGCUGCCCGCCACGGCGGCGCCGGCGGGCCGGGCCGCUGCUGCCGCUGCUGCUGCCGCGGGGCUGCCCGCCACGUCCUCGUCCUCGUCCUCCAGGCCAGCUGGCGCCUGGGCCGCCGCUGCAACGGGUGAGGGCGCCGCCGCAGGCACUAGCGUGCCUGCAAUUGCACAAGAGUGAAGUAGGGGUUCGUCAGCAUAGCAACGUUGGCAUGGUACGGUACUUGUUCUUCACACUCAAGGCCCUGGCGGCGAAACUGGCCGCUUCCAUUCCUGACCCCGUGCUACACACGCACACACAGCCCAGUCGAGCUCGCUCACCCGCCAUGCGCUCCUGUUGCCGCCGCGCCUGCUCCUGCCGCCGCCGCGCCAGCUCCGCCAGCGCCCGCCGCCGCGCCUCCGCAUCCACCGCUGGCCCCGCGCCGCCCGCCUCCUCCUCCUCCUCCUCCUGCUGCUGCUUGCCGCCCGGCUCCGGCCGCCGGCCCUUGCCCUUCACCUCCUUCCCCUUCUGCUUGUCCUUGCUCUUAGCCGCGGCCUUGCCUGCGGCCUUGCCGGCGCCUCGCCCGCGGCCUGCCGCCUCCGCGUCCUCUUCACUGUCGCCCGCAAGGGCCGCCGGCACGCGCUUCCGCUGCGCCUUGGCGCCCGCCUGCGCUGCGGCCGCCGCCGCCGCGCCCUUGGCGCCACCCGCGCUGCCCCGGCGCGCCGGCUGCGCUGCCGCCUGCUUCUUAUUCUGCUUCUUCCUCUUCUUACCACUGCCGCCAGCGCCCUCUUCCCCGCCAUCCGACUCGCGCUCAGACGCCGAUGACGUGUCGUACUCCGGCAUCACCACCACCUCCUCCUGCUCCUCCUCGUCGUCGCCGCUGCUGCCGGCGGCGCCGCCGUCUGCGCCGCCACCCCGCCGGUCGUCCUCUGAGCCUGAGUCCGAGGAGCUCGAUUCGCUAUCGCUACUGCCCGAGUCCGACCCAGAUGUGGAGGAGGAGGCGGAAGCACCUUCCUUCUCAUCGUCGUCCGCCGCCGCCGCCGCCGCACCGCGGCCGUUGCGGCGCCGCGGGCCUGCGCCCUCCUCCUCCACUUCAUCGUCGUCCUUGUCCUGCUGCUCGGCCGAGCCACGCCGCCGGCCGCCGCGGCCACCCGCGGCGCCGCCACGCCCACGCCCGCGGCCGCCGCGGCCGCCGCCCAGCGCCGCCGCCGCCUGCUCCUCCCCGCCCGCCUUCUUCCGCCCGGCCGCGCUGGCAAACGCCGCCGCCGCGGCGGCCGCGGCCGCCGCCUCCGCCGCCUCCCGCGCCUCGCGCUCCUUGCGCCGCCGCUCCUCCUCCUCGGCGCGGCGCUGCUUCAGCUCCGCCGCCAGCUCCGCCGCUCGCUCGCCGCCCAGCCCCUGCAGCCCCGCCGCCAGGGCCGCCUGCACGCGCUGCCGCCAGCCGCCGCCGGCCGCCGCCGCCGCCGCCGCCGGCACCUUGUAGUAGUCGUCGCUGGUGUUGCGGAUGCCGCACGCCUCCAGCAGCCUGGAUCGAGGCGAUAAAGCGGAUGAAGUGAGAGGGACCGACACGCGCAUUGAGCACCGGGUGACGGGGAUAAAGCGGCGGAGGCAGUCCUCAUGCGAACUCUGGGCGAGCCCGUUCGUGCCUAAUGUGGUAACGCGCGCUCACCACGCCGCAACCCAACACCAACCCGCCCCCACCCCGCCAGCGCAGCCGCCACCGCGACUCACUCCUGCGCGUACUCGGUCAUGAAGAACUUCUCGUCCUCCUCGCCCGCCAUGACUAGGCAGUAGUCGGACAGGCCCGCGCCGCCGCCCUGCGCCGCCGCCACCUCAGCCCACAGCGCCUCCGCCGCGCCCAGCUGCCGCGUCAGCCAAGCCGCCGCCUCGCUCGGGCUCAUCCAGCGCCCGCCGUCGGCGGCGUGGGCCUCGGACAUGCCGGCCAGGGCCUGCAGUGGUAGGGGGAGGAGGUGGUGGAGGAGGUGGUGGUGGAGGAGGUGGUGGAGGAAGGUGGUGGGAGGUCGAGGUGAUGGAGGAGGUGGUGGUGAUGGAGGGGAGGCGGGUGGCAGUGUGGAAAGAUUGUGAGGUGCAUUUGCGCUUGGUGGCCUAAUGUGGUGGCGGCGGGGUGCCGCGCCGCGAGCAAUGAUAGACCGAGUGCAUACGAUCGCAAUGAUAACCAAAAAAGCGCCGCGGAAUCGGUGCCAGGCUCUCUCAACCUCACACACACAUGCACACACAUGCACACACAUGCACACACAUGCACACACAUGCACACACAUGCACACACAUGCACAUACGCACCUGCAGCACGCGCUCGGUGUUUGGCUCCACUAGGGCAGCGCGGCGGGGCGCGGCGUCAGCGGCCUCGCCGUCGCGGCCGCCCUUGCCCUUGCGCCCGCCCCGGCCCCCGCCCGCCGCCGCUCCGUCGUCGCCGUCGGCGUCGUCCCGGCGGCGGCGCUGCUGCGCCUCCAGCAGCCCAUGCUUGCGAAGCAGCUUAGCAACCUGGGGGCGCAUGUGUGUGUAUGUGUUAGAAAAAACACCAAAACGAAGCCCGCCCAUGUGUGUAUGUGUGUGUGUGUGUGUGUGUGUGUGUGAAAGACGAGCUGGGGAGGUUUAUGCCCGGGCCCCAUACCGUUGUGAGCCGGGGGCUUUGCAGAGUGGGCACCCCCGUGAGACCGUCCCCUGCAUCCCCUUGCUCGCCCUCUCCGGCGCCGCUAUUUCCAAUCCCAAAACCCAUACCCCCAACCCACGCACCCACCCACCCACACAGCCCGCCCGCACGCGCACCUGCUUGGCUCCGCCGCCCAGCUCCGGCAUACGCUCCGCCAUACGACCCAGCACGCCCUCCUCCCCGCCCUGAGAGGCCCCCGCCGCCGCCGCCUCCUCCGCCCGGCACCGCUGGUACAGCGCCAGCAGGCGGGCGCGCUCGGUGGCGUCCCGCGCGCGCCGCCGCUUGCCGCUGGCGUCGCCGUCGCCCAACAGGCCCUCCGCCCGCAGCAGCCGCUGGACCUGUGGCGAGGGGUGGAGUGCGCGGGGUUGGUGGUUGUGGUGGUGGGAGUUGGAGGGAGGGGUGCACAUGCCCGAGCCCAACGAAACAGGUUCCCACGGGGGCGAGGCGGCAAGAAGCGAGGGCGGCGUAGGUCCCGAGCUCCUCAUGGAGGUAAGGAUAGGGGGGGCUUGAGGAUUGGAGGUGCUGUGCAUGCGGCUGUGCGUGCAGCCGGUGUGCGAGUGACGCACAGCCUCGCAGCCGCAGCCCGCCGUGGGCACGUGAACCCGCGGGGGGACGCGCGGCCCUGCUGCGCCAGCCCAGCCCCGUCCCCAGCCCCAGCCCCAGCCCCAGCCUCAGCCUCCACGGACGGUUGCACGGCCUCGCAGGUUCCCCACCUGCUUGACGGUGCGCGGCUCUCCGCCCGGCCCCGGCGGCAGCAGUGCGGCGAUGACGUUGAGGUGGUCGGGCCGCGCGCCGUGCUGCUCGUGCAGCCGCCGCAGCAGCGCCGGGUCCACCUGCGGAGGAGGAGGGGCGAGGAGGGCGAGGAGGGGCGGGGAGGGGGGGGGGUGAGCAAGUGUGGCCGUGUGUUUACGCGGGCUUCGGCAUUGCGUGGAAGCAUUGCGGCUGCAUGUUGUGGUCGACCACAAGCGUCGGGAGGCGUUCCGUACCACACACCCAGUUCAACUAGCGGCCUGAGACACACACACCCCAAACGGCCAAAUGCCCUAGCCACCAGCCAAGCGCCGUGUCCGCGCAUGCAUGCACCUUGCCGGCCCCGCGGCCGCGCUUGGCACCGGGCUCCUUCCGGGACUUGGCCUUCCUGGUCUGCGGCUGUAGCAGCCCCAUCUGCACCAGCUUGGCCGCUACUGCCGCGGCCGACACGUCCUGGGACAGAGCCUCCGUGAUCUGGGGUCGAGGUUAGGGUGCACGUGUGGGGACUGUACGUGGGGAACCGAGAACGUGUCCCAUGGGUGAACAGCCGUCGCAGAAGCGGACGGCAAAACAGGGCACAACACAACACACCCCAGAGCCAAUCCACGCCACCGCUCGACUCGCGCCCCGCCUCCCCACUGGGUUGGGCGACGGUACCUUGACCAUCAGGAUUCGGGACCCAUUCAUUGGGCUCGGGCAUCCCACCCUCCCACCCACCUCCUCCAGCGCCUCCUGCCGUGGCUUGCUGCCGUGCUCCUCCCACAAGAUGCCCAGCUCCUCCUCCGCCUCCGCCAGCGCCUCCACCUCCUCCUCAUCCACCUCGCCCUCGCCGGCCCCCUCCUCCUCGUCCUCCUCCUCACUGCCGCUGCCUGUGUGUGCCAGGACAAUCAACGAAGACAGACCAGGUGGAGAAAUAGAGGGACCAUGGAUGGAGGGACCAGGGAUGGAUGGGCACGUGCGCAGACAGCCAGGCAAGGCUAGCGGGGCUGCCGUGUCAACGGCGGAGCUGCCGGGCAAGAUCUCCUAGGGAUCCGCCUCCGCCGACGAAGCUAUUGGCACUAUUAUUGUCCGCUAGCGGUAUCAAUACCCACAGCCGACCAGACCGCGCAGCUCUCACCGCCGCCGGCCUUGGGCCCCUUGCCGCGGCGCCCGCCGGCUGGAGUACAGGAGCGCGGGGUAGCGUAGCAGAGGAAGCGAGCAAAGUGAAGCGUUACGGGGAGGGGCCGGGGGAGGUGGGCAGUAAUCGCAUUCGUGCUUAAUCCUUACGCGCUUGAGACACACACCCUCCGUACCCACCGCCUCCUAUAGUCCUAUCGCCUCCCACCGCCCUCCUCUUCCAAUCCCCUUACCCAUGAGUCCAUGCUUGGUGGCUAGUCGUUUGAUGUCCUUGCUGGUCCAGCCGCCGGGCAGCUGGGGGCGGUGGAGCGGGUGGCGCGGGUGGGGGAGGGGUUUACAGUCAUGAUAAGCUAAGUGCUUGGUAGACGGUAGACGGCAGGCAAUCUUGGGGGCUGGGGGCAAGUGGGGUGAUGCGGAGGGGGGACCGGCAUGCGCGCGAGCCCAACGCGCAGUACCAUGGACCAAACAGGAGCGGAGAGUCCGGUGGCACCGCAAAAGGCGCCGCCACAAUACAGGCAGUACACCAGUGUGGCACACGCAUGCACCCACGCCCACACGCAUACACCCGACCGCAUACACCCACCCACACACCCACUGACACACGCUCACCUGGGCCGCGAUCAUGAGCAAGCGGUCGUCGUCGCCGGCGUAGCGCUGCCACAGCGACUUCAGCCGAGACAGCUGCGGGGGCCCGGUAGUUGGGGUUGGGGGCGGUGAGGGUGGGUGACCGAGGUGCAUGAGUGGGUUGCCGGCGGGAAUGGGGUGUGUGUGGAGCGUGUCAGUACCCACCCAUCCACCCAAAACCUCUCACCCACCUGGUUUUCCGAGAGCUCCCGGAACUUGAGCCCCAUCAGUUUGAGCUGACGCAGCAGCUGCCCGCCGCUCAUGUCCACACCCGCCGCCCCCGCCGCCGCGCCGCCGCCCGCCGCCGCGUCCUCGCCCUCGCUGUCCUCCUCCUCCUCCGCCCCGCCGGCGGCGCGGCGCGCGCUGCGGCCGCCGCGCUUCAUGGCCUCCAGGAUCAUGUCCAUGUUGUGUCUGGAGGAGUUGUGCCGCUCAAACACGGCGGCAAGCAGGGCCUUCUGAGCAGCCGACAGAGACAGGCCGCGGCCGCCGCCGCCGCCUCCGGCGGCGCCGCCGCCACCGGCUGCCGCCGCGGUGGCCAGGUUGCCGGAGCGCUUGUUCUUGCCGUUGCCCACUUUGAUCGUCUUGAGGAAGCGCUUGCGCAGCAUCUCUGUGUGCGCGUGUGGCAUUGCAUAACAAUCGUUGGCGGUGGGACACUUGUGCUUCUUCUUUUGGCAGUUGGUAGCUACCGUAUGCUUCUGCUUUUUGCGGUCCACGAACCCAACGGUGGAGCCCGUGCCCCCCGCAGCUCCCCCGGGUGCCUUAUUGCCUGCCGCAGCACGGCCCCGGCCCACUCACCCUCGCGCUCCUUCAGGGUCAUGUGCUUGCGAGCCGCAGCAGCCGCCACAGCAGCCGCAGGCGCCGCGGCGGCAGCGGGCCGGUUGGCGCGUGCGUCGGCGCCCUCCCCCUCGUCGUCACUCCACACAACCCCGGGCCGCCGGCCGCCCGCCGCCGGCGUCUUAAGGCCGCCGCCGCCGCCGCCGCCGCCACCCGCCGCCGCCUCGCCGCCGUCGUCGUCGUCCAUGCCGAAGGCGGCGCGGCGGCGCUGCUGCGUGGCGGUACCGGGCGGGCGAUUCGCGGCUGCUGCGUGGAUGGCACAGGGAGGGAAGAUAGGGCCGUGGCGUGAGUGGCCAGCAAGCACACCGCAGGCGCGCAACAUUCUUAACAGGCAAUAGCUACCUAUUGCAAGCAUGCUUACACCCAGCCCGGCAUCGCACGGCGCGACGCGGCACACAAAAGCACGCGCUCACCUCCGCCGUCGUCCUCGUCCUCCAGCCCGUCCCCGCCCUCCUCUCCCUCCUCUCCCUCCGCUCCGCCGCGGCGCCGCAGCCGCCCGGCCGUGCGCGGCGCCCCCUCCUCCCCGCCGCCCCGCUCAUCAUCAUCAUCCGCAUCCGCCAUCUCGUCAUCCGCCUCGCCCUCCUCCUCCUGGCCCCAGGCGUCACGCCGGCGCCGCCGCCGGUCCGCCGCGGCGCCCUCCGUGGGCGGCGGUGCGUGGGGGUCCCGGCCGCGGGCCACGGCGGCGGCGCGAGCGCGGCGGUCCUCGGCCUCCUCGCGCUCGCGCUCCUCCAGCCCCAUCUGUGUGGUAAGGGGCGGGGCAGGCGGUCAGCGGUGGGGCGCGGUGGCUGUGUGGCAGUGAUGUGCAGGUCCCUAGGGGCUAGGGAGCGCGCAGGCUGCCCUUCAGCAAUGAAUGCGACUGUGCAGGACCCCGGCGCUUGUAAACCUGCGCCCCACUUACAUUGCAUGAAACGAGAGUCCAAGAUCUACGCAUCUUCCCGCGGCAUCUGCCCCCCUGGGGACUACCGUAUUGUCGCGUGCCACUCCUUUGUCAACGCAUAGGCCACGCUCUGCUCCUCGCUCUAUUGCAUUGGGUGCGGUUAGUUUGGGCUGGUAUCUACAACCCCCCUCAACAACCCUCCCCGCACUCACGUAGAGCCAGUAGUCCUGGUUCACGGCCGCCGCGCCCGUGUGGUCCUUCCAGAACAGCAGGUCCACCGCCAGCAUGCGGGGGGCCUUGUCGUGGAUCUGGAGGGGGGUCAGGGAGGUGGUGGGGUGUGUGAGGUGGUGUGUGUGGUGGUGUGUGGUGGUGUGUGUGGUGGUGUGUGGUGGUGUGUGGCGGUGUGUUAUGGUGUGUGGUGUGUGAGGGGGGGGAUGUCGGAGGCGGGCGGGUUCACAGGGUUGGCAGGUCGCAGGCGUGGGAGCGGGACCGGGCAAGGAGGGGUGAAAGGGCAUGAGGGCACGAGGGCACAAGGCAGGGACAGCAGAGCAGCGGAGCAGAAGACGACAGGACUAUGGGAGACAGGGGGACCAGGGCUAUGGUCCGAUGCCCAAAGCACGCGUAGCCAAAUGCACAAGCGGGGGUGGCACGCGCCAGCAACCCCCCCUCCCCCCCAUACACACACACACACACACACACCCACACACACUCCAACCCCCCCCCCACACACACACACCUCCGCCACCAGCUCCUUGCGCCGCGCCGCCCGCGCCUGCCUCUCCUCCUCCGUCAGCUCCUCCUCCUCCUCCUCCUCCUCUUCCUGCUUGCGCCGCCGCGCCGCCUCCUCGCCCUCCUGCUCCACCUCACUGUCCUCCCCACUGCCCUCCCCACCCCCCUUCUUCCCCUUCCCCUGCUUCUUCUCCUUCUCGCCGCCGCCAGCCGCCGCCGCCGCCGCGGCGGCGCCGCCCCCGGGCGCGCGCUCAGGCACGAGGCGGCGGAAGAGGUUGCGCACGACUGCGGUGCAGAAGUGCAGGAGCUCGCGGAAGUGCGGCAGGCGGGCGGGCGAGCGCAGGUCGGGGUCUGACAGGAUGACGUAGAACACACGCAGCACCGAGAUCUGAGGGAGGGGCGUUGGGGUGCGGGGGUGGGGAUUGGGGUUGGGGGUUGCGGAGUUGAGUGGGCGUUGUAGACUACGGUAUCAGGCAUAGUUAGGGUUGGCGUGGCUAAACACGAGACGCAGCGGGAGCAAGGGUCACAGGGUAUACACACGCACACACACACACACACACACACACACACACACACACACACACACACACACACACACACACACAGGCACACACACACACACACACACACACGCACACACACACACACGCACACUGACGGUGCGCCAGAUAGUACCAAUCGCGGCCCGCUGGUUGCUUGCGCAUUCGCACCGACCCCUUCUUCCCCUUGUGCGUACCUAACUUCCUUCGUUUCGCCCUGACUCCCCCCUCCCCCCUUCCCCCCAACCCCCCCCCCCCCCACACCCCACCACCCACCUGGUACAGCAGCGGCUCCAGGUCGCAGCGGUCCCUGCCGGCAAUGCGGUACAGCAGGCUGGUCAGCGCGCGCGGCACACCCGGCGGCAGGCCGCGGUAGGCCGCCAGCAGCUGCGCCGCGAAGUGGAUGACGGCGGGCUGCGCCAGCUUGCCGCGCACCUUGGACUCCAGGUCCAGAGGCCGCUCCACCACCUACAUGCCAGGGGGCGGUGCCCCCGGGGGGGGGGAGGUGGGAGAUGGAGAAAGGGAGGGGGAGGGCAGGGGAGAGGGAUGGGAGGGCUGUAAAUCCCAGCCCAAACUAAACCAAACGGGGGUUUAGGGAAGCGGAGUGGCGGGGCGCGGGUGCGUCGGUUGGGGAUGGGAGGAGGUCGUGUGUGCAGAAUGACGUAUGUGCAAUGGGAAGCGGCUAGGGCUGUUGGCGGCCCCCAAGCGGCCUGUGCGGCCCCUCCUUCCCUCCCUCUACUUCAUCCCUACACACCUGUUGGCGGCGGCCGCCGUCCUCGUCCUCCUCCUCGUCGUCCUCGUCACCCGAGCCCUGCCAGCGCGGGGGCGGAGGGGCAUCCAAGGCGUGAAGCAUCCCACCACAUAUGCCCUAGCACCCAAAAGGUACCGUGCCUCGAACUGGGAUUUGCGCGAACAACCACAUCCCACGCACCACCCACCCACACAUCACCCCACCCCUCACACACACACGCACCCCCCCACACACACACACACACGCAGACGCGUCGUUGGGCGAGCUUUCGUUUCGUUUUCUAACACACACACACACACACACACACACACACAUACCACCCAUCCACCCACGCACACACACCUGGCCGCUCUCGUCCAUCAGCUCAUCCAGGGCCUUUCGCCGGGCGGCGGCGGCGGCGGGGUCAGCUGCGGCCCCUGCUUCCUCCUCCUUGCCGCUGCCGCCACCCUCCUCCUCCUUGUCACUGCCGCCCUCCUUCUCGCCGCCCUCCUCGCCCUCGCCGCCCUCCGCCUCCUCGUCCUCCUUCUGCUGCUGCUGCUUCUUCUUACGCCGGCCGCCGCCGCCGCCGCCGCGCUUCUUGGCCUUGACCAUGAAGCCGCCCGGCUCCAGCGCUGUCAGCCUGCGGGGCACACGACGAGGUAGGUGGGGGAAGGAUGAGUCUGUCCAUUCCCGCCGUCGUUUGAACCAGUCAUGCCUGGACCCCUACCCCCCACCCCACCCCCAACUCCCCCCACACUCCCCCAGCCCCCAACCCCCCUCCCCCCCCACACACACACCCCAACCCCACAAAAACACACACGCCCCCCACCACCACCCCACGCCCGCACCUGUCGUACAUCUUGAGCACGUGGCUGAGCGCCGUCACCAGGUCGCAUGCGUAGGCCCGGCCCUGCCGCGCGAAGUUGAAGCCGCCCAUGAGGCGCGCCAGCACCGGCAGCAGCCCGCUGUCCGCCAGGUCGUCAUGCAGCAGGCGCCGCUGCAGGCGGUCGGCGGCGGCGCGGUCGUGGGGGGAGCCGUGGCGGUGCGCGGCCGCCAGCACCGCAAGCAUCUCGGUAAGCAGGCGGGUGGACACGGCCUUUGGGGUGGGGGUUGGAGGGGCAGGAGGGGAGGAGGGGUUGGGAGGUGGUCUGGUGAAGCGGUAGAAGGGCAUGAGUAGAGGAAGAGCAUGAAUAGAGGAAGCAUGAGGGCACACAGGGCUCGCACGCGCGCACCUGCAGCUCCCAGUCCCUCAGCUUGCCGCUGGUGUCGGCCUGCUCCACCCACAGCUUGCACACCUGCACGGGCGGCCGCACACACGCAGGACCAGAGGGGUUUGGAAAGGUGGUUGAAAAGGGCGGUACAAGAUGGGGGGAUGACACGCAUUAAGUUUACGAAGUGAAGUCGUAGGGGGAGGGGUGUGUGCCCGAGCCCAACGAAAUAGGCCCCAAGAAGGGGGUUACAUGCAUUAAGUUGACGGAGUGAAGUUGUAGCCAGGUACAAAGGUACACAAGAAGGGGGGCGGGCCGAACACCGUGCCAGAGAUCGAGGUCGAGGCAGCGGGGCUGACAGGAGGGCGGCGACAAGCGCAUCAAGACAGGGGGGGGCUGAAAGCAUCAAACCACCGCCUCUGUUGCCUCUGGUUUGCUCAUGGGCACAUGGUGUCGGCCCCCUCCAUUCGUGCGUUCCCCCCUCCUCCCCUCCCCCACCCCCCCAACCCGCCCACUCUCACCAGGUGGAAUGUGUCCCAGCCCAUGGUGCCGCUGAUGCCAGCAAACGGCGAGUCCUCCUCCUCAGCCUCCGCCUCCGCCGCCUCAGCCGCCCGCGCCCCGGCCCCCUCCGGCUGCGCCUCGCCGCCCGCCGCCUUGCCGCCGCCCUCCUUGCCGGCCUCCUGCUCCGCCGCCGCCUUCUUGGGCUGCUUGGUCCUGUUCGCCGGCGCCGCCUCCUGAAUGCCCCAGGCACAAACACACAGCACUCAUGAGUCAUCACCAAUCAGUGGCAACACCUCGAAAUUUGACUGUGGACCCGGCAGCGUAAACCCUGCAGCCCACCUGCGCUUCCCCAUUCGUUUGCCCCCCUACAGAGCCCCCUUCCACCAUUCAGUCUCAUGGGAAUGGUACCAGCACCCUCCCCGCCCCCGCCCCCGCCCCCGCCCUCCCCUUUCCUCCCCUCCCCUCCCCUCGCCUCGCCUCGCCUCCCCCACCCACCGCCCUCUCCCGCCCACCUGCUUCAUCCUGCAGUAGGCGCUGAAGAAGGCCGCCACCCGCAUGAAGCGCAGCAGGUCGGGCCGCUCCAGCCGCCCCACACCCACACCCGCAGCCACCUCCUUGCGGACCAUCUCCAUCAUCUGCGUGCGUGCGUGCGUGCGUGUGUUUUGUGUGUGUGUGUGUGUGUGUGUGUGUGUGUGCGGGGGGAGGCGGAGAUGAACAGUUGGGGGUCCAGGGCCAUGUCGACCCUUUACGCAUCACCUGCUCCCCCUACGCUAAUCUCUCACACGCGCACGUGCACCCACGUGCACGUAAACCCCAUUAUCCCUUGCCUCUCCACCCCCCUCCACCCCAGCACCCACACACACACACACCCCUAAAUCUGCAUCGCAUACACUGCCCUACGCGUAAUGUUUUCCUUGUGCUCUUUAACACACACCUGGUUGUAGCCGCUGGCGAUGAGGUCGUCCGCAAAGCCCCUGAGGCUCCACAUCAGCUCCGCCUGCCGCCGCAGCAGCGAGCUGCCGCUGCCCGCGCCGCCCGCCGCCACCGCCGCCGCGGCCGCAGCCACCGCCGGCAUGGAGGUGGCGGCGCCGGGGCGGGCGCCCUCCAUCUUGGCAGGAGCCUGCGUGCGUGCGUGGGUGCGUGCGCCAGACCGUGGGCGAGGACCGACACACACGGGGCCGCCCCCAACGCCACAUUCCCACGUGCUCCCUUUUCCUUGGUGCUCUCCCAAUACACCAUGCUCCCAGCCCCCCUGCUCCGUUGGGCCUUGGGCAUAUACCCCCCAUAUAUGUUGGGAUCGGAAUGAACUACCCAACCACCCACCCAACCACCUACCAACGCCACACACACACGCACACACACACACACACCAACACAUACACACACAUACACACACACCAACACACACACACACACCAACACACACACACCAACAUACACACACACACACACACACACACACACGCGGACGGAGCACCCACGUCCACGAUCAGCUGCUUGACCGCCAGCGCCCCGCCCGGCGCCUGGCCGGGCUUGGAGAUGAAGCUGCGGCGCUGCCCCGGGUCGUCCGUGUGCGCCACCACAAACCGCCCGCCAAAGCCGGCAUGGCGCGACACCGGCGCCUUGCCGCGGAGCAUGGCCGCCGCCGCCAGCUGCUGCUUACGCAGCUGCGCCUGCACCGCGCUGCCCAGGGCGGAGGGCGGCCCGGCGGGGCCGGGGCCCCUGGCGGCGCCGGAGGCGGCGGCGCCGCCGGCGCCCGGCGCCGCACGGCUGCCUGCGGGAGCGCCGGAGCCGUGGAACGCCGCGGGGCUGGGCUUGGUGGCGGCGGGCUUGGCUGCGCCGGGCGGCGCAUGUGCUGCAGGCUGGUGCUGCUGCUGCUGCUGCUGCUGCUGCUGCUGCUGCUGCUGUGGCGGCGGCGGCGGUUGCUUGGGCUUGGGCGGCGGCGGCGGCUGCUUGGCUGCCAGCAGCUGGUGUGGCUGGAUGUCCUUGAAGGUGUCGUGGAUGAUCUCUAGCAGCACCGGCAUCUCCCGCCGCAGCGGCGCCUGGCUGCCGUGCUGCGCCACCAGCAGCAGCAGCUCCAUGAUGGACUCGGAGAACAGCAGGCUCAGCAGCGAGGACUGCAGGCAGGGGGGCGGGGUGGGGGUGGGGGUUACAUGCAUUAAGUUUACGUGGGUGGGGGUUGGGGAGGAGAGGGGAGCCAUUUCAUGUGAACAAUUUAAAAGGAACAUGAGAAAUGGGAGAGGGGGCACAUGGGGGCACAUGGGGGCACAGGGCACAGGGCGCGAGGAGUGCAGGGCAGCGGAGGGGACGCGAGGGGCUGGCGGCCUGCUCCGCAGCGCACUGACACAGCCCAUGACUGGUAUUGACCGCGUGUCGCGUAACUAGCGUGCAUGGCUACCUCCCAUGCUUUACGGAAUGCUGCAACUGCAACUGCAUGGCACACACAUCCGCGGCAAUAUGUAAACUAAUGAGCCCCAACGCAGUUCGGCACCGUCUCCGGUGCACCCUCCCCCCACGGCUCCACGGCCUCCGCUCCCUGCUUCCGCCCCGCCCCGUCCCGCCAGCCGACCCCCACCCCCUCCCACCCCCGCACCCCCUCCGCCUGCCGCCCGCACCUGCAGCCGCGUGCGCGCCGAGCCCGCCGCCAGCGUGGGGCUGGGCCGCUCGUCCGGCACCGCCAGCAGGUUGCGCAGCAGCACCAGCACCAGCUGCACCGCGCUCUGCUGCUCCGGGCUCAUGCGCGGGUGGGCGGCCAGCGGCUCGGCCACCAGACCCAACACCGCGGCCAGAGCAUCCUGCGGGGCGCAGCGUGGUGGUCGGGUUUCGGAACCCGGGAACCGACAUUGGGCUCGGUUCAGUUGUCAGCGCGAUCCCACGGUGCGACCCGCACUGCCUACCUCGGGCUUUAGGGCAUCUUGCUACGUGCGUGUACAGCACAUCGGUCGCCUGCCUGCCAUCCCGCACCCCCGCCACUGCGGCGCCCGUUCCCCGCCAUCCCUCGCCAGCCCCCAAACGUCCGCCUCUCCCCUCCCAAAUGUCCCGCCCCCGCCCCCCCCCCCCCACGCACACACAUACACACCUGCUGCAGCAGCGCCUCCUUGACGUCCCGCACGUACCCCUCCUGCACCGCCGGCCGCGCGCUGGUGGACUCCACAGGCAUGGUGAGGUAGGUCAGCGCCUUGACUGCAGGCAGCAGGUGGGGAGCAGGUGAGAGGGAGAGGGAAGGCAGAGAGUGGGAGGGAGAAGGAGGGGGACAAAGAGGAGAGGGAGGGGAGCAAUGGAGCGUUGGUUUGAAUGCCACAGUACCGUAUGUGAGACCCAGGAAGAACCCAGGACAAGGACCCAGGCUGUUCCCUCCAGUUCCUCCCCACACGGGGCACCCCCCCCCCUCCGCCCCCACCUGUCUGCAGCGUGACGUCCUUGUCGUGCGGGUACGUCACCAGCAGCGGCACCAGGUCCUGAAGGGGGGGAGGGAGGAGGGCGGGAGGGAGGAGGCAGGGACCGGGCGUGGGGGGUGGGGUGAGGGUGGGUGGAAGGUGGGUGGAUGGGGGGUGCUUCCACCGUGCCCAGGAAACACGAGCAGGAACGAAGCAAAAGCGCCGAUUAGACCGCGUGCCAUUGGACAAAGGAGGGGCCGCGUCUGCCGUUCCCAGCCGGUCGCCGAUGGGUCCGUCCUCCACCCAGAACCGCAUCUUCCUGCCCAGCUCCCCGGCCUCAUUCCGCCCCCAAGCAGCACCCACCACACCGCCCCGUGUGCACUGCCCACCCCCCAGUUCCCGCUGCCCCACCUGCGCCGCGAUGCGCCACUCGCCCAGCCUCAUGAACACCGGCCGCAGCUCCGGGUCGUCACGGCGGAGGAAGCGCUGCAGGUCCUUCAGGCAGCCUGCAGCAGCAAGCAGCGGCAGCAGCAGCAGCAGGAGGAGGUGAAGGAGGAAGGGGUGUAGGAAAGCGGGGCGUGUGGGUGUGUGGGCGGGUGUGGUGAGCCGUGCAGGAGGCGGCAUAGGGGCUGGGGUUGGGGCUGGGGCUGGGGCUGCGGAAAGCGCCGCUGUGGCACUGCAAGGUGUCCUCUGCGCUCUGCCCGUUGUCAUCUGCCGUCUGCACUCAGCCCUCUCAGCCCCGAAGCCGUGUGUAGCUGUGUUCCCCGGCCCUUGAACUGCAGGCUGCAAUGCGGUGCACGUGCGCCCGUUGGGACAGCACCGGAGGGCCCCAGCGCUCCAGGAAGAGCCUCCCAGCGCCCCAGGCCCCCGCCCUUGCAGGCUCCAGGCCUCCCUCCCUCGAAGGCGGCAGUACCAGCACUUGUACGUCACAGAUACGGGCGUACGGCACUCACCAACACAGUCUUUGUCCUUAACGUACACCUUGUGUCCGGUGGCUGUGUCCUGCAUCCACUUGCCCAGACCGUGCGCCACGCUGAUGAGCAGCUGCGGGGGGAGGGGAGGGCGGGCGGGCGGGAGGAGGUGGAGGAGGAGCGGGAUGGCAAGGGUGGUAUGGGGAAGGGGGGUUGAGGACAGGGGCGGUGGUGGCGGGUGGCGGAGGCGGGAGGGUUACGGGAAGAUGGCAGUUUGCGUGGGUGGUGAGGUAGGGCGGUGAGUACUUGCAUGAAGGGAUGAGAAAGGCCCGGUCUGGCAUGCUGCUGUGCCAGCUCCCACGCUGCCAUAUACAAGGUGCGCUGCACGGGGUAGGGGCUACUGGCCAGGGCUGGGCUACCAACGCGGCCGCUGGCACUGCCCACGCCCGCACCCUCGCCACGGGCGCGCCACUCCGCACCUCGUAGUCGACGGGGUCGGCCUGCGGCGCUCCCUCAUAUUCAUAUCCUUCAUACUGGUCGCCUCCAAUGUCAUCGGCGUCGUCCAGGUCGUCAUCGAGCACAACGUCGACGUCUCUUGUGCCCACAUCGACCUCCCGACGAGCAGCAGCUGGCUCCACACCGUACGCCAUGCUACUUCUUAUAAUACAAUAUGUGAAGCUACCUGUGUCGGCCUGGCUGCCCGAAAACGCGGGACAGCGCCAAGCGACACUCUGCGCGGGCUCGUGAGCAAGUAGGUCGCUGCCAGUAUCUGUUAGGCCAUUUCAGUUAAGCACUAUAAUAUCUAUGCCAUGAAUUAUGAGGAACAAGGCCUCUGGGGCGCUCCCUGCGUUUUCUGUCGAUUGCUCAAAUUGAACGAGGUGGCUGGAUGCCUCGCGCGGCCAGGGCGCAGUCCCAACGAGAGCCCAGCAUAACAUACUUUCUUAUCAUUUGCCGGCUUCAUGCACAGACAAGACCGCUGAAUGAACAUCUUGCGACAGAGAAGCAUCCCAUCCACGCCUUGAGGCUGGGCACGCUCUUUCGCCCAUGUUUUGAAUACCCGUUUGAUGUUGUAAUCCUCUGUACCAAGAGACUCUUCGUGAGCGCCAGAUAGGUUUACAAAUACACAGAGGUGCCGAGCACGGCUGCCGGCAGGCAUGCUCCAGCACGCUCUGAAACACGCAGUUCCCUGGCUGCGCUUGGCGCAGCACAGAGCAUAGCAUACGCAGGCCCUCCCACCACCAUCUACAUCACUUCACGUAAGCGUUCCGCUCGCACAUGCGCACGUUGAACACCUGUGCUUACUAGGGCAUUCAACGUCCGCCCCACAGCCAGCUCCAGCGCCACUCCUGCUGCUCCUGCUUGGUGUCAGUCGCGGUUCACAGGGGCAGCUCGCCGGAGUCGGCGAUGGUCACCUUCUUGCUGGGCUUGCCGCUGCUGGUGCCCACAGCCUCCACCUUGUACACCACGUCCAUGCCCUCCACGACUGCGGGGCCAAGUGUGGUGCAGUACGGCGGUGGUUCAGUUGGGGGAAAUCAGACCGGCAUUCAUGCCAGGUAGGCUUUCGCAAUGUUUUGAGCUCACGUGCCGCGGAAGUGGACCCAGCUCCAACAUGUGAACCCCUACGCCACGCCCUGUGGGUUGGCUUGUCCUGGCCCGCCCCGGCCGCACCACAAGGGCCAACCCCACGCCCCUGCGACACCCCCACUUCCCAUGCCUCGGGCUCACCCUUGCCGAACACGACGUGGCGGCCGUCCAGCCAGCUGGUGGUGACUGUGGUGAUGAAGAACUGAGAGCCGUUGGUGUCGGGGCCGGCGUUGGCCAUGGACAGCACGCCGGGGCCGGUGUGCUUCAGGGCGAAGUUCUCGUCCUGUCGCGGAGGAGAAGGGGAAAGUCCCGUGCGCAGGUGAGAGGAAGGGUCAAGGGCGCCUCUGUGUUGCAGCACAGCGAGUAAGGGCGAGGUCCUCGCAGUCGCAAGUGUGACAUCGCACUGCAGCUGCGGAAGCCCUGGCUACAGGGCUACACUGUGUGCCCCCAGCGUCGAGUUGACUCACGGGGAAGCGGGAGCCGUAGAUGGACUCGCCGCCGGUGCCAUCGCCGCGGGUGAAGUCACCGCCCUGGAUCAUGAACUGGGGGAUGAUGCGGUGGAAGAUGCUGUUCUUGAAGUGCAGCGGCUUGCCCGAGGUGCCAGUGCCCUUCUCGCCGGUGCACAGGGCGCGGAAGUUCUCCACGGUCUUGGGCACGGUGUUGCCGUACAGGCCAACCACAAUGCGGCCUACGGCAGCGUGGGGUCACGCGGGAGGGGUUGAGCGCCCCCGAACAAAAGCAGGAUAAACGUGUCACGCGAACCCGGGGGGAUCGGGCGGGAUGUGCGCUGGACCGACGCCAGGUGGCGCCCAGCUGCCGGCAAGGUGGUCGCUACUGAGUGGAAGGGGCGGUCCCGCGCAAACCCCGCCUGACCCCGCUGCUCACCCUCAGGCUUGCCAUCAAUCUCCACGUCGAAGUACACCUGCGCAGAUACAAAGUAAAGGAUGCAUCGAAUGCAGUAUGCAAGCUUGUCCAAGCCCAGAUCAACAUGCAAGACCGAUGAGGUGUCCAGCCACGCUCGUCACAUUCGAGACCACAAUCCUAACCAUGUGGGCUCCAUUUACAUCCUUUGCUCGAGUGCUGAGCACCGUUUCAGCGACACUUAACGAUGCUGCGCACCAAGCGAGGGCACCUCGCCAGGAAUGUUGCACGCGCUUAGUGCCCACCUUGUGCGUGAUAGUGGUAUCCGCAGCAACCUUCUUCUUGCUGCCCUUCUUAGCGGCGUGCACGCCGGUCGCGGCCAGCACCACCAGGCCAAGCAGAGCCAGCGCCAGAGCGCGGCGAGACAGAGUUGGGAGCUUCAUGGUAAAGGCAGUCCAAUACAACAAUGUACAAACUGAGCACAAAAUGGCGCAGUUGUGGUUUUAUGCGGUAGUGCCACGGAUUGCGAUGGUAUGCAGGCACGGCACGCCUCCCCUUUCUCGCAACCCCCAACCCUCUUCGUUGCUGUCGGCGAGAGCCCCUUCCCCGCUCCAUCCCGCUUCCGCCGUAGUGACCGCGCAAAGAAUCCUCCAUGCAUGAAGCAACGGCAACCCUGCCUGACUUGGUUCCCAACCGCUCACCUCGCACUUGCAUGUGCAUCGUGGCAACAUUUUGCGCACGCAAGCUCUGUUGCGAUCCGGCUAGUGGUCCGCGGCAUCCUGCUCCUCUGCCCACAGCAGCAGGCGCUCUAGCAGUUCAGAGAGCUCAAAAUCCUCGGCCUCGUCGAUUUCAAACCUUCGACCAAAGCGCUUGAUUUUUCCAUCCGCGACCUGAACUGUGAAUGCUAGUUCAUUUGGGUUCAUAGGGUCUUUGACUUGAAUAGUCAUGCCCUCUGGUUCGCCGCGCGGCCACAAUAUCCUGUAACUCGGAGUAUAGUCGCUGUCAAUGUCCCAAGGACUCUCAUAAAUAGUUUCAGCAGUGUGAAAGACGUGAACAAGCAGGGUAUUCACAUCGUGGUCAACAUCUGGCGAAGCGACAGCAAGCUGGUUGGCAGAGAAAAUGACUGCGGACAUGGCAACACGUUGGGAGUAAACCUCGAUGUGUAUUGGGAAAGGUGUUGGGGAAGUGGACUUCCAGGGGUUACAUGAGCGCGCUACCCUGCUUGAACACGCUCGCGUCGGCCCGCCUCGCGCCUACACAGGUUCCAGUGUUCCACGGCCUGGUGCAGGUCAGCGGGCUGUUCGACCAGCUCCAACACCUAAAGCCGCGGCACACGACAGAGGAGGAGCUCGCGCGGUGAGCCGCGGCCGGGAGGAGGAAGGGAAGUCCGCUGCACGAAGUGGGCAGUUCCUUUUCAGCCUCGGGCGGCUAGGAGGUUUGUGUCAGUACCCAAAACCUAACCUUCCUGCGGUCUGGACCCUUCAAAAUUGCUGAUGUUGCCCAAGGACAACGAGAUAACUAACUUGAAAGUACCUUCCACUUCACUCACCGCCUCCAACCCUCCGAAGCUGCAAGGCUGAGGAGCAGUACUACAGACCCUCUCACACUCCGCAGUGCCAGCCACGCCCUUGGCAUCAGCCGCCACUGCCGAUCCCGGUGCCGCCACCCGCUGCCUCCUCCUCGUCAUCCGAUCCCGAUGCCGCCAUCACAGCCUGCGCUGCCUACUUCCUGAGCUGCUUCUAUGCUGGCCACUGCCUCCCCGAACACUGCCACCGCAGGCUCAAACCGCAUGCCCAGGUCCAUGGCGCGCUGCGGGGACGACAGCGGAUGCGGGGACGAGAGCGGAUGCGGUGUGAGGACGGAUGCGGACCGGUGUAGACAGCACCCAACCCCCCCCCCCUCGCCGAGUCCCUGGCUGGCUGUUGUUUGCCGAAUCCCUCUCAGGGAAACCAACCCACCCUGAUGCAGCUGGCGUAGCUGCCGACGUUGUUCGCGUACAGGCGCGGGCGGCAGUGCGCGUGCCCGUCACACCCGCUUCCGCGGAUGCACUCGACGUCCAGCUCCUUGCACCGCGCAAAGCGCAGCGCCGCCUCCACCGCCUCCGCCGACAGGCCUAGCGUGCAGACGCCCAGGCCCAGGCCCAGCUCAUCCUCGCGGAGGUGCACGAGGCACUUCCAGGGGUAGACGAGUAAUAACUCGAUGAUCUUGAGCGCCUGGCUGGGGCUGCACGCCGUGGCCAGCCCGAUGUCCAGGAACCCGGAGCUAAGGUCGCCGAGGGCGCACCACUCGCUCUCAAGGCAGAAGCCCACCUUCCUCGCGGUGAGCCUGCGCACCGACUCCAGCGCCUGGCGGCGAGACUCGGCCGCGUCUAUUGGCUGCCCCAACGCCGCCGCCACCUUCUCCACAUUCUCCGCCACCUCCGCCACCUCCACCGCUGACAUCAUGAGCACGUACGCGUACUGGCCGUGCGGCGGCCCCGUCGGCCCCGCCCCCAGCUCCACCGCCAUCACGCCAGACCGCGCGCCAGGCAGGCCGGCAACUGCCCGGUUCAAGGCGGCGGCCGCCGACGGCGUCACAGGCCACAUCCGGCUGAACGGCAUGAUGGUGCCGGAGACCAGCACCACCAGCUCCAGGUCGCCAGGGAAUGGCCCGAGGCCCAGUUUCUCGCCCAGCUGCUCGAGUGUCAGCUCUGGGCCAAGCUCUUGCACGCCUUCCACGCCCACGCAGCCCAGCCCCUGGACCAGGGAGUCGAACCACAUUGUCUCCCUCUGGCCCUGGAGGGUGCCCGCGAGGGCUUCCAUCACCAGGCCAGCCCCGCCUGCGAGGUCAUCGGCCUGCCUCGCCGGCGGCUGUGGCGGCGGCGACGCCCCCUGGAGCUCGGCGGGCCCCACCCGCUGCAUCGCGCUCCAAGUGCGAGCUGCCACCUCCGCCGCCGCUGGCUGCACCUCCUCCUCUUCCGCCGCCGGCGCUGCAGCCGCGGCCACCGGAAUGCUGCUGCACCGGGAUGCUACUGUGAGCUGCGCAACCACCGCACGACCAGUCCUGGCCACCUUGGCGGUGGGGCUGCGCACGUGCGGGCUCCGUGGGGCUGAUGGAGCCGCGCGAGAACCCAGCAAACCCCGCCUGGGGCUUCCGAGAUAUGCUGCUCCUACGUACCCCUGAAACUCGUCCGACAUUUCUGCAUUGCACCAGAGAAAUGUUACGUUAGAAAGGUCGCGUUAGAAUGCGACCUUGGAGCCCGCACACGAGUUAUCGGAGGCGCAGUUUCUGCCUGCCUAAAACCGGUCCCAGUCAGUCCGGAGAGUCGGAGGCGCAGUUUCUGCCUGCCUAAAACCGGUCCCAGUCAAUCCGUCACGCGGCCACCGUCGACCCUGCCCGGUCUCACCUAAUGAACGGCUGCGGGUUGCUAUGUAGGUUGCCAGGUCCACUGUCUCGGCAUUGAUGCCGACCUGCGGGCGCGAGUGGGAGCGAGAGGCGGCACACAAUCAUUCUCUACAAAUUACAGCACCUGGUUCCAUAUCGGCUGCGUGCCGCGCGGCCGAGGCUGAGAACUAGACGGGCCGGGCACCAAUCUAGGCGCGCUAUUUGUGCGAUUCGCGGCCACCGUCGACCCUGCCCGGACUCACCUAUGUCCCCGAGGUAGCCUCGGCGAGGCGAGACUUGGCCGGGUGGCCGAGGCGCGGGCGAGAGAGCGCGAGGGAGGCCAUACAGUUUUGUCGUGUAGACGCAAAAGGUGUUGACUUGCACGGUGUCAAAUUCUACCGUGGAAACAGUAGUUGGAUAUUCGCUCUGCUGCAAAAAAAGGCUAGAACGGCCUUAGCGGAAUCGGGCGGCAAUCGCGGGCUCCAUGGCUAAGCAACCCUGGCUGGAGCUUGAGGGCUUCUCUCGGGCCCAUAUCCUUGUCACGUCAUCCACACUGAAUCUCUUCACGGUACUUAGGGCGCCAUGUCCUGGCCGGGGUGUGCGGCUGGCAGGUCAAACUUCCCCAUCUGCCGUACAGCGGUUGCCGAGGGAAUGCGGAGUCUAGGUGCUGGCCUUCUCAUGAAAUUCACUCCAUGUGGCCGACUGGAUGUGCCGUGUCUCCGGGACCAACCUCUGCAGACCCUUGUGCUGUGGUUGCCACUGAUGGCCACGCCUGAAUGCUUGCCAUGACAAUGCGACUUGGAACACCCGGCCCCAUCAUGGCCCCGUACACAGCCGCCAUAUGCACGGCGCCUUUGCACGGGGUACUGCGGCCGACAUCGGUUAGGCUCGCAAGUCAAGCAAGGUGCCCGCGUUCCCCUCGCCACGGGGGCACGGACAGAGCCUUCACUUGGCUGUUCUGUUUGCGUCAGCAUGCCCAUGGGCCAGGACAGGAAACACUAUGAUCAUGUGCAAGAGUUGCUGUUACGAGGCAUGCAUUGCUGUAGGUACCGCGGGCGUCCGCGCCCAGCGAGGGACGGCGAGGGCAGUGCCGGCACGCGAUACAAGAACCGGGACACUUUAGGUUCCGCCAAUCCGCCAUUGGUAGGCAUCAACUCAACCUUUAAAGUAGCUCAAGGACAUACCGAUGCAUAGUUGAUGUCUAUUAGAGGAUGCGCGAUCGCGAGCCACUGUCAAUUGUAGACGAUGCGACGCCAAAGCCCUUCCCGUGUCGCGCUUUUGCACCGGCUUCUCGGUUUCCUGCUUGCCACAACCCUCGUUAUGCCUGGACAAGGAUGCUUCAAGCGGCUCGUUUACCACGGGUGUGCACGCGCUCGGUGGCACGCGUUUGGUGCCGUCGCGUGCCGUCUCCCAUACGACGUGUUCCCGUGCGUUGACGACCAGCGUGGUUUAUCCCUCCAUGGCUUUGCGCAGGCAAUACCCACUGCUGUACAUAGAUGACUGCUCCAAUCACUUUGACAUGGGUAAGUGCUUGAGCGCUGACUGCCGAGGCUGCACACGCAGCAAAGGAGCCGGUGGCGUUGACCCCUGCAUCCGCGCCAUACAGGCCUGCUGGUGGGCUCCACAUUUGCCAAGGUCAUCAACGAGCGCGUCCGCGCCUCCAUCGCCUUCGCCAAAGUGCAGGUGGGUGCGGUGCUGGCCGCGCGGUCGGCUACCAGGGCCAAGGCGCGCGGGCGGUAUGGUCGUACAGCAGCACGUUCGUCGGGCUUGAUGAUCCGAUGACCUGCUGGGUGCUGCGCUCUCCGGCAACAGUGCAACACCCACGCACACGGCCCCUGGGCCCCGGCCCCUGGCCCCCCUGCCCCCUGCCCCCUGCCCCUGCCUGUCUGCCCCUGCCUGCCGCCCCCUGCUCCCUGCCUGUCUGCCCCUGCAGGCCUACUGCAGCACCAACUGGGGUCGGCAGCUGCUGGCGGCGCUCAAGGACACGCACCGGGCGGCCUUCCCGCUCUACUACGCCGAACUCAUGGGCACGGCGGCCGGCGCGGAGCUGCCCCUCGACACGGUGGGGCGGGGUGUGUGGGUGGGUGGGUGGGUGGGUGGGUGGGUGGGUGGGUGGGUGGGUGGGUGGGUGGGUGGGUGGGUGGGUGGGUGAAGAAUUGAAGGUACCGGCCCAAAGGGGGAAAGGGAGAGGGCGGGAGGAGGCGGUCGGCUGCUUGUUUGGGGGGGGGGGGGGUAGGGGGGAAAGGGGCUGUUCACGCCUGCACGAGAAUGGAACGGGGGUCCUGAGUGAGGAGGCGUGGAGGGUGGCAGCGGACAAGGGUCGGAGAGAGGGCGCGGGAAGAGGGUGACGUGGCCGCCGCCUUGGGCUGUAUGGUGGUGGGCAAGUCAGGAACGGCUGCCCCCUCCAUUUGCUUUGGUUUAGUUUAGGCUGGUACUUGCAACCCCCGCCCGCCGCUCCCUCGUGUCGCCCACCCGCCGCGCCCGCAGAUCUUCAUGCUGAACCUGCGUCAGGAGAUCCUGGCCGCCGGCGACACCCCCAGCGGCCAGGCGGCGGUGCAGGCCUGGCUGGCGGCGCGGCAGCGGCAGCAGCAGGAACCGGCGCAGGAGCAGCAGGAGCAGGAGCAGGAACAGCAGCAGGAGCAGCAGGAGCAGCAGGAGCAGGGCGCAGCGGCGCGGCUGCGAGGGGGGCGCUGGGGCAGCUCGCGGGACCCGCACGACGGCGCGGCCGCGGCGGCAGCAAUGCGCUCGGGUGGUGGCGAGGGGGCGGCCGGCUCGGGUGUGGGCGGCGGUGCUGCACGGGCAGCCGCCACUGCCGCGGCCCUACGGCUCUCGGAGUUGAGCCUGCAGGUCCAGCACGGCAGCGGCGGCACCAGCGGCGGCGGCGGCAGUGGCAGCGGCGGCAGCGACGAAGCAGCCAGUCACAGGGGGAACCAGCAGCAGGAUGGGGAGCGGCCGGAGGGUCUGGAGCCGGCCUGGGGCAGCGCUGAGGCGCAGAUGGAGCGGCGGCGGCUGGUGCGGCGGCUGGCGCAGUCGCUGCGGCGGGGCGGCUGCGCGGCGGACCUGGCGGCGCUGGCGGCGGCACUGGCGGGCGGCGGCGGCGGCGGCGGCGGCGCCGGGCUGCAGCAGGAGCUGGAGCUGGGGGCGGAGCUGGGCUUGGGGGUGGGGGAGGAGGAGACGGAGGGGGUGCCGGCGGAGCAGGAGGAGGAGCAGGAGCUGGUGACACGGCAGGAAGUGGAGGGCGGGGAGGAGAUGGAGCAGGCGGGUGACACGGUGGCAGGGGGCAAGGAUGCAGCGGCAGCGGGGCGCUCCGGUCUGGCCAGCGCAGGGGACCUACCCACCAACGACAAUGACACGCAUGGUGGCAGCAGCGGCGGCGGCGGCGGCGGCAGUGCGGGUCCGUACGUGGACCCUGCCAGUGUGGACGCGUGCAGUGACGUGGCUGUGCGGCUGCUGCCGGAGGGCGACGCGCCGCCGGGGGCGCCGCCGCGGCUGCUACUGCUGGGGCACAACGAGGACAUGACCAGCGACACACAGGUGGUGUGGGGGCUGUUGGGUGAUGGGGUGGGGCUGGGGGGGACUGGGGCUAGGGCUGUACGGGAUGGGGAUCGGGGGGUUGCAAGGACGGGGGAUGCUGCAGGAGCGGUCCAGGCAGUCCAAAGAAGGCGACAUCUGAACCGGGGAAGCGGGGGCGGUGGAGGGGGCUAGGUGGGAACCGGAGGCCGUGGGCUUGCAGUGCUGCAGGAGGAAUGGGAGGGCAACGGCGGCGUGCUCGCGGGGUGCUGCUACGCUGACCCAUCCCGCUGCUCGCCAACCCCACGUGUACCUGCUGCUGCAGGGCCGAGUCUACUUUGUCCGGGCCUCGAUGCCGGUGCGUGUGCUUCGCGAUGCACCUCCGCCUUUAAACAACGCACACAAACAACACACACACACAUACAAACACACACACACACACACACACACACACACACACAGAGACGCACCGCAUCGCGUGUCUUCGCAUCCGCGACUCUUCUUCCCACUUCGCAAUCGUUUCUCUCACGCUCCCCCCUCCCCGCCACCCACACCCCCACCACCUAACGCCUCAGGGCCGUGCCGCCUGGUUCGCGCUGACGUACGCGGGCGAGCUGGCCUCCACGGCCUUUGGCGCCAACACCGCCGGAGUGGCCUUCACACUCAACGCACUGUACCCCACAGGUAGGUGUGGGCCGCAAGCUGCCAGCAUGGGGGACAACAGCCCGGCAGCCACCCCACACACGCACGCACAUGCACACACACGCACACAAUCACCCACCGCCGAGCAAACCUACCACCUGUGCAAGAGUUGGUCUUUUGCCGUUCUUGGUCAGCUCGGCACGUGGCACCCAGCCGGCCGGCCGUGUGCCUCCGGGACACGUGGGCCUUCCUAACCCGCCCGACCCGCCCUCCCUAGCUGACACGCGGCACCCAAGACACGCCUCACCUGUGGCGUUAUAUCUCUAGCCCGCCGAUCCGUUGUCAAGGCAAUCGCGUGUCGCGUGCCACUCCAUUGUCAAGCAUCGGCCACGCUCUCCUCCACGCUCUAUUGCAUUGGGUUUGGUUUAGUUUGGCUGGUAUCUACAACCCUCCUCCCCUCCCCCCGCCCCCACCUCCAGAGGCGCUGCUGCCCGGCCUGGGCCGUAACUUCCUGUCGCGGCGGCUGCUGGACGCGGCCUCGGAGCCGGAGGCGCUGGCGGUGCUGGGCGUGGAUGGGCAGGUGAGGUAGGCGCGUACCGUAAGCAGGGGGCGGCGUGGGAUGAUGAGACGGUGGGCAGUGGGGCGGUGGGGCGGUGGAGGGCUGCUGGCUGUAGCGUGGGAGUGGGGGCUGCAGCCCGGCGCGUCGCGGCGCAGCGCCUGGCACUUGCCUGGCAGCCCCUUACACUUGAAGCGAACGCCGCCGGGGAGCUGCUGCUGCGGCCGCCAGCCCCGCAAUGCGGUGUCCGGCCCCUUCAUGAACCCGGCCUCGCGUCGCUCGCGUCUCACCCACGCAGUCUGCACGCGUCUCACCCACGCAGUCUGCACGCCUGUGGCACCGCAGCCUCCUCUCCUGUCCUGUCCCUUCCUUUCUUCACCUGCCGCCCAGCUCCCGGCCCCCUCCUACCCCCGACCCCGACCCUGGCGCACACAUAUACACAUUCACACAGCUUUGCUUGCGCAUUCGCAUGCACCAUGUUGACACAUUCCCCUUUUGCUGUCCUGACACACACACACACACACACACACACACACAUCGCAUACACUGUCUUUGCGCUAUGUUUUCCUUGUGCUCUUUAACACAUGCACACACACACACACACACACACACACACACACACACACACGGGUGGGAAUGUUGGGAAUGCAGGGCUAGGACACAGACGGUUUUGGUUAUUGAUCCUCUCUCUCACUUUGUGGCUGCCCUUAGGCAUAUCCUGCCCUGUGGGGAAGGGAAGGUAGCUAGUGCCGGCGGGGUGCUUGUUUUGCGGUUGCUGCGGCCACGUGCCGGACUUGGACGGUACAUGACUUUUUGCUAGGCGAACAAACAAUGCAUAGUGGCCAGCUGCCGGCUCGCAGCAGUGUUGAUAUAGACGGAGGUGCGGCUUCUAGGGCCAAACCGACGUCUCACAAUAUAGACAGAGGUGCGGCUCUUAGGGCCAAAUCAGUGUCUAACCACAAUAGAUGGAGGUGCGGCUCCUGUGGCCAAACUGACGUCUAACGCCACGCGUAGGCUUGGGAGACAUGUACUGCCAGACCCAUGCGCGACAAACAAGGUGCUAAUGCGCCCCUGGCACUAGCAACUACGGGUUGUCCGGAUACACGAUCACGUGAUCUGAUAAACAACUGUAAACCGUUGUCACACACACACACACACACAUGUGCGCGCACACACACACACACACACACACACACACGGCGGGAAUCUGGGAAUUAGGCGUGCUGGGUAAACGUUGUUUAGCGCGCCCAGGGUGCGGAGCAUGGACGCAUACAGGUGCAACGCAGGGUCAGGCCGAAUGGUCGCCCGUGGGGUUCCAGGCUUAUCGCGGGUAAGUAUGCCUACCUGGGUCACGACAGUCACGCGACGCUCGGUAAAAAUGGUGGGUAUUGGUAAGUAACUCCGUCGCGUCAUUGGGCGGGCUUUCGUUUCGUUUUUUAACACACACACACACGCGCGCGCACACACACACACACACACACACACGCACACGCACACAUACACUGUAAUGUUUUCUACGCGUAAUGUUUUCCUUGUGCUCUUUAACACACACACACACACACACACACAUACACACACACACACACGCACACACGCACGCACCUCCCACACACACACACACACACACACACAUACACACACACACGCACACACACACACACACACACACACAACACACACACACACACAACACACACACACACACGCACACACACACACACACACACGCACACACGCACACACACACACACACACGCACACACGCACACGCACACACACAGGCCACGGGUCGGUCUGUGAACCUGAUGUGCACCCAGCCGGGCCGCGCGGGCGUGGUGAACGUGGAGGUGGGUCCGGGCGGCAGCUACGACGUGCUGCAGCUGCGGCCGGGCGCCGACGACUGGUACUUCCACGCCAACGCCUACGACCGACUGCCGCAGCCGCAGAAGACAGACAACAGCAGCGUGCACCGCAAGGUGGGGAUGUUUGGGAUAUGGGGAGGGCUGGGGCGGGGCGGGGAGUUGUUGUAAGUUUGUGUCAAACCAGAACCAGAACCAGCAGAGCGCGGGGGGCAGGCCGGCAGGAGACGGGAGGGAGGGAGGGAGGGAGGCAGUGGGGUGGGAAAGGUAGGGCAGGCGGGGGCAGGGGUAGAGGGUGGGCAGCAGGCGGGGGCACGGGUAUCUGCAUGCGCUUCAAGUACGAGGGGCGGUGCGUGGUGGAGGACGAAGGCAGGUUGUCGUACGCGGCACCGUGUCCCCCGACGCAACCGCACCUCGCCCAUGUCAUCCUCCUCGCGCUAUCGAGUAUCGGCAUGUUGCCCACCGCCAACUCCGACCGCGCAGCUGCACCUCACCCUGACCCCCAUCGCUUGCAACUAACACCUCUGCCUGUGCUCCGCUCGUUUUCUUUGGUUUUGGUUUACUUUGAGCUGGUUUUAUAACCCCCCACACCCAAACCCCCGCGCCCAUCCGGCCAGGCGCGUGCCGCCCAGUUCCCCCUGCCCACCUCCGCCCGCGACGUGCUGGCAAUCCUGGGAGACACGGCAGACCCCGACUUCCCCAUCUACCGCACGGUACGGCGCCACCGGAGCCUUUUGAGCUGGAGAGCGCACACACUAGGAGGGAAGGACCCGCCACCAUCCCUAAUCACACCCACCUGCCACCCGCAGCCCCGCCCCCGCCCCCACCGCCCAGCCCCACCCUCCACCCCCAACCCCGUGUACCUACCUACACCGCCCCCUUUGCCUGACUACAAUUUCGCGUCUUCUCAUCAAAAUACCGCUAUUCCAAACCUCCUUGCAACUCUCAGGGCGACUACGGCGGUCUGGUGUACACGCUGUGCUCUGUGCUGUUCGACCUGGUGGCGGGCACCAUGACGGUAUUCCACGGCAACCCCAAGACAGGUGGGGCGGGGCGGGGCGGGGCGGGGCGGGCAGGGGAAAUCGGGCGGGGUGCAGCGGGACCGGUGGGAGUGCAAGGCGGGUGGCGGAUGAAACUGGUGGCUUGCUGGUUAGCUGGUGCACACAUGUCGCACGGCAUCGCAUAGAGGUUCUGCGUGUAUCCUUCCUCGUGCUCUCUGAACGCACAUGUGUGAGGAGGAUGCCGAGCUAGUCGGGUGUCGCUGACACGCACACCUGCGAACUCCGUGCCUGCCACUUGCUGCAGCUGCGGCGGGGUCGGUGCUCAGCCUGGCCACGCUGCUUCCACGAGGGGCGUGGGCGGCGGCGGAGCGGCAGUGAGCGCCAGAUCACCGGGCCGCGGUCAGGGGCCACAGGGCUGUGAGCCGGAAUCCUCGGGAUCCUUUGUCGAGGAUGCGUUUUAAAGUCACAGGUCAAACAGCAGCACUGCACUGUGGGUGCUCCGAGCGCGACACGAACGUACACGUGUCCAUGCCGUGGCGAUUUGCAUCCAUCCAUCCAUGGGCGGGAGCUGCUCGGGGGGCACGCCAUGAUGACUGCUGGUUGACUGGUCGCGAUGACGUGCACUCCACCGAGCCCCUGUCACUAUCAGUGGCACUGUCGGGUGAUCCGUUGCAAUGGGCGAGUAGUCGGGGAGAGCGGGCGUGCAGUGUCGCGUGCGGUGUCGAUAGGGCUGCGCAAGCGUGCACUCGGGCACGUGUGUUUGUGGCGUGUGUGGGCUUGUGGCUGGCCAGCGCCGUGCGCGUGACCUUCUCGUUAGGGUUGAUGAGGUGCCGUACAUGGUGGGGGGUGCCAUGGUAUGAGGUCGGGGGUGCACACGGGCGGCAAGCAAUGUACCGCAUGUCUCGUACAGUGGUGGGCGGCUGGCGUGCGCGUUCGAAUGUGACACUUUGAUCGACUUGGAAGACGGAGGUGUGGGGUGAGGCCGAAGUCUGUGCAGGGACACAGUGCUGGAGGAGGUCGGAUGAGGAGACUGAAGAUUGCAAAUAGUCUACAAGGGGUAUGGCUGGUGAGGGUGGCGCCUAGUGGUGUCAGGUAGGCUGCAGCGUUGUUGGCUGUUAAAGGCGAGGGACGAGCGGUGGAGGUGCGAAUUGUGUGGGGCAUCAUCGGCAGUAGCGGGUCAUGUCGACGCAUCACUUAUAUUGGUCUGAACACUUAGCAGCGGCGGAUACUACUUUCCAACUUUCCACGACCAGAAAGUCUCUCAAGGACCAACAAACGAUCCUUCGCUUGUUCGGUUAGCGAGCUAGGGUUCCUUCCUUCGUGCUCAUCGCCCCCGGCCUAUGAAACGCUGUGCGGAGCUUGAUCUUGCGGGUGAUGACCAGGCGCUGGCGACGAAGCGUUCGCGUGCGCUUGCACCUCAAGUGCCUGGUCGACUCGCCGGGCUCAAAGGAGGGCCGCUCCCGUUCGCAAGGGCGCCAAAGCUAGCCACACAGCAAAAUUUGCACCUCGGCAGGAAUCCGUUCCUCGACUUGAUCUCGCACGGGCCUGCGACUGUCCAAGUCCCACAUGCAACAGCCGCGGCAUGUCGCAGUCGGAAAGCACCUUUAGGCUCCCCACCAGACCACCAAACGCUGAGCAGCAAUCAGCCUAUAUGCUCGGAACAUGUAAAACGGGCGCCGGGGACCUGUCAUGGUUCGGGUUGCCUCGACGCGGGCGUUAUGGAGCGGACGAAGCCGGACGUCCCGGCCACGGCGCAGCGGGCUUCCUGCGCUAGCUCGGGCGAUGAAGCCGACGCCAGUAACAGCAUUUUCGGAGACGCCGACGCCGCACCAGCAGCACCGACAGCAGCGCCGGCGGCAGACGCGGGGGACUCGGACGCUGAGAGCUGCGCCAGCUACAGCACGGUGGGGAGCGCCAUUGACUCCGACGCGGCGCCUGAUCCGGCCGCGGGCGGCGGUGCGGACGACGAGGGUGAGGACUCCGCCACCAGUGCGCUGUUGCCUGGCUCAACCGCUCACGCAGCACCAGCAGCAGCACCAGCAGCAGCACCAGCAGCAGCUCCAGCAGCAGCUCCAGCAGCAGCACCAGCAGCAGAAGCAGCAGGUGCCGAUGCGCAGGGCCGGCCGCAAGACAGCUCGGCGACGCAGGGUCAGGGUCAGGGGCAGGGGCGGUCAGCCCGUCAGGCUGAGGCGCAGGCGCAGGCCCAGGUCGGCUGUGGCUGUGGCUGGCAGCCGCCGCGCCCGGGCUCCGUCCCGCCCUUCCAGCUGUACGCCAGCUGCGCCACCAGCCGCAGUGUGCUACGCUGCUGCAAGACGGCGGCGCGGGCGCUGUGGCCGCCGGGGGUGGCAGCCGCGGUGGCGCAGGGACAGCAGGUGCAGGUGAGGCGGGCGUGUAUGUGGGGGGGGGCGGUGGGGUUGGGGGAGGGCGUCUGGGGCCUCCGCGUGCUUUGCCGCGGCGUUCAACACCCAGAGGGCAUCUUGAUUGGUCCCGGGCCCACCUUGACCUGGCUUGCCUUGUCCAGACGCGGUGCCGUCCGAGCCGCUCGAUGAGACGCCGUGCCUGCCUAGCUACCUACACUGACUGCUUGCCUGCCUACCAACAUCACUUAUCUGCCGUGCCGUGCCGUGCCGCAGUGUGUGGUCCGGGUGGACCUGCCGUGGAACCCCGCUGGCGUGGAGCUGCGCCCGGUGGUGCUGCGCGGGCGUCAGAUGCGGCAGGGCGGGGGCAAGGCAGCCGCCGCCGGUGCGGCCGCAGGCUCAGGUGCAGCCGCCCCCCUGCGCUGUGUGGCGGUGGACGUGGCCUUUCCCGCGGGGCCGCCCGCUCCUGCCCCCGUGCCGAACGGGGCGGCGGCGGGGGCGGGGCCGGGGGCGGGGCCGACUGCGGCACCUGCAACAGAGGGAGCAGGUGCAGCCGGGGGCGCCGCAGCGGCGCCGGCGCCGGCGGUUGCUGGUGUUGCGCGCGGCGUACGUGGCUGGCGGCUGCUGGACUGCGCGCCGCCCGGCACUCGCUUCACGCUCACCGCCUCGGCGGACGGCGUGCCGCUGGUGCGGGUGAGUGCGGCGGGGUGUGUGGCAGGCACCCUGCAGUCCUGGGCCUGAGCACGCGCGUGUGUUAAGGGUUUCAUGGUGUGUGUGUGUGUGUGUGUGUGUGUGUGUGUGUGUGUGUGUGUGUGUGUGUGUUUGUAGUGUUGUAAGGCAGUGCGGUCAUGCGGUGGCGGAGCUCAGGCUGCUUGUGUGCAGGGCCCAACGUCGCCUUCCCCUCCUCGCCUUCAGGUGGCCACGCCGGAGGACGAAUUGGCUCGGGCAGCGGACCUGCGGGCGCGCGCCGAGCGGCGGCAGCGCCUGCGGGCCCCCCGGCGCGAGGAGCGACAGCGCCACCAGCGCGCCGCCCUGGAGGUGCUGGCGGGGGCGGCAGGCAGUGGCCUGACGGCUGCCAGCGGCAGUGGCAGUGGCGGCGACAGUGGCGGCGACAGUGGCGGCGGCACGGCUGCCGCUGGCGAUGCCACGGAUGUUGCCGGGGCCGCCGGGAGUGAGGACAGCGGGGCCUCUGCCUCUGCGACCAUCCACUUGCCCAGCCGCCGCCCUGCUCCUGCUGCCACGGCGGCCGCCGCAAAGACGCAGCAGCAGCAGCCCCCAGCCGCGGCCCCUGACCUGGUGCAAGCAGGCUCCGCCGCCACUGCGCAAGCCGCCCAGGCUGCGGCGGCGGCCGGGCCGAGCGAUGCCGCCGCGAAGCUGGCGCCCAGCAUUGCGCCUUGCGCAGCUGCGGGGCAAGCCUCACCGGCGCCCGCAUCCCCACCAGCCGCGGCCCAGGGCACCGCACCCGCCGCGGCCACGACCCCGGCCCCAGCCGGCGGGCCGGGCGUGUGGAUGGUUGUGAAGCAGCUGACUCAGUCCGAGGUGAUGCGCACCAGCUGCCGCAUCCACCUGCCCGCCACCAGCAGCAGCCUAGUGGACGGCCUGUGGCGCAACCCACGGGUGGUGGCGACUUGGGCAGCGGCGUCCGGCGGCGCGCCGCCGCCACCGCCCCGCACGGCGGCGGCGGUCCGUACGCAGCAGCAGCAGCAGCAGCAGCAGGCGCCGCCGCUGACGCGGGAGGAGGUGGCUGCGGGGCUGGAGGUCGUGCCUUUCCGGCGCGUGGGGCGCGUGGUGCUGGUGUCGGCGGACUGGCAGCAGGCCCGUUUCGAGGUGAGCGCUGCAGGCGGCUAGCUGUGUGUCGGCCACACGCUGCGGGCGCCCCACGUGCUGCAUGCCCCGCCCCCGCCCAGCCCUGUCGCCUCGCCGUGCCUUUGGUGUCCCAAUGCCCCGAACCCGGCCCCCUGGACGGUAACGAUUAAUGUUCCCCACGAUUGCCCACCGUCUGCCGCUUGCUUAACUAUUCAAGAAUUUAAAGCCCCUUUCCCCGCACCCCGCGCCCCCGGGGCCUGCCGCCCGCCGCCGCCAGGUCGACCUGCUGGUGGGUCGGCGCACGUGCGGCAAGCGGCCGCAGCUGGCCCUGGACGGCGCGGGCGGCCCCAUCGCGCUCUACUGCGCCCGCGUGGGCGACACGCUGUGCCUGCAGGAGCUGCAGGAGGGGCAGGAGCUGCAGACACAGCAGGAGCCGCAGCCGCAGCAGGCGAACAGUGGCUGCCUGGCUGCUGCUGCUGCUACUGCUGCUACUGCCACUGCUGCUGCUACUGCUGCUGCUGCUGCUGCUGCUACUGCUGCUGGGCAGCCAGCCGCGGGGGCUGGCACUGGCGGCGCUGGUGCGGGUGCUGCUGGAGCUGGGGCUGGGGCCGGCGGUGGCCGUGGGGCUCCGGCGCAGGGCCCAGUGGCGGUGUUCCGGUUCCGCAUCCUCAGCCGGGACCAAGUGCGGAUGCAGCGGGCGCGUCUGGAGGAGGGGCAGUAGCAGGGCGGGACAGGACGAGUCUGGGGUUGAGUUGGGGUUUGUACAUGCUGUGAAGAUUGUGUGGUGAUCGGGAGUCAGGACACGGGGUGUGGACAUGCAUGUGCAGCGGUGCCGUGUACCUGCCUGGCAUGAUGAGGUCAUGGCAAGUACUUCGCACCCUGCGCUGGCUGCGAGCUGGGUCUGAUGCGUCGUAUGUUCCAUUGGCACAGCUGCCAGGCUGAAUCGCAACUCUCGGAUUCCGUCAGCGUGUGUCGGGCGUGCUGACGUCUGUAUUCCUCAAACAGGAAGAAUCGAAAGUGCAUUUGCCGAACAGAUUGUUGCCGCAUUUAUCUUGUUAUGGGUGAAGCGCUUUUUAUGGUGCGCUAGGUGUUCGUGGGCGCUAAGCAAGCUGUACAAUUUUGGCCGUACCAUACAUUAUGUGAACACAUUUCCACGGGACCUGGCCUCCGUACCGGAAUAGUGUUGUUGUACGCUUGUGCGCUUUUGCAGUGAUAGUGAUGCCGUAAUGGUAAUCUGGUAAACAUUUUUAUGAUGGUGAUCAUGAGUAUUGUGAGUGGCUAGGUAGGUAGGAAGGCUUGGAACUUGUGUGCUACAGUGGGUGGUAUCAGUGCCGGAGCCUUGGGGUGAGGUAUGUGGGAGGAGUGUGCCCGUACCGUGCAAGCAGGACCAUGGGCAGUAUUUCUUGCGACGAGAGGUGUGCCGGCCGUGUAGAGCCGGACGAGAGGUGUGCCGGCCGUGAGGUUAGUCUGAUGUGCGGCCUGGCAUGUUGCACACUUGUACUCAUCGCAUCCGAAGGCCCUCCCUUUGCUGUUGGGGAGCCUGCCCCCAUGUGCAUCGCUACGGUACCUGUAUGCAUCUUGAUGACAUGACGCGCUGCUGGAAGUCAAGACGUUAAGUGCAAAGUCGAGUGUUUGGAGAGGUCGCGUUGGGAUGCCAACCGUCGGGCAAUGGCAAGGCUUGGGCUCCCUGCGGAGCCGUAAGCUGGGCCGGGCCCUGUAAGACAACAUCGCCGACGACACUGCCUCGCUGCUGAUGCCCCAAAUCGUGCGCCACCACCCCGGACGGGCGGGGGACGGCGUGGGACGGCAGGGCAGGCCUCGCCCCGUGUCAGGCAUCAUAGGGUUUGGCGAUGCGAAGCUUCUGCCGCUUCACCACUGCGGCAGGAGAUGCGUGCCACUAAACAUUCUUCGCGACUGCACUUGGAUAAAUAGUUAACUCACUGACCCAGUCCAUCGGCGUUUGACGACUGAACGGCGUCGCAGCCAAAACGCUAGCGUUCGAUUCUGUUACUAGUUUACCAUGGUUCUCUUAUCAUAAUCCAUCAUCAUAGUGCUGCGCGCCGGCGCAGUGCCGGCUGGUCCUGAAAUUCCUUUUGGGGGCGGGGCCCCUCGCCGCGCUGAAGCUCGCAGGCUUCGCUUAAUGAAGUAAGCGCACGAACAGCUUGCUCUGCAAUGCAAAUGGACGCCGCCGAGCGGUCGCCAAAGCGCGCUAAGCCCUCGGACCCUGAGGGCCCUUGCGACAGCGCCCGAGUGCCUGCGCCGUCUCACGGACCAACACCGGGCGCGUUGUGCCGACUAGGGGGCUUGGGGUCAGGGCCCGCCUCCUUGUCAAGAAGCUGCAAGCUAACGGCGGCAGCUUCGCCCGGGCGGCAGCCGCACACGGCCGACGAACAGCCCACCGCAGCUGCCGCCCAGCCGGCUGACCCGCCCACCGCGCAUGAUGCCGGCAGCGGCCGCCUCGCGGCACACCCGCACCCCGGCGGCGCAUCUGCAACACCCGGGGAUCCGGCCGCCCAUUCCGCAGCUGGCGAGGAUCAGGCGGAGCAGCCGGGCGCUGACACCUGGGGUGAAGGGGGCUCGGGGCGGACAUCCAGCAUUGACACGGUGGGCUCAAGCGCUGAUGAUGCCGAUGAUGAUGACGAUGACGACAGCAUCAGCGGCAGCCGCGGCGGGCCCGGGGCCGGAGCCGCCAGCAAUUUGGGCGAUGCCCUCGAUGCCACCCGCGGCAUCCCGGCCCGCUCAGGCCACGAGCCUGGCAACGAUGGCGCUGCCGGCGGUGCCGGCGCCAACAGUGGGGCUGGCGGCGGCGGCGCUGGCGCCAGCGCCGGGGCAGCAGGCGCAACUGGUGCUAAUACAGUUGCAGUGCAGCACCCCGGGCCGCUGGCGGCCUGCGCCCGGCUGCGUGUGAUGCUGAUGAACGCGACGGCUGCGGCCGCCAUCGCGACCGGCGCCCGCCAGCUCGCAAAGAGCGCCAAGGCCGGCAAGACCGGCAAGGCCGGCGUCACGCCGACGCCGGAGCUGGCGGCGGCGCUGGCCGCCUGCUACCUGCCCGAGCUGGACUGGGAGGCCAGCCCGGACUCGGGUGUUUACACGGUGUUCCGGCACAGCCACACACACCGCAACUCGCUACGGAUGGGCGUGGCGGCGGCGCACGUGCUGUUUCCAGACACGCUGCUGGAGGCGGCGUGUCGGCCGGCGGGCGUCACGGUGAGGGCGGGGUGACGCGACGCGUGUGCUGGAGGAGGCGGCUAGGGAGCCGGAAGAGAUGUUGUGUGAGGUUAGGGGGCGGCGAUGGAGGGGGCGUUGUUGGGGCAGGGCGGGGGGCCGGGGGGGGGGCAUUGGGGGUGGGGCGGGACUGUGCGCUGGCAGGGGCGGGGCGGGGCGCGGGAUGGCUCGGGGUUAGGCGCGCCUGCGGCUCCUGUGUGUCAGGGCGGGGUGACAGGCCGUCGGCUGGUGGUGCUGCUUGUCCGUGGCGGCCGCCGUCGCGCGACCGUGGGACGAAACGCAGCAAAUCAUUCGCCUCCCUCAACACAGGUGUACUUUUACUACCAGCGACCUCCGACCGCCUCGAAAGAAACCAAGGACGCCCAGCGACCGCAGCAGCCCAGUUCCGAACACACGGCGGACCAGCCCCAGACGGCUUCCUGCCCGGACCAGGAGCCAGAUCCGGAGGCCGAGCCGACAUUGGUCAUUCGCGACGGACUGCUUCGUCUUACCACCCGCAGCGACUAUACGCCUAAAUACGGCACUCCUCCCGCCGCCGACGCCGAUCCUUCCGCCGCUGCCACCAGCGACGCCACCCGCUUGCUCGCCGACCUAAAGGCCCAGCCCAGGGCGCGCGCCUGGCUGCGACUGCCCCGCGACAGCGAGUCGCCGUGCAUGGACCGGCCCAUCGUGUUCGUGGUGCGGCCCGACGGCGUGCCGGUCAUGCGCGCCGCCACCUACCGAGAGGCCGCCGCCGCCAAGUUGCCGCCGCCGCCGCUGGCGCCCAUGGCGCCGCCGGUGCAGGACGCGGCGCGCACCCUGGCGGCGGAGAAGUGGCGGGAGCGGCUGGACCGGCUGGCCGCUUACAACAAGCUGCUGCAGAUGCCGACGUGGCAGGCCGGCGCCGGCGCCGGCGCCGGCGCAAGCGCCGCAGGCACGGCGGCGGUUGCGUCGACAGUGAUCAAAGGAGCGGAGGGAGCGGAGGGACCGGAGGAGGUGGUGGCGGAGCUGGGGCCAGAGCCGGGGUUCGGACCGGCGCAUGGGUCGAGCCAGGGUGCAGGCAAGAGUCUGUCGCGGCAGUUGAUGAGGUCGGUGCACGACACGGCCCGGCGCAAGGGGCUGGUGUUUCGGAAGCUGUCGUGGAGCGACAUCCGCAGCCCCACCCGCUUGGCGCUGGGCGUGAGGUUGAGCCCCGUGCUGCUGGACCUGCCGCGGGUGGCGGCGCGGUGGCGGCACCACAUGGAGGAGCACGCGCGCCGGUGGCCGCACGCGCGGGUGGGUGCGUGGGGCGUGCGGGGCGUGCAGGGCGGGUGGGCUGGGGCAGAUGCGGGGCAGAUGCGGGGCAGAUGCGGGGCGUGCUGGGCAUACUGGGUUGGGCUGAUUGACGGCGUAGCGCGUGGUAAGGGGAGGCCCGUGUUGGGCAGGGUGCCGGCGGGGUUUGCCCUGUGACCCAACGUGCUGUGCUGCGCAAGGGGUUGCAUGUUAGGCUUCACACCCCCUCGCCCGCUCGGACCCUUCGCACUCUUGCACCCUGGCAGUGUUGGAUGGGGGGGCACGCGCUCUGCGCCGUGCAGGAGGUGGUGGCGCGGGUGCGGGGCGGCGCCGCCGGCCCGGGCACCGGGGCAAGCGCGGUUGGCGCGGGCGCGGCAGACGGACUGCUGCCGUCAGCGCUCCACACGGCAGCCGCAUCAGGCGGCGGGCUAGGGGGCGGCAGUGGUGGCGAUGGAGGCGGCGAUGGGGGCGGCGCCGGCGGGAGCAGCAGCAGCACGGGCGGCAGCUCCACGAACCACAUGCACCUCCGGCCCCUGGGGCGGCUGGUGCUGCACACUGAGGACGGAGGCCAGUUCCAGGUGCGGCCUGGGGGGUGGACUGGGUGCGGCCUGCGGUGCGGCCUGGGGUGCGGACUGGGGUGCGGACUGGGGUGCGGACUGGGGUGCGGCCUGGGGUGCGGCCUGGGGUGCGGCCUGGGGUGCGGCCUGGGGAGGGCUGGGGUGCGGACUGGGGUGCGGGCCGGGGUGCGGACUGGGGUGCGGGCCGGGGUGCGGGCCGGGGUCGGGCCGGGCGGAUGGCGGGCAGCACGGCAGGGCGAGAGGCGGGCGGCAGGGCGAGGGGGGGAAGAGGGGCGGGGAGCAACAGAGGGCGUUUGGAGCAUUUGGGCUUGUGGGGCGCAGGUGCGCAUGUGAGGUGGGAGCGCAGCAGCGGGAAGCGUGCCAGGACCACCGUACGGUAUCGAAGUUUGGAUCCUCACGUGUCAGCGCACACACGCACGCGCCUGCACACACCCGCACCUGCAGGUGUCUCUGGAGGUGGGGUGGCGCGCGGGCGUGUCCGGUCCCACCACAGUGCUGGCCGGCCCCAGCCUGCGCGACCUGCAGCUGCGUCUGCGCGCCUUCAGCGGCGACACACUCGUGUUCAGGCGCCUCUUCACACUGCCGACUGGUGCUGCGGGCGCCGCAGGCGUUGCGGGCUCCGCGAAUGCGGGCGCGGGCGCGGGCGUGGCUGCGGCUGUGGGCGUGGGUGCGGGGGGCUCGGUGGCGGAGACGAGCCAGCCGCAGCAGCAGCAGCUAGAGGCGCCGGGGCCGGGCGCGAUGGUGCUGUAUACGGAGCCAGGCUCGGCCGAUGCCCUCGGGAUGGCAAGAGCCAACGUCGGCGGCGUUGGCGGCGGCGGUGCUGACGAGCUUAGCUACGUGGAUGAGGUGGUGGGCGAGUUCAUGGUCACCAUAGACCGGGCGGAGUCUGCGGCCGGGGCUGCGGCCGGGGCUGCGGACAAAGGAAAAGGCAAAGCGGAGGGCGCGGCGGCCUGCGCAGCAGCGACGGACGGGGGUGGGCAGGGCGCGGUGGCAAGGGCGGCGACGGCGGCGGCGGCGGCGACCGAGGCGGCGCAUGCCGGGGAGCAGCCAGGCCCGGCCGGCGCGGCGCUGGGUGCAGAUGCGGCGGGCGCAGCAGGCACGCCGGGCGGCGCGGCAGCGGUGGCGGCGGGUGGCGUGGGAGGUGGUGGGAGCGCGGCCGCUGGCGCCUCAAGGGCCGGUCCGUCCAUGUCCAAGGCGAGUCUGGCGCGUAAGCGGUUGGCGUUAGUGAUGGUCGAGGGCGCGGGCGGGGGCGCCGCUGCCCCGCCAGUGCGCAAGACGAAGCAGCAGGUGGCGAAGGGGAAAGCGGCGGCGGGAGCACGCGGCGGCCCCGCGCCGCCGCCGCUGCCUUCCGCUGCCGCGGGCCGGGACGCGGAGGCUGAGGCGAAGCGGAAACGGGAGCAGAUGGCAUUGCUGCUGCGGCAGGUGCUGGGGUGAGGGCGUGGGUUGCAGGUGCUGGUGUGAGGAGGUCUGCAAAUUCUUGGCCUGUGUAAGUUUUGAUGGGGCAUCCGAGCUGGGCGGCUGCGAAGCCAGUGACUGGCACGUUGCAGUGCUGCCGUGUUGCAGUGCUGCUGGUCCCUCCCGGGUGACGGCGCCGCUAUGCCCAUGUCCGCUGUAGUGCACCAGGGUAGAUAUGUGGAUCAGACAGGGAGCGUUUGCAGAGUGGUAGGACUAGCCGAUUAGGAGUGCUGGACUGAACUGGCUUGGGCAGCUAUGCGGUAGUACAGUAUAUCGGGCCUGGUAUGAAUGCCGCAAACUGCUACCUAGUAUAAUAACAUCAACAAACUCCUCGCAGGGGUUGCGUGAGGACGGCCGACGGCGUUCUAUUAUAGCAUGGCGUGUUGUGCUGACUGCUGCAGUGGUGCGGGUCUCACAUGAGUCCCGCAGUGUCGACGUGCUGCGCGGUGUGCUGCGGGGUACGUGUGUAUCACGGUAGACUGGCGGGCAGCUGAUAAGCCAUGGGUCCACAUCUCCCGGCAUAUUGCAGAAUUCGGCCACAGUAAGUGGAAUGCAAAUGAAUUGCGGGGCGCACGCUUUUCGACCCCCUCGGGCAUUUGGACAAUUGACUGGCGACUGUGGCGACUCGUUGCGAGGUAAAGAGCCCGAGGCGCAGAAUUAAGAGGAAAGUCAUACUGGACUACACCUGGUUUGGCUAUGUGCCUGAAACCGACCCCGGCUAUGUCCGGGCGAUGAGGUUGUUCGGCCUCAGACUGUGGAGGGGCUCAGCCCCUUUUCCCGUGACCGGGGAACACUUGUCGACCCCCUGCAUCCUCUGAUGCAUCCUCUGAACAGCGGGCAGCCCUGACGACUGCUGCCCGCCACUGGCUUGCUCAGGCUCACAGUGGCGCUUUGUCCCAUGCCAGCUACGUCUGGUGCUGAGCACCAGUGUCCGUCUUUCGAAGAUUCCAUUUCACAUGUCAACCCUACCUUCACAAGCCGCCACACGCCACAGCCAGUCACUCUCUCUACCGUGUUCACCUCUUGCGUGCCUGCAUGCACUGCCCAUACCCGACCCCGACCCCGCGCUCCUCCCCCUCCACCACACGCCCAGUCGCCCACACGCUCGCAAUCACGCUCACGCCCAGCCCGCCACGCCCAGCCCGCACAUCUUGAUGUAGGCGGCGGAGAAGUCGCGGAAGAACAGAUCCUGGUCCGCCGCGUAACGCUGCGCAGUGUGUGUAUGGGGGGGGGUACAUUCAAUGAUGAUUUAAGAAGUGAAGGCAUAGCCACGAACAGUUAGUAUAGCGCGCGUGGGGGGUGGGGGCAGGAGGAGCAGCGGAGGGCGCAUUGCGGAGGCGGGGCCUGGGGGAAGGCACCUGCCAGGCGUGAGCGGCUGGGCAUGCACCCAACCUCAAGCCUUGCUGCAGCUCCUCUCUGGCCAGCGGCCAACACACCCACAGGCCCGUGCGGCCCCUGCGGCCGCUGCGGCCCCUGCGGCCCCUGAGGGCCCCUGCGGCCCCUGAGGGCCCCACCCACCUGGAUGACGGGCAGGCAGUCCGGGUCGUCAGGGAGCACGUGGUCGGAGGGCAGCCCGAUCAUGGAGGCCAUGGCGUCCUGAGGGGGUGGGGUGGGCGUGGCGUGUGGGGGUUGCAAGAUGUUACAGGGAAGCGUAGCGAGGUAGUCGUUCAAGUGAAGAAUCGCAAGGGGGGAGGUGGCAUACACAACAGGCGGGCGGGAGGGCGUGCGGAUUGGCGGGCGGACAGGGAAAAGGUGGGAUGUUGCAACACGGUAGGCGACAAAGGCGGAGGGGAGCAGUGGGAGGCGCCCAGGCCCGGGUGCUGCCUGGCGUGGCGGAUGAAGACACCCACCGGCGGCGGCUGGAGGCAUCAGGCGCGGAAGGUGCCACACAAGACGUGAUGCAACCACACGCCCGUGUGUGCAACCCCCGCAACCCCGCCCGCCCCAGCCGCCAUUUCCGCCCCCGCCCCCGCCCGCCCCGCAGCCGCCCCCGCCCUCCCCGCAGCCGCCCCCGCCCUCCCCGCAGCCGCCCCCGCCCUCCCGCGCACCUUUGUGUUGUUCCAGGGCUUCUGCAGCAGCGCCACGUAGUAGGCAUUGUCAAAGGUGACCGGGUCGCCAAAGCCCUUGCUGCCCAGCGUGUGAGCACCUGCGUGGUGGAGUGGCGGACCUUAAGAUGGCGCCGGUGGUGUGUGUGGCUUGGCUGGGUGAGAGGGUGGGCCCGAGGAGCAGAGCCCUCCCCCCUUCCCCACCCCCAAUUCCUCCCCCAUUCCCCAUGCCCUCCCACGCCCUCCCCCCUCCUCCCCCUUCCUCCCCCUUCCUCCCCCCUCCCUCGCCCUCCCUCUCUCCCCCUCACCUGACAGCGCCACCAUCUCCUGCACGCUCAGCCCCUUGGCCGCGAAGUUGGCCUUGAGCUCGGCCGCGCUGGCGUUCUCGGACGGCAUGCGGCCAGGCGGGUCCUGGCGGGCGGCCGCCGCCACCGGGCGGCCGAUGGGCAGUGGGAUGGCAGGGCCGCCGCACAGCCGCACCGCGAAGGCGCCGGCCAGGGCCACCAGGUCGGCGUCGGUCACCACGCCCUCCGCCGCCGUGCCCUUUAGGUCCGCGCGCACCUGGAGGGGGGGGGGGUGGCGGUGGCGAGGGGAGGAGAGGGGAGUGGGUUGGCGGCACUGGAUCUAUCUGGAGGCUGGGAAAACAGCCCCACCCUCGGCUGCUGUUCUGCUUCUUUCAUGCCGCUUGUCGCUUAUUGCAAAUGGUAAAAUUGAUUGCCAUCGCCCGCCCCCGCAUAGCCCCCGCACGCACACCUGCUCAAUGAUGCGCCAGCCGCGUUUGAGCCCGAAAUUCUCGGGCCUGUCCAGCUCGUACUGGAUGGAGGCGUUCAGGCCGCCGUCCUUGGCGCCCGCACUGAAGGUGGCGGCGUCGUGGAAGGCCAGGCGCAGAGCCACAGCAGUCUGUGCGUGCGGAGAGCACAAGGGGAACGUGUGCGUGUGUGUGCAUGUGCAUGUGUGUGUGUGUGUGUGUGUGUGUGUGUGUGUGUGUGUGUGUGUGUGUGUGUGUGUGUGUGUGUGUGUGUGUGUGUGUGUGUGAGCCGUGGAGCAGGGAACAGGAGAUUGGGGUGGGUACGGGUUGGCGGUGCCGGGGGGCAGGAGGCCGCGAGACCACACAUAUCAAGGUUCAUGGAGUAGGGGGAGCAACAGAGGGCAUCCGGGCGCAUCAUGCGAACUGAGCCGCAUCCAGAUCACCAACACCGGACCGGGAUGGUGGGGGCACCACUCACCAGCGCGGCCCUGAGGCGCCGUGCCGUGCCUCCGCAAAGUGGCACCGUCCUGCCUCGCCCACCCGCUGCGCCCUGCUUCCCCCACUGCCCCAAGUAGACCCGCCACUGUUGCACACCCUUGCAAAUUUGGUCCUCGUAACUCGCACCCUCUCACGCACCUUCGUCUUGGGGAUGUUCUUAGCAAGAGCCUUGUCCAACGCAGCCGCCACGGCCGGAGACGGCAACGUCGGCCCCUCGGCGGCGGCCGGCAGUGGCGCCAGCAGCAGCGCCGGCGGGGUGGCCGCGGCCAGAGCCGCCGCCAGGGCCGGCAGUGCCGCCCCCAGCUUCAGCACCGCUCGUCGCGAAAGCUCCGGAGCUACAGCCGGCUCCGAGGUACCGCUGCCUGUCCUAGUCAGGCGUGACGCAACCGCGAUGCCCGGGGCGCGACCGUGACGGCAGGCAACGACGUACGUACUAGUUACUAGCUAUCUAAGAGCUCGCAUCCCCUGCGCUCGCCUCCCUCCGGUGCAUGCGCCAGUUGCCGGCGGGGCAUCGUGGCCACGGGUACCAUCCCGAGGGGUACAGUUACGCCCGAGCUGCGGCCCAUCGAACAUCCGCCACGCACCCUCUUGGCGCCACUGUGACAGGUCCCGUAGCUUGGCAUGCGUCGCAACUCUGCACGCUCGUCGCGGGUUGCCAUGGCGUGUGCAAUUCGACAGGGAACGGUGCGAAAGGACGCUUGUACUCAUUUGUGACUACGGUGCGAACAGGCUAAUCUGUUUGUAUUUAUCAAGCAAGUGAGCAAGCCAACCCGGGCCCAAAAUGGAAAACGAUCGCCGAUUGCACGGUUCAUGCAUGCAAGUGAUUCAAGCACUGGCUAGGUUUGGCCAUAAAAUGGUAUUUAUAAGACGCAGGUGAUCGACGCCGUCAACGUUCACUACAAGGACAAAGCAAGAGCAACACAGAGUGCACUUCUCACUGCACCCGCACCAUUUCUAGUAAUAUAUACGCACAAAGAUGAGCUCAUGAUUAGACACCUGUCGGGGCUGCGUGGGCUGGGCUGCGCGCGGCGGACGAGUGCCCGCCAAACCGUGCACUUCCGCCCCUUCCCGCGCGCCCCCUGCACCACCAAGCUUAUGAGCACCGAGUCGGAAUCCGCAGCCCACGAGGCCGCCUCGCCCGCAGCCGAUCCGCCGGCCUGGCUGCAGCGGAUUAAGUCCAACUACUGCCGCGUGUGCGGGUCGCCGCUGAAACUGCUGAGGCCGGACGGGGAGCGCGAGUGGCGGCACGUGUGCGGCAGGUGGGCUGCACGGCUGUGCUGUGCUCGGAUCGUGUGCCCUAGCCCCAUGCGUGGGGCAGGGGGUGGGUUCGGGGGCGGGUGCAGGGGCGAGGCGGGUCUUGUCGCAGAGCUGCAUGCACCAGGGUGGGACUAGCAAGUGCCGCUGGCAAGGCCUGGCUCGCCCCAGCUCCUCCCGCGACGCCCUCCACAACACUCCUCCUGGCAACCCCCCCCCACCUCCUGCCCACCCUGUGCAGCUGCGGCUAUGUGGACUACCACAACCCCAAACUGGUGGUGGGGUGUAUUGUGGAGCACGAGGGAAAGAUCCUGCUGUGCCGGUGAGCCGCGCGCGCGAGAGCAGUUGGGGCCUUUUGGGCUCCUCCGUAAAUGUGUUGAAAAGCACAAGGAAAAAACAUUGCGAAAAGACAGUGUAUGCGAUGCAGCAAAGCGACGGAUUACAGUCCGUAAAUGUGUGUGGGUACCUCCCGUUGAAAUGUGUAUGGUGCCCUCCCCUUCAAACGGUGGGGAGCUGGCUUUCCAUAGAUCGAGUCAGCUGGGUUCGCUCAGUCACGUUCGUCAGAGGAGAUGGCUCUCGGGGGCCUCAGGCCUAGUGGCACCUGUGGCAGUCCGCGACAUUGUGCUCCCAACAGCCUUCACGCAUUCACACAGGCCCCGCCCUGACUUCAGUUCCGACCCCCAGCCCCGCGCUCACCUCUGACAUGGCGGCGCUGACGGCGCACCAACGAACACCCAUGCUGACGGGCUGACUUUGCUGCGGCAUGCCGUGCUGUGCUGUGCUGCGGUGUGUGGCUUGCAGGCGCGCCAUUGAGCCAUGCCGGGGGCUGUGGACGCUGCCGGCGGGUUUCAUGGAGCUAAAUGAGUCCACGGCGGCGGGCGCGGCGCGUGAGACGUGGGAGGAGGCCAACGCGGCAGUCAAGGUGCGGCCGCGGGUGGCGGCGGGCGGUGCGUAAGGGAGGUUGCCGCGAGAAAGGGUGCUGUGAGGGGGGCUGCUAAGGCGCUGCUGUAGGGGCGUGUGGGCGUGUUGGGACGCAGGGAGUUGCAGAGGCUUGGGGGCGGGCGCGGACAUGGUAGCGGACAGGUGGUGCCGGAGAAUCGGAUUGACUGAUGUGGUGGUCACGCGUGCAUAGCCAAAGUGCCCCGGUCAGGCGUCGUGUAGCGCCGUGCAGCCUGCAGGCUUCAACAUUACCAUUUACCUACCGCGUCUGCCUGUUUCCGCCUUAGCGUCACCUCCGCUAUUCCUACGUUUGUAUAUACAUCGGUAUAACAACCCCCACCCCGCUCCUGUUGCUCCAGGUGCUUGCUCCGUACGCGCACUGGGACAUCCCCGUCAUUGGCCAGGCCUACAUCCUGUUCAGGUGUGCGUGUUUGUGCGCGUGCGCGCGUGUGUGUGUGUGUGUGUGUGUGUGUGUGUGUGUGUGUGUGUGUGUGUGUGUUAAGACGUUUCAACUACUUUCACUAAAAGGGCUUGCACACAGAAGCUUCGGGGCCAGUAGCCUCGCAUGCACAUAGAAAGCAUCGAGCCUCGCCAGUGCCAAGCACCAGGACCAGGUCCCACGGACGGCGGCGGACCCUCUCAUUCCCCUGCCGCGCCGCCUCUCCUCCGCCAACAGGGCCGCACUGGCGCCGCCCUACACCUUCUCCGCCGGCCCCGAGUCCCUAGAGGUGAGGGGCGCGGAAUUACGCAGUGGGCACACUGCCUUGCACUGCGCCUUUGCUGGGUGCGGGCUGGGGUUUACAGGCUGGUUGACAUGCAAAGCCGGCAUGCUGCCUACUGUUUCUCCGGCUGUCCUGGUGGCUUGCCUGCUACUGGCCUUUUGUUGUGCGGUGUGUCCUCAGGUGGCGCUGUUCUCUCCGGAGUCCAUUCCCUUCGACCAGCUGGCCUUCAGCAGUGUGUCCAUCACCCUGCGACUGUACCUGGAAGACCUGAGGACAGGCACCUUCAGGGCGCACCACGGUGGGCACUGCGGGGCACCUGGGCUGGGCGGGAGGGGGCGGGACGGGCAAGAGGUGGGGGCAGCGUUGUCUGAAACCUGAAUAUGCCGCGGGUGUAUGGGCCGUGGCCGUGGCGUUCAAGGGCUUUGCAGCCUUCGUGCAGGCCCAGUGAACCGCUGCUCAGGUGCUGGCGUGUACGUAUGUCACCACGCCACCCACUCACAACUACUUGCACUCACAAAGGCCAGUCCCACGCGCCCUUCCCUGCAGGCGUGAUUGACAAGCGGCCCGGGUCACAGCCCAACGACCCCGGCGCCUUCGCGCUGCGUGACCACAUGGCCCUGGAGCUGGGAGGAGCCAGCGCCACUGCGGCCGGACCGGGCGUGCAGCAGUAGCAGCAGCGGCAGUAGCAGCAGUGGCAGCAGUGGCAGCAGUCACUAAUUUGGGAGUACUGGCAGCGGUCGCGAUUUUCUCGGCGAUUCGGCAGGUGUGGCAGGGCCGCAUGGCCACAACAUGUACGUAAGCCGGCUGCAGCGGACGCCCGUGCACGCAAUUGUGGGCCACAUGGGGUGGAGAGCGGAGGCAGAGAGUGAUGGUGGUGGGGAGGGGGCGGCGCCACGAGGCGGCGACUGUGCUGUGCUGCGGAAUGUCGCCAGCCGCAGCGCCGUUGCUGCGGAGGUGUGUGGAUGUCAAGGCGUACACCGAUGGGUGCUGAGCUGGCGUGGUCGAGAGCGUGCGAGAUGGAUGCUGCCUCGGCAUUCUUUCAGCCUGUGAGGCCGAGGGAGGUCAACAACGGCGGGGCAUGUGUGGCGGGAGGUCCGUUGGGCGCUCCAAUGGACUCAAUGGUCCCUCAGGAGCAUGUGUGCAUUGGGGGAUGGGCGCCGUGCAAAUGCGGCGGUGCAGCAAGCACAUUAGACUCAAGCCAUCUGGGGGUGAACGUGCGUGUUUGGUGCUGGGAUGGAAGACUCCCGCGUGUGGCAUGGCAUGUGCAUGGCUGACCAGCGCUCUGACGACUGAAGCAGCCGGGGUUCAACGCACGGCGCAGUACUGGCGUGCGCGCGGUUGGUCGGCUUACUCGGCUAGUGCUGUCCAUUGAUUGUUUGGAGCGGCUUGGAACGAGCAAGGGCUGCAAGAGCACCAUGUGCAUGGUGCUGUAUGUGUACGGUAUGUGCGACACGCCCUUGUUACGCCCCGGCUACGGACCGACAGCAGGGCUAGGACUUGGAACAGCUGUCGAGGUGGCGGGCUCAUUAAGCCACUGGGCUGUGUAGGACUGCGGGCCAACGACCAGGGGUCAAGGGGUGGGGAAGGGCCCGGCAGGGCGCCAGGGCACAUCAACCGCACAUCAACCAGCUAACAGCUCUACAGCCCGGAGCCCGCAAAGCGGCUGGGUCCCUGACUCCCUGCCAUUUCUCAGUGGCCUCAGUGGCAGGGGUAAGAGUCACGCAUUCAGGCAUAUGUGGUGAUGAGGGGCAGGGGAAUACCGGGGGAGGUCGGGGCGAGGAGGGACUGGGACUGGGAGGGCGAACUGGGCGAAGCGCGGCCGCGCGGCCUGCGCGCCUGACGCUCACCCGCGCUCACGGCCUGCCCCGUACAACUGACUCUUUUCAGAUAUGAUAGUAUUCGCCUGCUUUCCACACGUACACAUGCGCAUCAAUUCCUGUACUGUUUGGCGCUUUUGUACACGUUUUGAACGCAGCCUCCGGCCAUCCUGCCCCUGCCAACCGGGCCAGCCGCUCGAUUUUGCCUAUUGUAUGGUGGCUGGGACUGCAAUAUCAUAAAUUCAUGCCACCGCCGUGAGGACUGCGUUCUGGGCGAUUGGGAAGGCCGCAAGCGGGGCAUCGCGAGACCAAAACCCCAGUACGCAUGCGAGGACCACGCUACACCUCGACGUGAACCCGCCAGCCUCCAUAAUUUCUAAUGUGAUAUGUCAACGUUGUGCGCCUGGCCCCGAGGGCUCUAGAUCUGGCUUCGGCCCCAACCGACGCGCAUGCCUUUCCUGGGUCACUUUCCUCUCUCCACGCACUUUCAAGCGAGCGUGCAGGAAUGUAAUGCCAGAGCAAGUGCAAACGCAUUUGCAGUUGGGUCAGGGGCUGGCGACGCGCUGCUGACGCGCAAGUGAAUGGCCCAACAAGUCGCCUCGCGGUCGCUGUCGGCGCCAAACCCGCAGCUGCAUCCACCAGAUUCACUUGUUAGAUCGACCUAGGUUGCGGGACCGGAGGCGGCUCGCUGUGCAAGCGCGGUGACCUCGUACGGCGGCAUGGAUCGCCAUCUCGAUUCGCGCGGCAGAAUCGGGCCCCGCGCACAUUUAAGCCGCGGGCGAGACUCAUUUCGUUAACUUGCUCAGUCAGGUUCACUCAGUUACUCUCACCAGCAAAGAUGGCCUUCGCUCUGGCGUCCCGCAAGGCUCUGCAGGUCACCUGCAAGGCGACCGGCAAGAAGACCGCUGCCAAGGUGAGCACAGUGGGGAGCGUUCGACACUACUUGAUACUUGAGCUUGUUUGUUGCUUGCGCGACCCCGGUUUGCCGCGCCUUUUGCUUGCGCUUUUCGCUGAGUCGGUCAUCAACUGACCCGGAAGCUUUCCUUGCCCCCUUUCGCAUGUGUCCUUAGGCUGCCGCCCCCAAGAGCUCUGGCGUUGAGUUCUAUGGCCCCAACCGCGCCAAGUGGCUGGGUAAGUUGUGGCGCUGGUCGGAAGGGCAAAUAGAUGCGUCCAGGGCGGACAAGGGCUUUGAGCAGUGCCUGCUACAGGGCAGAUCUUCGGUCGCUUUCCAGAGCUGGCUGCGCCGUGAUCUCGUAGCAAGCGAAAGGAAGGUCUGAUGCACGUUCCGCGCGGCUGUAGGGCUCGAGCGCUUGUGCAUCGUCAAUAUGGGUCCGCUUACCACUGCGCGUUGCCUUUGCUCCUGCUUCCUUGCAGGCCCCUACUCUGAGAACGCGACCCCCGCGUACCUGACUGGCGAGUUCCCCGGCGACUACGGCUGGGACACCGCCGGCCUGUCCGCUGACCCGGAGACCUUCAAGCGCUACCGCGAGCUGGAGCUGAUCCACGCCCGCUGGGCUAUGCUGGGCGCCCUGGGCUGCCUGACCCCCGAGCUGCUGGCCAAGAGCGGCACCAAGUUCGGCGAGGCUGUCUGGUUCAAGGCCGGCGCCCAGAUCUUCUCUGAGGGCGGCCUGGACUACCUGGGCAACCCCUCUCUGGUGCACGCCCAGAACAUCGUCGCCACCCUGGCCGUGCAGGUGAGCCUUGCUAUGUCGUAUUCGUUGAGCGGGUGGGCAGUGGGAAUCCACGCUUGGGCGGUUGUCUCUGGUUCAUGAUAGAGCCUUGGUUUGAUUGGAGCAGGGUAAAUCAUGCAAGCGGCGUCCAGUACUACGCGGCAGCUGUUCAGCGCACGGCAGUAGUGCUUCUCGUUUUCGUGCUUGCCCCGUGUCACCGUACCUGACCCCCUUCCCCUCCCCCUUCGCUCCGCCUCUGUCACCCCUCAGGUCAUCCUGAUGGGCCUGAUCGAGGGCUACCGCGUCAACGGCGGCCCCGCUGGCGAGGGCCUGGACCCCCUGUACCCCGGCGAGUCGUUCGACCCCCUGGGCCUGGCUGACGACCCCGACACCUUCGCUGAGCUGAAGGUGAAGGAGAUCAAGAACGGCCGCCUGGCCAUGUUCUCCAUGUUCGGCUUCUUCGUCCAGGCCAUCGUGACCGGCAAGGGCCCCGUCCAGAACCUGGACGACCACCUGGCCAACCCCACCGUCAACAACGCCUUCGCCUUCGCCACCAAGUUCACCCCCUCGGCCUAAUUUGUAUGAGCGUAUAAGCUCUGCAGCAGCGGCGUAUAUUGGCACUUUGAUGUGCACGCGUAGAUCCGUGCAAAGGAUGCC
This 143569-nucleotide long non-coding RNA is filed under the name Chlamydomonas reinhardtii. RNAcentral describes it as "long non-coding RNA (CREI_LNC000548)". The record is from RNAcentral. Lineage: Eukaryota; Viridiplantae; Chlorophyta; Chlorophyceae; Chlamydomonadales; Chlamydomonadaceae.